RNAcentral lists this long non-coding RNA (100278 nucleotides) under Triticum aestivum (bread wheat). Its description in RNAcentral is "long non-coding RNA (TAES_LNC022691)". Lineage: Eukaryota; Viridiplantae; Streptophyta; Magnoliopsida; Poales; Poaceae. The record is from RNAcentral.
UGUUUUUCGGUGGGAUAGGCACAAUAGCGCCAUCGUUGAAUUCGGGCAGUAGCUUACGUUUAGGAUAGCUCUUUGUUUGUCGAUUACCGCCGUAUUUUUCCUCAGCGUCUAGCACUUCAUUCCAUCUGUCAUUGAGCGUAUCUUGUGUGGCUUUAAGCCGCUGCUUCUGCUUCUUCAGGCUCCUUGCAGUGGCGAUAAGCCUUUGAUGGAGGCGUUCUUGUUCUAAUGGUUCUUCUGGGAUGACGAAUUCAUCAUCGCCCAGGCUGAUCUCUUCUUCAGAGACAGGUUGAUAAUUGCUAUCGUCGGCAUCGCUGUGGUCGUACAACAUCUCCGGACUGUGUUCGACGUCCUCUCGCACGCCCUGCUCCAACGCUGGGUCUGCGGGGUCCUCGGCUUAGUUCAGAUUAUCAUCGUUGUCCGUGACAAUGUUGCUAUUUUUUCUUUUGCUGGAUCGAGGUCGGCGCUUCUGACGCCGGCGCUUGGGAGGUUCAUCGACAGGCAUGCUGUUAUCGCCGUCAGCCUCCUUCUCCUUAGAUGUGUCCACCAUGUAUAUAUUGUAUGAGGAUGUAGCCGUCCACUGCCCUAAGGGUGGUGGUUUUUGUGCCUACUCCUCUCUGACAUCGUAUUCCAUACCGCGAUGUCCUCGGAGCCGUAAUCGAGCGUGUCAGUUAAGUCCUCGACAGUGGCAAUGAAGUGGGUGGUGGGUGGGAAAUGAAGUUCUUCGUCGUCCGCUUCCCAUUUGAGCCGGACAUAGUUCGGCCGAGAGUCCCCUGACAAGGAGAGGGAAUUCAAUGAGUUUAACACGUCGCCAAGAGGCGAGUGCUGGAAGAUGUCCGCGGAGCUGAACUCCAAGACCGGCGCCCAAUCAGGUUCGAUGGACGCGGACGCACGCGGUCCGAAACCCAUGGCCGGAGACGAGUCCGAGGUUCCGGUGGCACAAGCCUAGCUCGAUGUUGGGUUUAUGUGCGGCCCGAGUGCCGCUGAGACUGCGGCCUCUGUGGCGGGGCUAAGCUUCUCGUCUUCGGACGAUGCAGUCCGCUCCGGCUCUAGGGCCAGGGCAGUCAUAGGCGCUAUCUCAUGCGCACGGCCAGAUGACAGAUCUAGGUCAUGUUCAUCGUGGUGGCUGGGUACAGCCAUCAUGGACUCGAACCCAUCGAAGAUCAAGUCUCCAUGAAUAUCGUCCACAAAAUACAGGCUUCCAAAUCUGACCUGAUGGCCAGGGGCGUAGCUAUCGAUCUGCUCUAGAUGGCCAAGCGAGUUGGCCCGCAAAGCGAAGCCGCCGAAUACGAAGAUCUAUCCGGGGAGGAAGAUCCCCCCUGGACUGUGUUGCUGUAGAUGAUUGAUGGAGCCAUCAAGCCUUCUGAUGAUGACGCAGUGUAACUCUCAAUGAAAGCACCAAUGUCGGUAUCAAAACCGGAGGAUCUUAGGUAGGGGGUCCCGAACUGUGCGUCUAAGGCUAAUGGUAACAAGAGGCGGGGGACACAAUGUUUACCCAGGUUCGGGCCCUCUCUAUGGAGGUAAUACCCUACUUCCUACUUGAUUGAUCUUGAUGAAUAUGAGUAUUACAAGAGUUGAUGUACCACGAGAUCGUAGUGGCUAAACCCUAGAAGUCUAGCCUAUGAGGUUAUGAUUGUUGUGGCUAAACCCUCCGGUUUAUAUAGACACCGUGGGGACUAGGGUUGUACAAAGUCGGUUACAGAGAAAGUAAUCUACAUAUCCGAAUCGCCAAGCUUGCCUCCCAUGCAAAGGAGAGUCCCAUCCGGACACGGGACGGAGUCUUCUAUCUUGUAUCUUCAUAGUCCAACAGUCCGGACCAAGUAUAUAGUCCGGCUGUCCGAGGACCCCUUAAUCCUGGACUCCCUCAGUGCCCACACCUUCCAAACCACCUCCUGGAUCGGUGAGACUGUGUAUGUGGAGACCGACUUUUUCGUGAUCCCGUGCAUGGCAUCACCAUUAAAUCCACUAUGAUAGCUAGCACAACUACUCCACCCUAUCCCCUACGUAGAUUCUCCCUCUCUCUCCUUAAUUUUCCCAUGCAUUUUAAGUUCAACCUCAAAUAAUUGUCUUUAAAGAAAAUUUUGAUUUGUGACUUAUAUAUUUGCGUUGCUGACGAGGAGAUCUUUUCAACAAGACUAACCAUGAAUAUAUUUUCAUCAUUUUCAAAAUAAAUUUGAAAACUUGAUGAAAAAAUAAAAACUAUGAUUGUUAGACUUGUUUUAGGCCAAUUUGCAUAAGUUAUUUUCCAUCACUAUUAAACUUAUUAAUGUGUCCAAGAAAACAACGUAGUUAUAUAUCCAUGCGAAAACCAUCAUGUAAUAAUGCAUUUCACACAUGUUUCACUGUAUUUAGAAAAAUCAAAACUAUCAAAACAUAUUACCUCCACUCAAAAAUAUCUGACUUGUCUUAGUUAAAACCACGCCAGUUAUUUUCGAAUGGAGGGAGUAUUAAAUAGUGAACUUGUUUUGAAGAUGUCAUUGAAAGUAAGACACACGUUCAUAUGGAUUAUUUAUCAUAUUUUUAUUUUAAAAUAUAUGGUUUUUUGAAGUUUAAGAUUUAAAAUAAAGUCCAUAUACUUAGUAUGUGGGAGUGGGAAGUAGGUGGGAGAGAGGAACAGACUGCAUCCACACGACAUAGUACUCUCGUUGCAACCUUGCUCCAUAAAGUUAUCAGAUGGCUCUAGAUAUAAGCUUUUUUGCUUAGAGGCUGAGGAUGCAAUGUAUAGAGGCAAACUUUACAGACUUGGAGGCAAUCUUAGAGGCACCAAAUACUCACACUAUGGAUGCCCUGAGAACCACCACAAACCAAAUGCAUGGAGGCACUUUGCCAUUUAUAUCUUCCUGAUAGGGACAUAAAUUCCAUUGAGAGCCACUAGCCUAUUAGUGCAGCUUAAUGGCUAUCCAAUUAUCAUUGUAAUAGUUCAGAAGGAACAAAGUGUAGCACAAAUAAUAUAUUCAUUUUUCGUGUCCAGUGGCAAUUUACCAGGUGCCAUUUAACCACAUAUAGACUAUGAAGUUAGUUUCAUAUCACAUAAAUUGACCACAAAAGGGAGCAUAUGUUCAUGGCUUAUGAUGAAUCCAAAAUGUAUGAUAAUUUUGAUAGUUAUUUUGUGCCUACACAGUAGGCUUUAUGGAAUUUUAUUAUGUUCGCGAUUUGCUUUUUGUUGGUUUUCCUAGGAAACGGCUUUUGGAACAAAUAAAGCUCUUUGGAAGGAGUCCCGGGAAUUUAUGGUGGAAUCACAUUAUCCAAUGAGAUAAUUAACUACCAUAAAAAGAAUGAAGCAAUGGGAGAAACAAGGAGGCCCUGCAGCUAGUCCCACAAGUCGUCCUAGCAUGCGAGCGCACACGCUCGUAUGCACGGUCGUAUGACACGCCACCGCCGCCUCCUCAUCCACUACUUCCACCUCCUAAAGUUGGAUCGGGGAUCAGACAAAGAGAGUCACCUGAAACACAUCCAGAAGGUGGAACCCUAGCCUCCGGAGGGCAUCCAGAGGAGGAAUUGAUCCAAGGACUUCGUCGUCGCAACGCUGCAUCAAGAGGGCUCCAUCAUCAUCAUCAUCAUCAUCACCAUCAUCAUCAUCUCAACCCUAUCCAUUUGUAAUAUAAUAGUUGGAGUGGAUUUAAUCUUGUGUUAACUUAUGUGAGAUCACCAUGUUCAUCAUAUUUUAUCUCAUCUCGUUUGUGCCCAUGAUGUGCGAGUAAUCUAUAAUACCUAAAUAGUUCAUCCCCAUUACCUGAUUUCUCUACCCUCUCGUGCAUUUUUGUCAUCUUAAUAUUUUCGUUCGUUUGAUUGACCCCAUAUGGCGAAGAGUUGGACCCCAUGUUCGCUCCACCUUCCUCGACCCAUAGAAGUAGAAGCAAAACUUUUCUCCAACCGAAACAUCAGUGGGAGAACCCCUCAUCACAAUCUGGUCGCCCCACCCUCACCCCCAUCUCUCUCUCCUCAAACGACACAAACCACACAUGGUGAUGGACAUGACUAAGCCCAGGUUCCUCUAGGGUUUGCGCACGCCAUCAGUAUGAGAACCGAUGGCUAUGACGAUGGUGGCGGCUUGUGGGGCAAAGGCAAGAUUGAAAGACGAUCGAUCUAGAGGAUGGGUGGGGACUUUAUGCAAAGGAGAGUUGUUGAUAACCCUCAAGUAUAUGGGGUCACAACCAUUUUCGAGGGUAGAGUAUUCAACCCAAAUUUAUAGAUUCGACACAAGGGGAGCCAAAGAAUAUUUGCAAGUAUUAGCAAUUGAGUUGUCAAUUCAACCACACCUGGAGAUUAAAUAUCUGCAGCACAAUGAUCAGUAGCACAGAAAUAUGAUGGUUUUGAUAAUAGUGGUAACAGUAGCAAUGGUAACAGUAACAUAAGUAACAAUUUUGUAGUAGUUGUAAUAGUAGCAAUGGCAGUAGUAACUUAGCAAGAACAUUAUGUGGGAAAUUCGUAGGCAUUGGAUAGGUAGAUUUGUUGGAUGAUAUUCAUCAUAUAACAGUCAUAACCUAGGGCGAUACGAAACUAGCUCCAGUUCAUAAAUAUAAUGUAGGCAUGUAUUCCGUAAAUAGUCAUACAUGCUUAUCAAAAUAACUUGUAUGGCAUCAUUUGUCCUACCCUCCCGUGGCAGCGGGGUCCAUAAGGAAACUAAGGGAUAUUAAGGCCUCCUUUUAAUAGAGAACCAGAACAAAGCAUUAACACCUGGUGAAUACAUGAACUCCUCAAACUAUGGUCAUCACCAGAAAGUAUCCCAAUUACUGUCACCCUAAGGUUUAUGGAUCAUAACACAUAAUAGGUGCAUGCAAAAAUCCAGAGUGAUGGUAGCAAACUGUGGAUAGACCCAAAACCAAUGAUAGCAGGCAGAUAAUAGCUUUAGUUAAAAUAUACAGAUAAUGGCUCCUUUAAUGUUUGUUUACACCCAACAUGAAACUCAUAGUAGACACCCGAGAUUAACCAGAUAGUAGACAGAUAGUACUGAUUGCUGCCCCAAUAUGUACCCCAAAACCAUUUAAAAACUCAUGUUGCAGCAUUAGUUUGGACCUGACUCGGAGUCUAAUAGGUGAACACGACGAUAAAGUAGCAUGUCAUCAUAUUAAGUGAUGCAUAACGUAAGUAGACACGGAAGAGUGCAGCCUCUCUUGCGGACCUGUGUAGUCCUCAAGGUCAUCUGCUCAGUUGAUGAUGGUAAUGCAGUUGUCGUGGCUGCAGGUGGCGGGGAAGAAGAUCUGAGGCGGCAAAAGACAGUCUAGAGAGCGGAUCCCUGUUGUGGUGAACCCUUCCGUCGUUGGAGUAGCUGAGCUGGGGUGGAACACAGCGCAGCAGGAGCAGGACAAACCACACAAGGUUUUCUUUGACACAUAUCUGUAAUAGAAGUAAUUGUCUAAGGGCUUGUUUGAAUUUGAGGAUUCUAACAAUGCAGGGAUAGGAAAUAGACAAAAAUACGAUAGGAAUGCACAUGCAAAACAGAGAAUUUAAAAACACAGGAUUUCUGCCAAUCUGGGUGUUUGAUUCACAAGAAUUGGAAGAUCACAGGAUGCAAAGAAGCAUGGUGAGAUUAAGUCAAACCACAAGAAAAUGUACGGUUAUAAUGCUAUUAUGCUACUAUCUCUUUUUCUUGUGCUUCAUGAAUAGGAAUUUGAAAAGGAGGACAAGUGGAAAUUAAAAUUCCUACAGUUUUUCUUUCAAGGAGACACUAAAGGAACAAAUCCUACAAUUUUCCUUUGCUCCAUUCCUUUGAAACAAAUUCAUGAAUAGUAGUACCAUUGGAAACUUUCCAAUUCAUAUGUUUUUCCUUCACUUUUCCUUUCAAGCACUGGCGAUUCUAGUAGGAAGGCUUGAGCAAGGAAAAGCCUACACUAAAAAAUGUUUUUGUGCUACAUCUAUUACUUUGGACCCAGGCCACUGCCCUGCUAGCUCAACUCCCAGGCCCAUCGACAAAUGCAUAGCUCAAAAGCGCAGAGAUAAAUAAUGAUGGUGUUCAAGAGAGUCCAUCACAGAUAGCUAAGUUGCCUAGUACCUCACUACUUGUCAUAUAGUAGGAUAAAAUAAUCGUAUUUCACAUUACUACGUGUGCUCAAUGGACAAUAUAUAUAACAUGUAGAGUAAAAAAGAGAUGCAACAAGUGUACAACCUCUUUGGCGAAGCCAUGUCGAUCUCAGCAUGAUUGGGUUGGUCGGUGAGGAUGCUCCGGCUGACUUGGCUAUCGGAGGAGGGUAAGAAGAUCUUAGGCGUCUAGAGAUGGAGCCCGGGGUACUGCUCCGCUGUGAUGGAGGGUUCGGUCGUUGGAGCAGCUCCGGUGAGCUGUACAAUGCCGAGGCUGAAGCAGGACAAGAGAGACAACGUUAACAUGAGUGGAAUUCUAAUAGCAUCUCCAAUAGAUGACGUAAAAUACAUAACCACAAAGUGCUAGAUGUAAAAUACAUCAGCCGCUCAUCUCUGAACUUAACUGUCGAAACUGAAUUUAACCGUCGAAACUGAACUUAACUGUCGAAAUUGAAUUUUGCUGUCGAAACUGAAAUGUACUAUUGAAACUGUACGCACUAGUAGCAGAAAAGCAGUAGCAGUAGCAGCAGCGCGUGCGAUAGCCGGGGCAGCUGGUCCUAUAGCAGCAUCAGGUGAGGCUACACUUCAGUCGACUGACUUUUUCAUCUCUAGUCAAUCGAUUUUCUAGCCGUUGGAUACGGAAUCAAGGGCCUACAGCUCAUCUUCAACCUCCACCCCCCUGAGAUGCCAGCCACCACCGGCCAAACUGUCGCCCCCCCCGCCGCCCGCCUCGAAACCACUACCCAUAACCGGUCUGCCGCUGCCCCGACCAUCCCUCNNNNNNNNNNNNNNNNNNNNNNNNNNNNNNNNNNNNNNNNNNNNNNNNNNNNNNNNNNNNNNNNNNNNNNNNNNNNNNNNNNNNNNNNNNNNNNNNNNNNNNNNNNNNNNNNNNNNNNNNNNNNNNNNNNNNNNNNNNNNNNNNNNNNNNNNNNNNNNNNNNNNNNNNNNNNNNNNNNNNNNNNNNNNNNNNNNNNNNNNNNNNNNNNNNNNNNNNNNNNNNNNNNNNNNNNNNNNNNNNNNNNNNNNNNNNNNNNNNNNNCACUCUAAACCCUAAGAUAGAUAGUGGGGUACCUCUCCAGCGAUCCCCCCUCCCUACUGCGGCUAGUUUUUCCUUAACUCCGGCGAGCCCCCUACCCCUGAAAAUCGACUGACCCAAAAGUCGAUUCAGUCGACUGAAGUGUAGCUAAAUCGGAGCAAUAUCGCAAGCAAGAGCAAGAGCAAGAGUAGCAGCACAAGCAAGAGCAAGAGCAAUAGUAAGAGCAGACCAGGCAGGGGACCAAGAGCAAGAGCAGAGCAGCACCGCAAGCGAGACCUAAAGCAGCAGCAGCUCCUACUGAUGUGGACGUCGCCGCCGAGGGAGUGAUGCCAUGGAUGAAGUGGCCGGCGACGCCGCCGUGGAUGGAGCCGCGCCGUGUCGGCUCGGGACCGAGCACUGGGAGCACCGUGAUAUCGAAUCAAGAAGAAAAUGCGGCGAUUAGUGUACAACCUCUUUGGUGGCGCCGAUUAGGCCGCAGCUUCAUCCGAGGAAACAGUGAUGAUGCUGCUCUUCCGGUGGUGCAGGUGAAGACGUCGGUGUGGGAAUGGAGGUGGCACGAAAGACAAGGGGAACAUCGGGGCAGCUCCUUGGAGGUGGAGGACGGGGUGGCUGAACCGGCGGGACGACGAGAUCAACGACGGAUCCUCAUCCGGUAUGGCGGAUGAGGGACAUUGAGGUGUUGCUGUGGAUGAUGUCGUUGGGGAAGAGGCUGCGGCUGGGUGGCGGACGGAGGAGGGUGUGGGGCUUCAUGGGUUUUCACGGCCUCGGUGUACGAAUGGGUGGGCGGAUGGGAUGGGAGUGGAGAACCAUGGCUUAGGGAUGCAUUUGUCCGAAAGGUGGAGUAAGUUACGAAAUUACCCCCACUGAUUUGAGCUAGGAGGUUCUUCCGGUUGAGGGGUAUCAUGGGCAUUUCGCGUGUCGGGAUUUCACAGGAGGUGGGAGUUUUUGCGCGCAUUGUAAUUUUGGAAUAGCAAGGCGCGGGUUGAGAUGGAGGGAGUUGUCGGAGCACAACGAGACAAAGAUAUAUCUUAAAUAUUUCAGGGUAACAAGGCGCGGGUUGAAGAGGCGGGAGUUUCGCAGGACGAUAGACAGAGACGCAAGCUUCAAAUUUCGGCAUAACAAGGCGUGACUUGAAAUUUCCGGAGAACAAACUUAACGUGUACCAAAAAAGGCAAUUCGCACCUCAUCACUAGAGAGAGCCAUGUCCCGUUUUACUAUAUUACUAGAAAUGCAUUCAAAUACAACAAAAAAACAAAAAAAAUCGGGACAACAAACAUAACGUGUACAGUACCAAAACAAUUUGCACUUUCCUCAACAAUAAAAAAACAAUGUGUGUUGUCCAGGAUAUGGACUAAAUUUGAGUACAUUUUCCCUGUUUGAAUGGAAUUGUACUCGGGUUAGUUAUACAACCAUCUAAAUAUUAUCUUCACAACACAUGACAUGAAUAUAGGAGAAGUAAAUUCCUAUAUAAAUACAAACUACAUGUACAUAUAAUCUCAAAUUCAAAUAUAUGUAUCCAUUUUAUGUUGAAUUCAAAUCAUAGUACAUGUAUGCUCUAGCUAGAUGUUCGGAAUCUAAACCAUGUAUGAUAUACUACGUACAAUGUGUUUAACACGCACAACACACACACAAACACCAUUUAGACUAGUAGGGUACACGUACAUUGCACGCAUGAGAUUUGGCAACCAAAUUAUGAAAAAAUACCACAUUAUAGCAUGUAAGCUUUGAGUCAUACAUGCAUGAUGUAGAUGUUUGUUUAAUUCUUAUAGUUCAUUUCAUUCAAAAUCAUCUAGUUUUUAUAAGAAAGCUAAUCUAUUUUAAGAUUAAUGGAAUUCUGCGUUGUAAGGCAUAAAGUAAAAAACAAAUAAUGGCAUAUCAUGUAGAAAAACAUUUGGGCAAUUCUGAUACGGAAAGUUCUAGAACAGAGAAAAAGUGCUUGUGUUUUGAGGUUUGUGCAUUAUGCUUAAAUUCAACCAUGGAGUCUUCUAGAUUGUACAUGUGGCAAAAUCUGGUGGAAUCUAGAUGAUAUCCAAUGGCUAGUAGUGCUCAAAUUUGCCAUCUCCGCACCAUCAGAUUGGCAUCAUCCAACGACCAUCUUUCAAAGUUAAAGUUAUCCGCACACUAUAUAAAAAAUAUAUAAUAUAAUAUAUAUAGGGGUAUAGAUAUAGAUAUGUGAUGCGAAAGCCACCCAUCAUCUCCAAUUAGAAUAGUGUGUCCAUGCACGGAUGCAAUGUGGCCAAACGAUGUCUGCCAUCGGUAUCUCAAAUUCAAAUCAGUCUGACCUUGUUCAAUAUGUAUACAGUACAACAUGCUCAUUUCCAAACCACACCGCGCAUAUCUUAGUUAUAUUCAUGCAUGCAUAGGUUUCAAACAUCAUGAUCUCUUAUUCAAAUAUUUGAAUUCAACUUUACAUUGAUUAUGACCUCACCUAGUCUUUUACACCCACACAGUGGUCUUCUCUUUAUAGUUGUAACACUAAGUUUCUCUCGUGCAUGCAUGCACACACACUACCAGUCGGCAUUAUCCCGCACACAUGCAUGCUUUUUCUUCAGGUCGGUCUCCCAUGCAGGCACACACACACCUCCCCUCUCCAUCAUAUUGGCAUUCUUUAUCUGUCAUGUACAUGUGCAACGAUCGAUGUUCCUCUAUGUGUGUGUGUAUAUUGCUAGGUCUUUCACAGUUUUCCACACAAAUAGAUCAAUCUAUAUAUCUAGUGAGGUCUCACCCUCUUUCCCACGUCCACAUCGAUCAAUCUAUACCUCUCUAUAUAGGAUUACAUAGCUAAUACACCCAGAUUAAUUAUAUAUCCAACGUCCCCCUCUCAUCAUCCAUGCCUUGCGCUUCAUCUCUCAGACACGCGCACAGUGGGGAAGAAAGGGGGGCAGCAAGGGCCCUGCCCCCCCCCAACAUCACUAUAUAUUGAGGCUAAUAUGAAUGUGAUCAUUAGACAAUUAAUGGUAAAAUGGUUUAAGUUGAUGGAUUGACCCUCCUUGUAAAGGAUUAGCAAUGCUUGCCCCCCUAGCUCAUUUAUUUUUCAAGGCUCCAUCACUGCGCGCAAUAGUGCAUGUUCUCGCCCCCUCUCUUUAAAUAUCAAUCUCUCACUUGUGCACUCCUUCAUAGUAUCCCUCCACUUGGCCCCUCGCACCAUCUUCUAGCCCCCACCGGAUUUUUCCACAUGCAUAAUCUAGCGAACUCCAUGGUUGAACUUAAGCAUAAUGCACAAACCUCAAAACACAAGUGCUUCUCCUUUGUUCUAGAAUCUUCCGUAUCAUAACUGCCCAAACUUUUGUUCUAGCUGAAUUGCCAUUAUUUGAUUUUACUUUAUGCAUUACAACGCACAACUCCAUGAAUAAUAAAAUAGAUUAAGGGCUUCUUUGAUUCAAAGGAUUCUCAAAGGAAUUUUGGAGGAUUCUAAUCCUUAGGAAUUUUUCCUAUCUUGGUUGUUUGAUUCGUAGGGUUGUAAACCAUAGGAAUUUUUCCAUAGGAUUCAUUUGCACUAGAUUUCAUAGGAAACAUCCCAUCCACUCAAACCUCUUUGAAAGAAUCCUGCAUUUUUUCUAUGCACAAUCAAACACUCGUACAAUCCUGUAGGAUUCAAGACGACAUUCCACUCUAAUCCCAUGUUUUUCCUAUUCCCGCGUGUUGGAAAUCCUACGAAUCAAAGAGGCCCUAGCUUUUUUUAUAAAAACUAAUUGAUUUUGAAUGAGAUGAACUAUAAGAAUUAAAAGAAGGUCUACAUCAGGCAUAUAUGACUCAGAGCUUACAUGCUAUAGUGUGGUAUUUAUUCAUAAUUUGGUUGCCAAAUUUGAUGCGUGCAAUGCACGCAUGCCUUACUAGUACUUCGAGUAUGUGAAAAACACAUAAAUUAGAAUUCCAAUGGCAUGCUACACAGUGUCUCUCUUACAGUUCAUGAAGCCAUGUGGCACAUGUGGAGGCAUUGCCGCGACCUCAUUGUGUGGAUUGAUCACAAUGACGUGCUGCUGGUUCCAGAAGAAUGUACUCGUCCUCUCUGAGCCAAACUGGCGAUACAUGCACGAAGCAUAGAUGUGCAUGCAUGCCACGCUCGCACUCAUUCCCUCACACACACGCGGGUACACAGGCGGAUGCAUUUGUGUACGAAGAUCCACCCCAUGUGAUAAUUUGACGUGUGUAAAGUCCUUCACUUCAUUGAUGGUCAAUUAAUACAGCGCGUGCAAAUUGAAUGGACGUGAGGGCGGAAGAAAGACGUUACUACUUCACUGCACGCAUGCAAAUAGUUAAAUCAUGGGUUGCUAGUAUUUCCAUUGGUCUCCUUCGUAUUUUGUGCCAAUUUUUGACCAUAUUUGUAAGUAACGUAAUAUUUAUGCAUGUCAUAAAAAGUGGCACAAAAAAAGGGGCCAAUAAACCAGGACGCAGGCAACAUGAUCAUUUUUUGCCAGUGGUACUGUUCGUGUCCUUUGUAUUUAAAUAUGGACAGAGUGGAGUAGUACUAUCUUUAUCUUAGCCUCGUAGGCACUAGGCUCGCCUCCCCGCCUCGCCGACCAGAUCCCGCCAUGGAUAAUCCCUUAGAUCCUAGGAUCCCGUGGGAUGCUCUCUCGCUGCGGCCCGCAUCAUUGCCUCCUUUGAGCGAAACCCACAUGUGUUUUAGAGGGGAUCCAUUGCUCUAGAAUCACAUAACGGAUGCGCCGGAGGACAUGCAAGAUUGGAGAGAAGUUCCAAGGGUAAAUCGGAUCAAGGAAGCGCCGCAUCGAUUGGAGAGAAGUUCCAAGGAGCUGCGCCUGGCGCAGCACAAGGCAGAGGCGCAAGUCGAUCUCAGGGGAGAGAUGCUAAGGGAUGUCAGCAUCUGGCAGCAUCACGUUGAUUUCAAGCUAGGGCUAAUGGCAGAGAUCAUAUUCAUCGAGUCGAAUGCGGAGGAAAGAACAUGCAUGCCUGCGCAAUGGCAUGAGCAGUCUGUGCAACUAUUCAAAUGGGCGGUAGGAGAAGUCAAAUCUCGGGACCAGUUGUGGCGGGCGGCGGCGCCGCUGGGCAUGCAUCAUAGGCGAGGUGAGCUGCCCUCCUUCCUCGCCCACGAUGAUGUGAACUUGCAACGCCAUGUCGGUUUGCAACAUUGACAAUCACUCCAUCUAUAUGUAUUGUAUUCCUGUGAAAAUACUUGGUCGUUUGGAAAAAGAUGGUAAUUGAUUUAUCACUAGUUUUAGAAUGCUUGGUCAUGACAAUCAACCGAAGCCACAACCAGAAGUCUCCAUCGCGUAAUACUUUACGGUCGGUCACACCAACAGACGGUCGGUCAGACCCCCGUCUCACCAAAGGGACACGCAUCGGCUUGGUCUGACAUGUACGACCAGUUACAUCACUGACUUGUGCGACCGCAUUUGAGCAGUGUAUUUUACAAGUCUUGCACAUGUACCUAAGUCGUUAAUUUGACCAACUUAAUACGAGGCAUAGAUUACGAAAAAUAUAUCAUUACAAACUUCGAAUAUUCUAUUUUUUAAUGAUAUAUUUUUUAUGUUAAACAAUUUAUUUUACAUAAGUUACAUUUACAACCUAGAUACACGUGCAAGCCUUGUAAAUUGAUAUGGAGGGAGUACUUGAAAUUUAUGUUCCACUAAACUCAUCGGGAGCCGUUUCGGGCCUCGAAACAAAAACCAUCAAUUGAUCUUUACCUUGUUCCCAUCACAUUCAAAAGUACUAGUGCUACAAUUAAGGGCAAGCUUGCUCACACCUACUAGUACGUACCAAACUUGAACGUGUUCCCACUAUGCAGGUUUUAGCACUAGUGCUAGUACUUAGGUUAUAAAAAGGGGAACUACCUAACCGAAAAUUACUCUACCUUCCUCCUCAUAAGUCCUUCUUCGUCUGUCCUUGCCAUGGCCAGUGUGCAGAGCUCUAGGUCGAGAACUACUCAUAACAAGGGAGCGGCAACCAAGGUUGCAGAAAAAAAUAAGAGGGCUCGCCGCCACAUAGAGACCUUGGAAGAUCUCUCACGGGCAGGCGAUGGCUCCCAGGAGCGCCCUAGCCAUGGAGGCGAACAUGCCGAGCCGGUGGCACUGGAGUCGUUGCCUCUCGACGGCAUGCCCGAUCAGCUCAAUAAGCACCUCAAUAAGCAGAAGGAGUUCAUCCACAACUUGGUGGAGCUGCUGAAGGAGAGCCUCGACGACAUGCCCGCUGAGCUCAAUGAGUAGGGGGGUUGACUGCCGGCUUGGUGAUGCUGCUGAAGAAGAGAAUUGCCUCGGAGAAGAAGGCGACUGGCGAAAUCGUGCAACUUUAGGAGGACAAGGCGAAGCUCCGCCACGAGCUCGACCUGCUGAAGGAGGAGAAUGCCGGCUCGAAGAAUCUGCAUGAGAAUAGUAGUUCCUCGAUGAAGAUGGUGCAGGUCCUCGUCAUGGAACAGAAGGAGGAGUUGGCGAAGCUCCGCGUCGAGCACCCGGCUGCUGUCAAGGUACGUAAUGCGGCCGUGGAAUAGAUGAUGAAGGCUCACGUCGAGAAAUCCCGCAUCAUGGACAUAAUGAAGAAGAUGGCAGAGGAGACACGCAAGGAGAUGGAGGUCGUGGAGGCGAUGAAGAAGCAGUUACGACUCCGCGGCCAGCAACCCUUCAUGUAGUGGGAGCAGCGCCCCAAACUUGUGUGUGCGUCUUCCUUCUUUUUUGGGGGUGAUAAUCUUCCUUCUUCUUUUGGUCCUUUGUUUCUUCUUUUGCUCCUUUGUUUCUUCUUUUGCUUCGGGUGUUUCGCUGCACGUGUCACGUUCUUUGUGAGGCAUGAAUAGAACAAUGCUAACAAUGAGAUGACUAGUAAAUUAGAUCAAUUUUUAUCGCCAUAUGGCACUGGGCUGUCGUGUUUUGUUCUCCUCCAUCAUAGUACUACUCCAGUGGAAAACUUAAGUAUACCGCAUGGUUCUUUGAUCCUCCUUAGGUCGUCGGCACAUUUAUACGAGCAGUCAAAUCACAAGGCCCCGCCUUCCAGCAGUAAUGAGCCAUCAAAUCACAAAGGCCCUCACCUCUCAUGAAACCGACCAAGCUAGACCGCCCCGCCCUCUAGCCUUUUAAAAAAUGUAUACUUUUGUAUAGUAGCAGUAUCGAUGGAUUGCGCCAUGGAGCAAAACUAACAAGAUGAAAUUAAAGAAAAAAGGUGGUACAUAUAGAGAGCGCUCGUCGCGAAAUUAUGCAUAUAGUACUAUUAAAAAAGCUAGUACGUGCUUAAAUGGGUUACUAAAUUCUAUUAAAGAAAUUAGCAUACCUAUUAAAUUCUUGGGUUCUUAUUAUUUAUGCCACUAGUUGUGUAUCACUACUUAGUUUUGCCAUUAGAAGUUACAACUACUCAAAAAUGCCAUCGAUCCGUGAGAUGCCUGCUCAAAAAUGCAAUUAGAUAUCUCAAAAAUGCCAUCAUUAAGUUAGAUGUUUGCUCAAAAAUGCCAUUAGACAUUGUUAUUUUCAUGUCAAAGCCGUUGACCAUGUUACAUGACAAAAAUAAGCUGAUUCUCACAAUGAUAAGUGUGGCCCCGCUUGUCAGGAGUAACCAAGCGAAUAAUUUUACAGGAAAAUAAGAACGCUAUUGGGAUCAAGUAGGCCCCACACUUUAUUUUACUGUAGUGAGAUAGAGGGAAAGUUGGCAUGUUGGUCCAUCGGUAUUUAUGUCCUUAUAACAUGGCAAAAGAGAUUUGAGUCACAAUAAUGGUGUCCAGCACAACACACCCCUCAAAUAAAACUAAGCACCCUGAAAUUCUUUAACAAAACUAAGCACCCUGAAAUUCUUUGACAACUAAACGGUUGGCUAUAUGAUGUUGGCCAUAUAUAUUGUACGUAUAUAAUGUGAAGAAAUGAGUGGUAGUACUAUACCAACUAAAAUAUGAACUGUAAGAAAUACUAGUAUGUACGUACUUAAGAGUUAAAGUAACGAGAAGAAACAUAACAUAGUUCUGCUGGGGGCUCAGCAUAACACACACCUCAAAUAAAACUAAGCACACUUGAACUUAAACUAAGCAACUAAUCCAGUAGACACUGCAUUAGAACCAUCGUGAGCAACGACACUGCCACCUUACUCGGAGUCCUCAUCCACGUCCUCGACUUCGUCCUUGUCCCUCUUCCUCUUGGCCGAUACUUCUUUUCUUGAAUUGCACACUUGGCUCUUGCUCUUCAUCCAACCCUUGUAGAUAUUGAAACAAAGGUAGCCAUCCAUUGUAGCAUAGUGGAUGUGGUCUAUAUCUAGUACAUUCCACUACCAUGCACGAUGAAACAUGUGCGGAGGUUUCCUCAGUUUACCAUACGAAGGAUGAACCAUGGCUCCUGCCAGGGUCAGCAUUGAAGGCUGAUCACGCGAGGGCACCAGCCCAUUCUUCUGGAGCUCGAAGGGCUUGCCUACAACGAGGCCUAUCCGAUCUAGGACUGUUCAAUCAUUCAUAAAGUCUACAGGAAUGAAUUUGACUAGGCCGCCCUUGAGGAAGAUCUUAAAUUCCUCGCACUCAACGUGGGUAUGGCAUAUGUGGUAGACCAAGCAUAAGUCAUGCACGCAAACCUGGAUCACGACGGGCUUCAUCUUCUCUUCCUCCUUUAGAUUCUUCUCUUUGUUCAGGGUUGUGGUGUACUCAACAUCUAGCCCAGCAACCCACUCACCAUUUGAGUUUUCAAACAUGCGUCGGAAGCGAGCAAGGCAUCCUUUCACCAUCACGGAAGAACGGGUGUAGAUGACAUCGAACUCAUUGCCGGUGAUGGUUCUAACCUUGUACUCACCGCUGAUCAUGGAGAUUUGGGACGCCAUGGAUUUUGGAGGAGGGUUAGGAUUAGUGGAACUGCUAUAAUGUGAAAGGACAGGACGACUAGGAGCGAACUGCCGUAAUGUUAAAGGACGUCUGGGGACGAGUAGGAGCGAACUGCCAGCGGUUUUUCGAUUGUAAAAAUGCUGAGUGGGGCGUGCUAACGGUAGAGUAGUGGCUUGCCAGGUGGAUAAAUGGAUUCAUUCAUAGUACUAUGGGGGCCCAAUUAGAUGUCAUGUCUACUUGGUGCCCAAUUAACUGGCUUUCAAUGUCAUGUCAAGCGCCGGGAAAAUUACAGGUGAUAAGAAGCUUUCCAUUCUCCCAUGAUAUGGGCUUCCGAGAGCCCUUGGAUCUGAGAUCGAAUGGUUGCAUGGCGUGAUUAUAGACCUAUGGGUGAAUAUCCUAUCUUGGAGGGUUAUUCUGCAAAUUUUCAGCAACUUAGCUUGCGACCGUUCGAUCUCAGAUCCAAGGGCUGCCAGUAACCUGUAUCAUGGUUGCACCUACCAUGUCCGUCGCCACGCUCGCGUGGUCGCGCCCUUGGAGAUUUAACACGGUGUGUUAGGCUAUCUGAUGUUGGCAUGUCAUACAUAGUCAUCACUUAGUCACUCAUACUACAACAAGGUUAGCUAUAAGGUUGGCUAUAUGUCACACCCAAUAUGCGACCCUAUCCAAAAGGAACUCGAAGGUCCCACCAAGGAUAGACCCGCAUAUUGAAACGCUUUUGCAAGGUGGAUAUCAUUACAUCAACAUUACAUAAUAGAUGGGGAUACAUAUAGGAGGCAAACAAUGCCACACGAAUACAACAUCACAAUACAUCAGAUCAUCAUCCGGCUACGGAUGAAACACAAACAGAAACUCAAACGACAUCCACCCUGCUAGCCCAGGCUGCCGACUUGGAACCUAUCCCCUGAUUGAAGAAGAAGCAGAAGAAGAACUCCAAACAAGCAAACAUCGCUCUCGCGUCAUGAUCAUCGCAUAACCUGUACCUGCAUCUGUUGUUGUAGUAAUCUGUGAGCCACGAGGACUCAGCAAUCCCAUUACCAUGGGUAUCAAGACUAGCAAAGCUUAAAGGGAAAGGAAGGGGUAAAGUGGUGAGGUUGCAGCAGCGACUAAGCAUAUAUGGUGGCUAACAUACGCAAAUAAGAGCGAGAAGAGAGCAAGCGGAACGGUCGUGAAACUAGCAAUGAUCAAGAAGUGAUCCUGAACUCCUACUUACGUCAAACAUAACCCAAAGACCGUGUUCACUUCCCGGACUCCGCCGAAAAGAGACCAUCACGGCUACACACACGGUUGAUGCGUUUUAAUUCGGAUCUGGUGUCAAGUUAUCUACAACCGGACAUUAACAAAUUCCCAUCUGCCUAUAACCGCAGGCACGGCUUUCGAAAGAUUAUACCCUGCAAGGGUGUCCCAACUUAGCCCAUGAUAAGCUCUCGCGAUCAACGAAGGAUAUGCCUUCUCCCAGGAAGACCCGAUCAGACUCGGAAUCCCGGUUUACAAGAUAUUUCGACAAUGGUAAAACAGAACCAGCAAAGCCACCCGCUGUGCCGACAAAUCCCGAUAGGAGCUGCACAUAUCUCGUUCUCAGGGCACACCGGAUGAGCAAGACGUCGGGUUGGCAUAGACCCUGAUUGCCCAGGGGGCGCCGAACAUCGCUCGGUUUGGACCAACACUUAGACAAGCAUUGGCCUGGGGGGGGGGCUAAAAUAAAGAUGACCCUCGGAUUGGCCGACCCAAGGGAAAGGUAGGUGGUGGUGAGGCAAAUGGUAAAACCAAGGUUGGGCCUUGCUGGAGGAGUUUUAUUCAAAGCGAACUAUCAAGGGGGUCCCAUAAAUAACCCGACCGCGUAAGGAACGCAAAAUCCGGGAACAUAACACCGGUAUGACGGAAACUAGGGCGGCAAGAGUGGAACAAAACACCAGGCAAAAGGCCAAGCCUUCCACCCUUUACCAAAUAUAUAGAUGCAUUAAUAAUAUAAGAGAUAUUGUGAUAUCCCAACAUAAUCCUGUACACCAUGGAGUAAUCUUCAACUUCACCUGCAACUAGCAACGCUAUAAGAGGGGCUGAGCAAAAGCGGUAACAUAGCCAAGCAACGGUUUGCUAGGAAGGGUGUCAAAGGUUAGAGGUUCAUGGCAAUUUGGGAUGGCUAGAUAAACAGGUGAUAGGUAGCGCAGCAAAGCGAUAGAACGAAACAACUAGCAUAGCAAUGAUAGUAGUGAGAUCCAGGGUAGCGGUCAUCUUGCCUGAAAUUCCGCAAGGAAGAAGAACGAGUCCAUGAAGAAGACGAACGGAUGAAGCCGAACCAAGCGUAGACGAACGAAUCCUCACGAUCGCAACGAAACAGGAACUAACGAAAAGAAGCACACAACAUAGUAAACACACCACACAUGAACAAGGCAUGAUGCAUGAACAAGCAUGAUGCAUGACAAGACUACAUGAAGCUACUCAUGGCAAGAGAUGAUGCAAACAAGAGCAACACAUCAAGACAAGUUUAAAUGAGGCCGGGAACAACAUAUAACAAUUCCGGUAAGUCCUCAUAUGCAAAUUUCGAAGUUGGUCCAGAUCUGAAUAAACCUUAUGUUCAAGUUGUUAAAUAGCAAGUUAAGAUGCACCAAGAUGAUCUACACGAGAUUCUAGUCAAGUUACAUAUAAAGAUCAUUUGGUUCGGAGCUACGGCCUAGAAGAUAUGAGCAAAGCAAGUUAAACAUGGCAUUGAUGCAAAAUGCAUACAACCAUCAAGCAAACACCUCAAAACAUGGAUGCAACAUGAUAAUAUGAAGCUUCAUACAAUUCUAAGCAAGUUUCAUCUAGAGCACACUCAAAACGGAGCAACGGUUCAACGCAUGCACUCUAUACAAGUUUAAAGGACAAGCUGUCCGAAACAGCAACUAGGCAUAUUGCAAGCAUCAAAACAACAUGCUACAGCACCCCAACAUGAUAACAAAAGGGCAUGGACAUGAUGUACAGGUAAAACAUUACAAAACAUGAACACUGAGCUAUCUCUAGAAAUCACUAGAACAUGCUCAAACACACGUGGUAAGAUUGCAAGUUAUAACAAUUUCAGACUGUGCAGAAAAUAACAUCAGGUUGCAAUCUUUAGAGCUAUCAAACAACAUGUUACAUGAACUUAUCAUGGCAAACAAAGGCAUGGCAUGAUACUACUAAAUGCAUAGAUCAAAAGUCCUUUACUGACCAUAAGCCAAAAAGGAACAGAAAAUAUGAUGGCACCCACGUAGACAUGGCAAGUUAUAUUACAGAUUCAUACAUGGCAGAAACUGAAUUAUGAAGGCAUGUAGAUGAGCUUGUACCACUCACCACAGAGCAUUACAUGGCAUGGCAAGGCAACCAACAGUAAGAAGGCAUGUUUGUGAACUUAAGCAUGGCAAUAGCAAGUUCAUAGGGUACAUGGAACACUAGCAAAACACAUGACAACAACUGAACUUAGUGUUAACAGGCUGACAACAACAUUAUCAAGCAACUUUGGAGCAAGACAUGAACAAGCUACAGCAGGAUAUAAAUGCAACCAGUGGCAUGGAUGUUUACAGGAUGACAUGUAGAACAAAACAUGUUUAGUGCUCAUCUCCAGAUUAUGCAUAGAAUGAUUUGUAGAAGCAGGUUUACAUAGCAUCGUGAAAUAACAGAUUCAGCCUAGCAAAACAAUAACAGCAAGUACACUACUUAACAAGCUCAAUUCACUCACCACAAGUAAUUUCAUGACAAGUUAAGAAUAGCAUCAUCAAGAAGACAUGUUUGUGAAACAAACCAAGGCAAUAACAAGUUCAUAGCAUGCAAGGAUCAACUACAACAACCUUGGCAAAAUUGAAUAACAUGUAAACAAUCUGCCAGGAAACAUUUUGAAGCAAAAGUAGAGCACGAAAAGGACCUGCUAGACUACUCCAUAAUUACAAACAGGGGCAUGAAUGGAUAGAAAAAAACCAUAUGUUCAAAACAUCCUUACCGAAGUAUCUCAAAAUAUGCACGGAUCUCUCUGUAGCAUCAAGUUUACAUGGCAUCAAAAUAAAAGCAGAACAGGGACUAAAAUCAGCAACAUCAGGAUGCCUAGUUUGCAUGCUUGUGCUAGUGACCAUAGAGAUCACAAAAAUACAUGGUAAGCACCUCUGUAAAGAAGACAUAGCAUAGAUCAAAACACAUGUAGACAUCAACCUAAUAGGAUGCACACAUCAAUCAUGGCAAAAAUGACAAAUGAGCUCGUUCUGUUAUCAGACAGCAGGAAACAUCAUCAAGCACUCUUGUAACAAAGAUUCAGGCAUCAAGAUGACCUCAAAUGAAUAUGAUGCAAUAGAAUGAAAUGGUGUACUCGUUGAGAAGAACAAUUUGACAUAUUACACGCACGAAACGGAGCUACGGAUGCAGAGAUACGAUGCAACGAACAUGGCAUGAUAAUGUCAAAUAACAGGGACUUAGGCGAAUUUUCGGAGGGGAAAAAGUCAACCUCUUCUUCCAGAUCCAGAUCCGAGGCACGAAUCCCGAGGUUGGCUAGAACCUCGUCGGAGAUGACAGGGCGGCGGCCGGAGGAGCUCGGGAGGCACGGAUCCGGCGCCGGCAAGGCCGGAUCCGCGGCGAGGAGGCGCGGGGACGCCGGGGCGGCGCGGCGGCGNNNNNNNNNNNNNNNNNNNNNNNNNNNNNNNNNNNNNNNNNNNNNNNNNNNNNNNNNNNNNNNNNNNNNNNNNNNNNNNNNNNNNNNNNNNNNNNNNNNNNNNNNNNNNNNNNNNNNNNNNNNNNNNNNNNNNNNNNNNNNNNNNNNNNNNNNNNNNNNNNNNNNNNNNNNNNNNNNNNNNNNNNNNNNNNNNNNNNNNNNNNNNNNNNNNNNNNNNNNNNNNNNNNNNNNNNNNNNNNNNNNNNNNNNNNNNNNNNNNNNNNNNNNNNNNNNNNNNNNNNNNNNNNNNNNNNNNNNNNNNNNNNNNNNNNNNNNNNNNNNNNNNNNNNNNNNNNNNNNNNNNNNNNNNNNNNNNNNNNNNNNNNNNNNNNNNNNNNNNNNNNCCAAUUGGCGCGGGCGGCGGCGGCUGGACGGAACGGACAUGUCCGGCCGUCGGGGACAUGUCCGGCGGCGCGGAGGGGAAUUUUUAGGGUUAGGGUGGAAAUGAUCUGCGAAUUUCGGGGGAGGGGCAUAUAUAUAUAGAGGGAGCUAGGAGUGCCAAAUGAGGAGCGGUUUUCUCCCACACGAUCGUGAUCGAACGACCGAGAGCAUGGAGAGGAGUUAGAUAGGUUUUGGGCCAGUUUGGAAGGGGUGUUGGGCUGCAAGGAGAGAGGGGCUUUACGGUUACCCGGUUAACCGUUGGAGUACCAAACGACCUUCAAAUGGAACGAAACUUGACAGGCGGUCUACCGGUGGUAUACCAAGGCCGCUUGGCAAACCUCGGGCCAUUCCAAGAAAGUUUAACACCCGCUCACAACGAGAGACAAAAAGGGGAACGCCGGAGGGCAUAGGAGCGUCGGAUUGCGAAACGGACAACGGGGAAAAGGCUCGGAUGCAUGAGACGAACACGUAUGCAAAAUGAGAUGCACAUGAUGACAUGAUAAAAUGCAACACGCAAGCAAAUGACAUGGCAACGACCGCGAAUAACUGGCGGACACCUGGCGCAUCGAAACCGGGGCGUUACACUAUAAGAGUAUUUUUUACUUCUCUCUAUCUCUUUCUUCGUAGUAUUUAUUGCAUUUGCCAAGGAGUGACCUCUUCCAAUGAAAUGGUGCUUAGAUGAGGUGCUAAGGGCCUUAAAUGGCUUAACAACUCAAGUCCCCAAUGCAUAGGUGCUUAGUUUUUUUUGCUAAGUUUGCUUCAUUUAAUUAACUAUAGACUCAAAAUUAUCUUUUCACCUCGGUACACGCGCUUAGCACUGUUUCUUCCUUGGAUUACCAAACUAGUCUCUCUCUUCUUAAUUAACUUGCCACAUCAGACUCUAUGCCUAUGUGGUAGGCUUAGGACAUGUAGGAGCAAGUACAAUAGUGGGCUAUAAGCCCGCUUUACAUGGUAUUUUUGCAUAUGUGGAGGAAAGUGGCAAGGAAAAAGUGGAGGAGUGGGCUCUCACGCAAGAGCCAGCCUCAUGGUGGAGCAUUGGGAGAGGCACCUGUAUGGAGGUGGUCAGGAAUCGGGAGACUCACGCUGGUCGUAGCGUCGUAAUUAAAAUGAUAAUGGCAAGUCAAAUCACGGGGCCCCACCUAUCCAAAAGUAACUCGCUGUCAACUCACACAACCCUACGUUUGUAGCAGCCUACUCCCUCAUCUUCUCGCGUCUCUAUCAAACCAACUAGGCGGAACUGCCCCGCCUACCGCGUGGGAAAAGCCCCGCCCUCGCCUUUUAAAUAGUACAAUAUACUAAUUUUGUAUCCAUGGAUUGCGCUAUGGAGCAAAGCCUCAAGAAAAUGGCGGUACACAUGUACGGAGUAUACAACACGCCAGUCGCAUUCGCAUCACAGCCCAGACGGUCGGUCGGUCUAGCACGCCGCUCUCCGAAUGGAACACACAUCAUAUUGCAUUUGCACACACAUGUGGGGCCGCAAUUGAGAACUGACCAUAGGCACACUCCCUGGCCCCGCAAGUCGGGUGAGUUAAUAGAAGAGAGAGAUGAGCGAUAGUACUAGAGAAAUGUUGUACAUACGUUGGUGCCUGGAUGAUCCCUGCAAGACACGGAAGAUUAGUUCGUCCAUGCAUGUGACCAGACUCCAGCAGACACGCCUGGAUUGGCUAUCGUCUACAUAUUGUGCAGGCUGUGUUGUACAGGGAUGUAGUUCUGGUGAGAAAUCUAAAAAAGGGUUUCUUGUCAUCUCACAAAAUUAGGUGUCAUGUGCUUCGGAUCACUGCGAGGGUUAAAAAGUGACAACUGAGUUCCUCCAAGGGGCUAGUCAUUGGGGGCACAUGCACGAAGACUACUCGGCUGCCAUCUAGGUCAAGCCGGCUAUCUUAAUUAGGACAUCUAUCGAUGGACCCCUUUUCUACGAGUGUAUCUUUAAUUUGAGCUUUGAUCCUCGUCUAGUUUGUCCGUCGGGAUUCAUGUUGUCUCCUUUGGGCAGUGAGGUUAUGGUUUCCUAUCAUGUGGCAUUUUUUCGUGUUAUAUGUUAUAAUCCGGUGGUUCAGAUCAAAAUGAUGACAACUGCGCCUCCGGGGCACGUGCAUGAAGACUUCUCGACGGUCAUUGACGAGGUCAAGCCGGCUCCAGUAGACAAAAGAAAACUAGUACUCCACUAUAUAGGCAGGAACCUCCGCACUUGCUUGCUAGUGUUGCUCUCUUCACACUGUCUCGUCCUCUCUAGAUCUAAACACGACAGUGGUGGCCACACACUCUCUCUCUCUGCCCAUCGGUGGUCACAUAUCCAGCUAGAUCCUCUCUUUCGGGGAAGGUGAGAAGGUGCAAUGUUCAUGUGGUCGUCCUCGGUGACGGCUCUUACCCACUGUCGGCGCGUCCCGAUCAGCGUGCCUUGCCGUUCUCUCCCAAGCACCACUGGCUAGGGAGGGCCUCUGACACCUUCUUCCUCAUUGUCAUAGUGUGGGCAGAUUCGGCCUCCUGCCGCCCACCUAGCGACAUCCUGACGACCCUUAGGUAUAACUUCCCUCGAAACCGGCCUUUCCCUACUUACCGAGCUCCUACGUUGCCGCAUUUGUAUCUUUUACUAUUUCUCAGGGCCCCCUCGUAGAUAGGAUCGAUCGACUGUUUGAAAGCCACCUAAGUUUUUACUGUUAAGAUGUAAAACUAGUUCAUGCACUCGAAUCUAGUACUACUUGGUUCAAACAAGGAAGAAAGGGGGUGGGGGUGGGGGAAGAUUUGUUACAUGAAUCUAGGACUCUAUUGAAAGAGGAAAUAAUGGGGGCGAAAAGUAGCAGAGACUAGCUAUCCAACUGGUCUCUAAGUCUAAUAGGGAAAUAGAGGGAAACGCAGUACAAACUCGAUAUAAACCCAAUCUAUUGGUUGAAAAGGGAAAGAAAGUGGGGACUGGGGAACAAGUCAACAGAGUAAGUCCAGCACUAGAUUUGCUAGCCUCACACAGUAUAAGGUGGCUAUACCGAACAAAAAUGGGACCAACCCAGAUAUCAUGUUCUGAUGUUUUUUGCCCCGAGCCACUCUUAUGUAAUGCCACUGGUAAAAUGUAGUAGUCGCACUGUUAAAAGUAAGGACACGUUAAACCAAUGUUGUUUUCAAUGUAAUGCCUCCAGUAAUAUGAAUCAAUGGCACUUAUUUUCAUGUCCUGCUAAAUUUCCCAUUAAGAUAAGUUGCUUAUUUUCGUCAAAAAUGCAACUGUCCUGGUCCGUCUACUCUCCCAUGCCCAAAUACCGACUCUGUAGCAGCUGUUAAUGUAAUGUUGCUGAUAAAAUGAAGGAAUGGCACCAUUAAAGUAAUGUCGUGUUUAACAGUUGUCAUAGUUAAUCCUAAUGCCCACACCAAUAUCUAGCAACGAUGCUGCUUUAGAAAUUGCUACUAUCCUCGUAGGAUUGCCAUUCAGAUAAGGAACAUGCCUCUUUUCAUUUGAUGUAUGUUUCAUCACUUGUUAGUCACCCUCCUUUCCACCUUUUUUGUGCAAAUAGAGAUAUACAUUUCGCGCUUGAUCUUAGUUGAACUGCACAAAUGAUAUCCAAAUUAUAGUUGAACAUUCCAGGAGCUUCACAACCAACCUUGAUGUUUCUCAAUUUUAUUGCAACCAAUGAAGAAGAAGCUCUGUGGGUUUCGUUUUCUGAUGGAAAUGGAACCGGGGCUGGAGCCCUUUUCUUUAAAAAAAGAAGCUGCUAGCUCAUGGGACAUUGCUUCAUUUUAGGUGAACUGCAACAAAAGGUCCCACGAAUUGAAUCAUCCAUGUUGGUGACUAGUGUCAUCAUUUCUAUGAUGGCGUUGACUGCAGAUAUGGUUCCCAUCACGAGGUAUGUUCCUUUUUGGUCUGACCGUUUGCCAAAGAUCUUGCAUGUUGAGUCUGCUCUUGUGCUACUAUUUUGGCACUACCAUGAUGAAGCAGUAAUGUUAUUAUUUUGCACCUUAAUCUAGUGGCACUAUUAAUUUGAGGCAAUGUUUUGGCACCGCUAAUGCCACUGAUUUUUUUUAUAUAUCGAAAGAGGGGGGUUCCUCCUAUUUCAUUAAAGAAACCCAACCAUAGAGAACCAUUAUCCGACAACAUCUCAAUGUAAACGGGCAGUUAUGCAACAACUACUACAACGGACUGAGUACUAGCAGGAGACAAGUUCGCCACAUAAUCUAGGCAGGUAGGGGGACGCAACACCAGCUCAACGAAGUUUGGAUUACAACCCAAAUUCUACCACACAAACAUCAGGGGGGAGAUAGGGACUGAAAGAGCCAGCUUCAGCAUCCCAGUCUAAGCACCCCCGGCCUCCAUCCUUGCGAUGCACGAUACACCUCGUUUGCCACCUGCUCGACCCUAGUGUCACUGAUAAAAUGAAGUAAUAAUAUAGUUAAAAUAGAGCGAGUGUCAUCUCAAUCAUUUCAUUUCCAAUGUAGAUAAAGAAAGUGCUUCUGUUUGUUAGUAUAUGUUUCAUCAACUAGUCCCAUUGUUAAUGUUUAAGCGUUUCUGCAAACUGGGGUGCUUAAUUUUAGUUGAUCUGCACAAAAAAAGAGAUUGGAAUGUCUCAAGGCCCCUCCUUGUAGUACCUUUGUACACUGAUGUUCAACACUGGCAGAAGAUGUAUUAGGGAGACUUGGGUCGAUUUCCAGUAUGAGGCGUACUGUAUGAGGUGUCACAGGGCCCAUCUCGCCCUCGCAGCAUGGCAUACUAUGAUACUAUCGCAAUAUUUUCUUCUAUUUAUUGGUGUAUGUUUCAUCAACUAUUGCCACUAUAAUGUACUCACGCUUUUUCAUUAUCUGUGCAAACAGGGUUAUUCAGCUGCAUUUUGGUGGAACUGCACAAAUGUACGGAUGGAACUGGCAUAUAUGCAGAGUGCGAGGUGUGCCAAGUAAAACUUACUGACACCAACCAUGCUCCAUGCACGCAUUGUCAUCCACCACCACCAGUGGGAUGUGUGGUGCUCUCUGUGGACGAAUCUUUCUUGGCAGCAAAUCCUCUAACCAAAUAUUGUUUUCUAGGUAGUACUCUUUUCUGAAAGAAGCACCAAUCUUAUUUGUACACAGUGUAACAACUUUGACCCAAAGGUCCAGAGCUAUUUUAGGGUGAUCGGCGUAGUACUCGGAGACUGAUUGUAAGCAUGAUUUUCAUUAGCUUUCACACUGAUUGUAAGCAUGAGCAGAUGAAAGAUUAGGUUAGUGUGAAGCUUACCUUAAACCCUACCGCCGCCGUUGAAACGAGGCAAGCAUCGAGAGAACCAUGGAGAACGGCAGGGAAACGAUGUCGCACCAUAUGGACUCCUCUUGUGGUGGGAGAACGAAUACUCCUGUGGCUCCGACUGGCUCUGCAUCCUCACGAACGUCACACCGUACUCGAUCGAUUCGUUAUCCUCUGGGUGCUCGACCUUCGACCUGUACGCCCACCACAUCCGCCUGAAUUUUGCCUUGGGCGAAUCUGUCUGCUCCAUCGUCCAGAGGAUAUACUCAAUGAACUUGAAGGAUGAAAGCACAAGUGCUCUUUGGGUGAUUUUGGUAAUUUAUGUCAACAUAUCUCUUGUUGGACUAAUACCUUUACCUAGUAUGUUUCAGAUAAGUUCAACAAUGAAGUGGCAUGGACUAGAGGAUGUGGAACCCCUUCAAGUUGCUAAGGACAAAAGGAUUGGCUCAAGCUCAAAGCACAAGACUCUACAUUUUUCAUUUUAGUGAUCCAAGGUCACAUUGAGUCUAUAGGAAAAUCCAAUACUAUCAAGAGGGGAUGAGGUGUUGCUUAAUGGCUUGCUUGCUCGAAGUGCUUAGUGAUAUGCUCCAAAGCCCUCAACCACUUUCUCACAUCCACAUAUGUCCCAAACUAAAAGUCAAACUCGGCCACACCGAUUCUUUCCAUCCGGCGCCACCGUAUUCUCAUGACAUAGCCACUGCGACAAACCCUAGUCCUUUUGGUCUCACCGAUAGGGAUCUCGGUCUCACUGAGAUGGGAUUGUAAUCUCUCUGUGUAUGUCUAUUACCAAAAUGGCUCUCAUUGAGUUUGGGUAAUCGGUCCUACCGAGAUUACAAUGCAAACUCUCUGUUCCCCUUCGUAACGUUUCGGUCCAACCGAGAUGAGCGAAUCGGUCCCACCGAGUUUGCCUGACCAACUCUCUAGUUAGCUUAUUACCAAAAUUGGUCUCAACGAGUUCGUGUAAUUGGUCUCACUGAGAUUAUGUUAUGCCCUAACCCUAACCAUAUGGGUCCCACCGAGUUGACAUGUCGGCCCCACCAAAAAUCCUAACGGUCACAUUAUUUGCUAAAUCGGUCCGACUGAGUUUCACGGUUUGGUCCCACUGAGAUUGGUAAGUUGUGUGUAACGGUCAGAUUUUGUGUGGAGGCUAUAUAUACCCCUCCACCCACUCUUCAUUCGUGGAGAGAGCCAUCAGAACAUGCCUACACUUCUAGCCUACAUUUUCUGAGAGAGAGCCCCCUACACUUGUGUUGAGGUCAAGAUAUUCCAUUCCUACCAUAUGAAUCUUGAUCUCUAGCCUUCCCCAAGUUGCUUUCCACUCAAUUUCUCUUUCCACCAAAUCCAACUCCUGUGUGAGAGAGUUGAGUGUUGGGGAGACUAUCAUUUGAAGUACAAGAGCAAGGAGUUCAUCAACACCACACCAUUUGUUACUUCUUGGAGAAUGGUAUCUCCUAGAUUGGCUAGGUAUCACUUGGGAGCCUCUGACAAGAUUGUGGAGUUGAACUAAGGAGUUUGUAAGGGCAAGGAGAUUGCCUACUUCAUGAAGAUCAACCCUAGUGAGGCAAGUCCUUCGUGGGCGACGACCAUGGUGGGAUAGACAAGGUUGCUUCUGCGUGGACCCUUCGUGGGUGGAGCCCUCCAUGGACUCGCGCAACCGUUACCCUUCGUGGGUUGAAGUCUCCAUCAAUGUGGAUGCACGAUAGAACCACCUAUCGGAACCACGUCAAAAAUCUCCGUGUCUCCAAAUUGCGUUUGCACAUUCCAAUCCCUUCCCUUUACAUUCUUGCAAAUUGCAUGCUUUACUUUCCGCUGCUCAUAUACUCUUUGCAUGCUUGCUUGAUAUGUAUUGUGAAUGUUAAACUUGUGCCAAAAGUCCACUUCAACUUAAAGAAAUUAAAAACUGCAACUUUUCUCACUUAGUGUCUAAUCACCACCCCCCUCUAGACAGCUCUUCUCGAUCCUUUCAAUUGGUAUCAGAGCUUUGGUCUCCAUUGCUUUGGUUUAAACACCAUUGGAGGAAGAUGGAUGAGUCUACUUUGGGGAGUCUUAGACAUAGAGUGCCUAUACUUGAUGUAGAGUAUUUUCAUGAGUGGAAAAAUGAGAUGCUUGCGAUUUUCAAUGAAUAUCAUUUGAACAAGUACAUUACUAGCCCUUGUGCACCUCAUGUUGAUCCUAUGCAUCCCACCCUUGAUGAGUCAAUUGACAUGAUUCGCAAUCUUAGAACUGUUAAUCUCAUUACUAGAGGUUUGUCUAGAAACUUGAUUGGAUGUUUGCCUACUCUUGAGUGUGCCUACACUAUAUGGAAAUUUUUUGAUAAAUGUUUUCCAAAUUAUUCCUUGAAAAAUAUAGAUGAAAUUCUCCAUAAGUCUAUCGCCUUGAGUAAGAUGAAUUCCAAUGAUCCUAGGUUUGGUGAUUGUCUAUUUCAGCUUAUAAAUCUUGUGCGUGCCAAAGGAGAUGUUGGACUUAUUAGUGAUAUUAUUUCCAAAGUCAUUAAAAUUCAUAAAGAAGAUUAUUGUCAAACUCAUUCUAACGAAUCAUCCUCUCUAGGAAUUGAUCCAUCACAUGACGAUGUUGAACAUAGAUACUAUGAUGAGGAUGAUGAUAGUGACUUUGAUCUUGAUGAUGCAAUGAGACACUUUGGUCUUAUGGCAAAUCUUCGGGGAUAUAUGGCAGGAGGAAAUGAAUGGGUUCUUGAUAGUGGAUGUACCGAUCACAUGACCGGAGAUAAAGAUAUGUUCUGUGAGCUUGCUGAAAACGACAGCCCUCGAAAGUAUGUCACUUUUGGUGAUAACUCAAAGGGUAAGGUUGUUGGCCUCGGUGUUGUGGAAUUGUCACGUCAGAUGUCCUCGUGAAAGGACUUAGUUGUGGAGCCAUCACAACUAGGAAGCUUGAAGGGGUUAAUCGGGACAAAGGACACGAGAGGGUUUAUACUAGUUCGGCCCCUUACGGUGAAGGUAAGGCCUACGUCUAGUUGGGUUGGUAUUGAUGUUUCGAUGACCAGGGAGCGAGAUAUGCUAUGCCUGGCUCUCGAUGAGUUGUUCCUUGCCCUAAGCCGCUAGCGGGUCGUCCCCUUAUAUACACGGGUCGACGCCCUGCGGCUUAUAGAGUCCCGGCCGGCUUAUAAACAAUGUCCGGCUCGGUGACUAGUUAAGUCUACCUUAUGAUACAAGUAAUACUAUUACAGCAGGUUACUACAACGGGCCUUAAGUUGCCUGCGGGCCUUAAGCUCUCUAUGAACCGCCAUCUUCAUACUUUGUCUUGGGCUUCUCUCUGGUGAGUCCUCUUUGCGUAACCCGGCCCCUCCUGGGCGGCUUACACAAAUAGUUAUAUCCCCAACAUUAGGCCCCAGAUUGAUUUGAACAGGUUCAUGUCAAUCUUAAAAUACCUUAUGAACCGCCCUGCAGUCUUUUAUCUUGCGCGAAGGAUUUUAACCCGCCGUGACGUCAUCAUCUAACUCCGGGUUAAAUCUCUGUGACGUUAUCUUCAUUAAAGCUUUAUUUUUUAUACCGUCACAUCUUCAACGGAUCUUUGUCUUUACUGACCAUCCCAAGAAUCAAGGCGCCAGAGCCGCUGGAUAAUGAAUGUUAUCUCCUCGUUUUUCGCACCUGCUCGGUCAGUCUUCCUUUAUAAAUAGAGCGACCUAGGUCUUCCCCAGUCGUCUUCUUCCUCUUGCCUCCUCCCGUGCUCUGCCGCUGCCACCGUCGACCCCCUCGUCGUCACUGACUCAGGCCGCUGCAUCGACCUGACUCCGACCAGAGAUCGACAGCGAACCUCCACGGCGUAUCCGCAUCUGUGAGCUCUUCUCAUUUCCUUUCUCAAAUCCGUGUUAGAUUCUUGCCGAGUUCAUCGGUGUUCAUCACCGCCCGACGCAAACCUUCUCUAGUUCUUUCCUCCAACGCCAUGUUUAGACCGUAAAAACUACAUAGAACUGCUGCGGUGCUUACUUGUAUUGAUCUCGAGCAGGAAUAGAUCUCAUUUCCCUUGCGUAGAACCCCUUUUCGAGUAUAUGAGCUUCUCUGCUUUGUUUUGAGGUCUAGGAAAAUUUCUUUCUAGGGCAAUAUUUUGAUCCAGAGUAAUAACUGUCCUCUGUGAAACUUGUCUUCAUCACCCGGAAAACCUCCUCUGGUAAAUGUCCUGAAAUACAACUGUCGAGGUAUCCGGCUUAAAUAAAUGAUACAGAACCUUGACUGCUCUUCAUGACCCGGAAUUUUUUUGAAUUGCACUUGAUACUUGUAGCGGCUUAAAUAUUGUUGCACAGUCAUCCUUAUAUCAUUAGGCCCCUCAUUAAGCCGCCACUUUAAUCAAGAUUUUCCUCCCGGGUUAAAAUUGAACCGGAUCUUCUUGUUUUUCCAUAGGCCAAUUGUUGUGAUGGCUCCUAAGGCUACCAAGGCCCCUGUAACUUGCAAUUGGGUUCCAUCCAUAGUGACCAAUAGCAAACUAGAUGAGUUUGUAAAGUCUGGGCAUCUGCCAAAAAAGGACGUCAUGUCGUACCGUGCCCCUGACCCAUCUGAAGAAAAACCUCACCCCGAAGCCAGGGAAGUAAUAAUUUUUACUGAUCAUAUGAGCCGUGGAUUUGCUCCUCCCGGCUCAAAAUUCUUCAGAGAGGUUUUGAACUUCUUUGACCUUAGACCUCAAGACAUCGGACCCAAUUCCGUGUCAAAUAUUUGUAAUUUUCAAGUCUUCUGCGAGGUGUAUCUGGGUGAGGAGCCGAGUCUGCUAUUGUUCAGGGAACUUUUUUACAUGAACCGGCAAAAUGAACGUGCCAACGGGACCAGUCUUGAGCUUGGCGGCAUCUCAAUCCAGCGACGGAGAGACUGUCUUUUCCCUUAUGCUGAGUUGCCAAGUCACCCCAAAUCUUGGAACCAGACGUGGUUCUACUGUCAGGACACUUCUCCGGCUGAUGAAAAACCUUUGCCCGGCUUUCGCGCCAUGCGUCUUGAGUCCAACCAUCCGCUACCAGACAAGCUGACAACUCUUGAACGUGUGCCUAUCAAUUCCACCAUCAAGAAAAUAAAAGCUCUAUUGGGGAAUGGCUUAAACGGCAUCGAUCUGGUCCGGGUCUGGGUCACCUGGCGUAUACUUCCAUUAAGCCGCCGUCCCGGCUUAAUGUGUACUUAUACUGGAGAAAAGAAUGAUCCGCUACGCCAUAACUCUGACGACUUACCAGAUGAUGUGGUGGAUGCUACAACCCAGUCACUUCUGAAGGAAGGCACUGUGACGAGCAACGCCUUCGGCUUACUUCCAUUUUGCAAGAAUAACCCGGCCCCUGCGGUAAGUUAUCAGUCGUAACAAAUGUUUACGAAUAUAUUAUACCUUUCUUGAUAUUCAUAAUUCUUUCACUUUUUCCACAGGCCGGUGAUGACUUCUGGAAGGUCAAAUAUGACCAUGAAGCUGCCAAACAGGCGAGGACAACCAAGAAAACUGAAAGGAAAGCCGCCAAGGUAGGAACCUCAAAGAAAAAGAAACCCAGCACCUCCGACUUGUUCAAAUUGGAUGAUACUUCUUCGGAUGAUGAAGAGGUAAUUCUUUAAUUUUCUUAACUCCCCUGUUUCUAUUUUACUGACAUUCUAUCCUUUCAGGAGGAUACUGGGAAUAGUCAAGCAGUUGAAGAAGAGGUAACUAUAAUCUCUUCCGACUCAGAGCCUUUGACAAGCCAAAAAAUCCGCAAGGUGACACGGAAAGUAAGAUUUUCACAUCCUCUAGCUUACCAAGAUCCUCAAUUUCUUUUGAAGCAACAACAGCUUGAGAACCGGAGGCAAACUCGGGCCACUCAAGACGCCGAACUCUCCUCCGGCUUACCUGAUGUAACCAGGAAACGUCGAACCGAAGUUUCCUCUGAUUUACAUUCUGCUUUUCCUUUGGCGGGUCUAACUCUCCCACCUCUUAAUUCAUCUGACUCCAAUUAUCAGGAUGCUUCUCCGUCUUCCGAUGAUUCGAUGCAAUCAAACAUGCCGGUUUUUAAAACAGCUCCCGGGUAAUGCAACUUUCUUACUUUAAGUUUUUCCAUACUUAUGCAUUGAUACUCAUCCUUCCACUUUGAUUGACAGUCUUCAAGUGAAGCCCAGCAAGAGGGCAAAGAAGAAUAAGCCGUCCCAAGACCCGGUGGUCCCUGAAUCGGCAAUUGAUUCAUCCGUUCCUGACGGCUCCACUCAUCAGCCACCGCCUAAGCCGGCUCUUGAUAUUCCAGUGUCAACCUCUGACCCGCCUACGGAAGACAUUGUCCACAAUUCUGAUAACCCGGAAAUUCAUAGCCCGGUCAAGACAACUGAUCCAAAAGUUGUAUUUAUGAAAAACCAAUAUGUUGAACCGGGCCAGCCUACUGUUCUUGCUCAGUGCACUGCCAAGGAGGAGCUUGCCCAACGUCGGAAAGCUAAACAAGAUAUCACUGAUUAUGCUCACCUAAGCAUCGGUGAUAUAGUCUCGGGUUACCUGAACCAAGUACACAAUAGCCGUGACCUAGAAAUUGACAUGGUGAAGCAAAUACAUCAUAAAUCUGAGGUAUAACUUUAACUUUUCCUGAACCUUACUUACUGUACCAGCCCCCAAGUCUAUCGCUUAUGAAUGAAUAUGUUGUAGACUUUAGAAAUCUUCUUUUACUUGUUAACUUAUCCGGCUUAAAAAGAAUUUAUUUAACCCGGUAUAACAUAAGGCCUUUAAAUUUGCAAUACACAUUAGUCCCCAAGUGUCAAGUAUCCUUACUUGUAAGGUGCUUGAGACUUAAUAUGUUUGACCCGGCAGGAUAAAGUUAAAAAUUUCUUCAGCAUACAUUAGCCCCCAAGUGCCAAGUAUCUUUACUUGUAAAGUGCUUGGGACUUGAAUGUUACCUUAUAAUCCUUACCAGAACCUGGUGUCAAUGCAGGUCACCAUAAGUCAAUUUGAAUCGGAGAUUGCUGACCUGAAGAGCCAACUGAAGCUUCAAGAACUUGAAACUCAAAAGGCAAACUCCAAGUUUGAAUUCAGCAUCUCUGAACAAGAGAAAUUGAAGAAAAAUUUUGAGUCAGAGAAAAAAGCUUGGGUUGAUGAAAGGGCUUCAUUAGCGGCUCGGGCCGAAACGGCAGAAGCAUCACUUACAGAAGCAACAACCGAACUGUCCGACUUAAAGCGGCAGAUAUCCCAAAUGGUCUCAGCCAUCUUCGGUAAGUCACUCUAAGCCUUUAAACAUUGUAAUCUUCCAAAAUUUAGUGUGACAAGUAUCUCCGGCUUAUUUUUAUGCUUGUGACCAUACAGGCCCCAGGAGUACCAACCUCAAGCAAAACAUGCUGACCAAGCUCAAGGCGGUUUACACCCUUGUGGAGCAGCUGUACUCCGGGUCACAACGUGCUUUAGCCAUUGUAGCUUUAUCAACUCCACAUCCCCGCCUUCUACAAGACGUAUUGAAGAGCCUCGCUUUUCUUCCUCAACGGAUCCAAGAUUUAAGGCGGGCAUCCUCAAGAGCCGGAGCCGUAGCCGCAUUGAGUCGGGCCAAAGCAUGGCUCUUAGAACUAGACCCGGCCGACCUUGCCCUUGGAUACCCAAGUCUGAAGGAAGACGGCACUGCCUUUGAUGACCAUGACUUCAACGCCUAUGUCAAAGCCAUACGUCCCGUGGCAACCCUUAUUGGAAAUGACAUAGAUCUUAGCAAGUAUGCACCGGCUUAUGACAGUGAAAACCGGAGAAUCCCAAAUGCUCCAUAUGAUCAAAUCAGUCUGAUCCCUCCAAUUCGUAAGCAUACUUUUGCUCCUAAAGUAGAUCCGGCCAGUUUAAUAGAUGAUGAAGCUGAGUUUGAAGCUUUGAGCGGCAUUGAUUGUGCCUCAUCAACUUUCCAGGACAAAACAACCGACGGAGAAGCGGAGAAGGAUAACUUGGAGCCCUCAAGACCGCCGAAGGAGUAAAUCGCCAAGUGUUUGGCCAAAAUACAAUGCUUCAUCUAUUCAGACUCGGGGAGUCUUGUAAUAGGGUAGAAAUAAUUUCUUAAUGCCCAUCAUGCCUUCAUGCAUGCUUUAUCACUUAACGCUUUUCGUAAGCCGCCAUGGCUGUAUAUUUCUGGAUUUGACUUUCUUGGCGUGUGUAAAUUCUGCUUGCCUUAUUCUGUAACCCUUGAAUGAUCUUCCCGGCUCAUAUAAUGUUCACCCGGUACUUAAUAACCUGGGGUGACGAAUAUUAAACCGGCAAAACAAAAAACACCUUAAAAUGUUUUCCACAAGGUAUCAGAAUAAUGAAAAUACUUUUACAGGCUUCUGAUUCGGAUACGAUCAGUAAACCGUUUCAAAGGGGUUAAGCUAAGAUUCGGAUAUGAUCAUAUAGCCCCCAGUGGCUUGGUGAUGCCGAUCAAGUGGGUAUCGAUAGCUAUGUUCUCUUUGGUUCGAAUACGACCUAUGUUUGAACAGGAAGCCCCCAAGUGAUCCUAAGAUUUGUUUAAUGACGCUGAUUCGUAUACGAUCCACGUCAGACCUAAAGGGGUUAAGCUGUGAUUCAGAUAUGAUCAGGAAGCCCCCAAGUAGGCUUGGCAAGUAUGCCGAUCAAGUGGGUAUCUACAGCUAUGUUCUCUUUGGUUCAGAUACGACCUAUGUUUGAAUAGGAAGCCCCCAAGUGAUCAUGGCUAGAUUCAGAUAUGAUCAUAAGCCGGACCAAAGGUAAAGCCGGAUUCAGAUAUGAUCCGGUUUCUUUUGGUUGUUUCCACCACCUGUCAAAAAGACAUAUAUACUAUUUUAAGGGUGAAAAAAGGACAAAAGUUCUGCUUUAUUACUUUAUAUAAUAUGUACAUUGUCAAAAAACAUAUGUAUCAUAAGAGCCGGUGGCUCAAGUAUAGUAAAACCAAAGAUAGGUUAUAUCCCAUGGCCCAAUAUCACUUAGAAAAGCCACCUAGACUCCAUAAACUAUGAAGAAAGGUGUAUAACCCGCUAGAUCGAGGCCACUUACCCUUACGCCUCUGAUCUUUACCCUGUUUAUUAACAUCGGCCACAAGUUCCGGGUUGUCAUCCGCUUUACGCUUAUUGCUAUUUUGAUUCUCCGGGCUGUGCUAUUGACCCUUUCUACUGUCAUUCCGUUUUCCGUUCCAUGUCUUUUCACCGUCAGACUCGGGAUCCUUGGUACUAUCAGAAUCGGCACAUUUGACCAGAGCCGCCAUCAGCGUACCCAUAUCCUUGUAGUCAUGUUUAAGGCGCCCCAACUUCUGCCUUAGCGGCUUGAAGCUGCAAUUCUUUUCCAAUAUAAGGGCAGCAGAGCCGACAUCCAUCUUAUUAGAUGAAUGAAUUAUCUCCUUGACCCGGCGUACCCAAUGGGUGGUAGAUUCACCUUCCUCCUGCUUACAAUUUGUUAAGUCCACGACUGUCAUAGAUUGCUUACAGGUGUCUUUGAAGUUCCGGAUGAAACGGGCCCUUAGCUCUUCCCAUGAACCAAUGGAAUCGGGUGGUAAACCUUUAAACCAAGACCGGGCUGUUCCAUCUAACAUCAUGGUAAAAUAUUUAGCCAUUACCGCGUCACUAACCUCCAACAGUUCCAUGGCCAUCUCAUAACUCUCGAUCCAUGCUUCAGGCUGUAAGUCAGCCGUGUAAUUCGGCACCUUUUGGGGUCCCUUGAAAUCUUUGGGCAGGCACACAUUGCGCAAAGCCGAUACCAAACAAGAAGAGCCACCGGCUCUGGUGGCUAUUCCCAUCUCAGUAGAAGUCGUUGGAUACCCCGGCAUAUCCUGAAGUGUCGUCUGUUGAGCCGCCAGCUGAGCCGUUCACUCUUUCUCCUGAUGUACUCGAUCUUGUACCGGGUUAUAGCCUCCAUGUUGGUCACAACGUUGGAUGUUGCGUGACAAGAUUUCAGAUCCUAUGUGCUUGUUGUAACUCUGACUCCGGUUCUGACGAGGCGGUGCUAACCAAAGCGGAGGAGCUGAAUAAGGUCUAUCCCGAUUAUAAGAAUAGGCCUCUUGCUGAGCCAGGGCUUUCUGAACAAGUUCCCUAAUCCUCCGGGUCUCCACCGCUAUCGGGUCAUCGCCAUCCACUGGAAGAGCCGCCAGAUGCGCUGAUGCUCUGAUUAAGUUCUCCAUAGGGUUGGAAAAGUGACCCUCCGACACCGGCACAUAACGCGGCGGUGCCAUGCUCAUAUGAGGAAGUGGCAUAAGCUGAUGUUGUGCCGGUCCUCCCGCUCCGGGUGUCAUAAACUGAUUAGCAUUGGACGGGUUACUUGGGCCGGCCCCGGGUGUGGCAAAAAGAACCCUAGGAUCGUAAUUCGGAGGCAACCAGGAUUGGGUCUUCUGGUAUCUCUUCCUCAUUACUUCAUUGGACGCGUUUAAACUCAUUUUGAGCUGAUAAGCCUCUGACUGCAACCGCUGGGCCUGGGCGUCGAGGGCCGCCCGCUCCAUAGAUAGCCUAGUAUCCUCAGCUGCUAAGGCCUCCUUGGCCUGAGCUAUUUCCUCAUGUACCUGUGCUACCUUCGCGUCAUGCUCAUCUUUGUUUGCAGGGAUGACCGUGGCGGUUAACAGGGUCGUAAGCUUAUCCAUGAGGUCUAUCAGCACUUGAGCCGGCGGGCGCACAGGGCCUCCUACCCCGGCUGCUCCUAACCCGGAAGUGAUUGCGGCCGCGGCUGUAGAGUUUUGUCCGGGUUGAGUCCCAACCAUAAAGACUCCUACCCAAUUUGGCGACUCACAGAGGUCCGGAAUACUAAGGCCAUCGGAACAGCCCCCGAGCGCACCCUCUUGAACUUGAUACAAAGAAGCUGUUGAACCGGUGGACGAAUUACCGUCAGAGGGGACGGCCGUCUCAUCACCAUCUUCAGGACCUUCAGAAAGCUCUUCUCCGUGGACGCAGCCCACAAAGACACGCUUCACGCCGGGUUGAACUCGGGCGGGUUUCGCACGCUGAGCCGUCUCGACGAGGUCGGUGCAGUUGUCCGGCUCAGGCCCCGGCUCACCAAUCCGGCCGAUAAAGACAUGGAUCCCUCCAAAGGGGACCCGGUACCCGUACUCAAUUGAGCCGGCGUCGGGGCCCCAGCCUUCGUCGUCGAUGUAGAUCUUGCCACGACGACUUUUGGUCAUCUAGCCCACUACGUAUCCCUUGAGCCCUUCAAAGUUGCCCUUCAAGAACUCGAAUCCACCGUGCGCUGGCCCCACGGUGGGCGCCAACUGUCGUGGAAUUGUCACGUCAGAUGUCCUCAUGAAAGGACUUAGUUGUGGAGCCAUCGCAACUAGGAAGCUUGAAGGGGUUAAUCGGGACAAAGGACACAAGAGGGUUUAUACUAGUUCUGCCCCUUACGGUGAAGGUAAGGCCUACAUCUAGUUGGGUUGGUAUUGAUGUUUCGAUGACCAGGGAGCGAGAUACGCUAUGCCUGGCUCUUGAUGAGUUGUUCCUUGCCCUAAGCCGCCAGCGGGUCGUCCCCUUAUAUACACGGGUCGACGCCCUGCGGCUUACAGAGUCCCGGCCGGCUUAUAAACAAUGUCCGACUCGGUGACUAGUUAAGUCUACCUUAUGAUACAAGUAAUACUAUUACAACAGGUUACUACAACGGGCCUUAAGUCGCCUGCGGGCCUUAAGCUCUCUAUGAACCACCAUCUUCAUACUUUGUCUUGGGCUUCUCUCUGGUGAGUCAUCUUUGCGUAACCCGACCCCUCCUGGGCGGCUUACACAAAUAGUUAUAUCCCCAACACUCGGUAAGGUGGCCAUGUCACAUGAUAGCUCCAUACAAAAUGUCAUGCUCGUUGAAUCUCUUGGGUACAAUUUACUUUCAGUAUCUAGACUUGUUGAUUUCAGUUUCAAUGUCCUAUGUACUGAAGUAGAUUGCCAAGUGUUUCGAAGAGAGAAUCAUAAAAUGGUAUUUACCGGUAUACGUAGAGGUGAUCUUUACAUUGUUGAUUUCACCGAAAAGGCUCAACCUAGAACUUGCUUAAUUGCUAAAUCCUCUAAAGGCUGGUUAUGGCAUAGACGAUUAGGUCAUGUGGGCAUGCGAAACCUUGACAAGCUUAUAAAAGGAAAUCAUAUCCCUUGCGUUAACGAUGUCAUAUUUGAUAAGGAUAGAUUUUACAGUGCUUGUCAAGCAGGUAAAUAGGUUGGAGGAAGGCAUCCCGUGAAGAAUAUCAUGACCACAAGGAGGCCACUCGAGCUACUUCACAUGGAUCUUUUCGGUCCCAACGCCUACAAAAGUCUCGGUGGAAAUUCUUUUGGUCUAGUUAUAGUUUAUGAUUUUUCAAGAUUUACGUGGGUGUUCUUUCUCAAUGAUAAAUCUCAGGUCCAGAAGAUCUUCAAAAACUUCACUAGGAAGGCCCAAAAUCAAUUUGAAGUGACGAUCAAGAAGGUUCGCAGUGCCAACGGAACGGAGUUCAAGAACGCAAACGUGGACACCUUUCUUGACGAAGAAGGGAUUUCACAUGAGUUCUCGGCUACGUACACACCUCAACAAAAUGGAGCUGUUGAGAGGAAGAACCGGACGCUCAUCGAAAUGGCAAGAACGAUGCUUGAUGAUUACAAGACGUCGACGCACUUUUGGGCGGAAGCGGUUGAGACAGCUUGUCAUGCAAAAAAUCGCUUGUAUCUUCACAAGCUACUCGGCAAGACGGCAUACGAGCUCUUCACUGGUAACAAACCCCAAGUUGGAUACUUUCGAGUAUUCGGCUCAAAGUGCUACAUUCUUGAUAAGCAUCGUCGUUCUAAAUUUUCUCCUAAGUCUCAUGAAGGUUUCCUACUUCGUUAUGGCUCAAACUCUCACACUUACUAUGUCUACAACAGUUUCACCCGAAAGGUUGAAGAGAUGGUAGGUGUGAAGUUUGAUGAAUCUAACGGCUCGCAAGUAGAGCAAUUGCCAAUUGAUGUAGGAGACAGAGACCCUUCGGAAGCAAUCCAAUACUUGUCUAUUAGCAAGAUUCAUCCAACGGAGGUGAGGGAGAGUACCUCGUCCAUCCAAGUGGAAGCUUCUACCUCAUGACAAGGUGAACCAAGAUUCGAUACGGAAGCAUCCACAAGUGGGGCGCCGCAAGAUGAAGAAAACGAGGAAGUACACGAAGUUGAACAUCAACAACCUCCUUCUCCACCAUGACAAAAGAACGACAACGUCAACAAUGAAGAAGGCCAAGAAGAAGAACAAGAUGAAGAAGAUGUUCGACUAAGAUCCAAGCAAAAACUUUCACGAGUUCGAGCAAGAGUUGCUAAAGACCAUCCCGUCGAGCAAAUCUGCAAUGGUAUCCAAACCGGGAGAAUCACACGCUCUAAAACCAUUCAGCUAACCUUUGUGAACAUUAUUCAUUCAUCUCUAGCAUUGAACCUAUGAAGGUUGAAGAAGCUUUGGAAGAUCCGGGUUGGAUAAACGCCAUGCACAAAGAGCUACACAACUUUGAGAGAAACCAAGUGUGGACAUUGGUUGAGAAGCCCGACAACAACCACAACAUCAUCGAUACCAAAUGGGUGUUUCGCAAUAAGCAAGAUGAAGAUGCACAAGUAGUUCACAACAAAGCAUGUCUCGUCGCCCAAGGCUACACUCAAGUCGAAGGUAUGGACUAUGGUGAGACAUAUGCCCCCGUUGCUAGACUUGAGUCCAUUCGCAUCUUAUGCUAAUCACCAUGAUAUCACAUUGUACCAAAUGGACAUUAUAAGUGCUUUUCUAAAUGGUGAAAUAGAGGAGGAAGUCUAUGUUAAGCAACCUCCCGGCUUUGUCAAUCCUAAGAAACCUAAUCAUGUUUACAAACUUCACAAAGCUCUUUAUGGCCUUAAACAAGAUCCUAGAGCGUGGUAUUAAUGCUUGACCAAGUUUUUUAUUGAAAAAGGCUUUGAAAUUGGAAAAAUUGAUUCCACUCUUUUUACUAAAAGGGUUAAUGGAGAAAUAUUUGUAUGCCAACUCUAUGUUGAUGAUAUUAUAUUUGGUCCGACUAACCCUCACUUUAGUGAAAAGUUUGGAAAGCUAAUGUCGAAGAAGUUUGAGAUGUCGAUGAUGAGUGAACUCAAAUUCUUUCUCGAUUUGCAAAUCAAGCAAACUAAGGAAGGUACCUUUAUCUCUCAAACAAAGUACACCAAGGACUUAUUCAAGAAGUUAAAUAUGCAAGAAUGCAACGGUAUGACUACACCCAUGCCUACUAGUGGACAUCUUGAUUUGACCAAAGAUGGUGAACCGGUUGAUCAAAAGGUUUACCGCUCCAUGAUUGGUUCAUUGUUAUAUCUAUGUGCUUCACAUCCUGAUAUUAUGCUAAGUGUGUGCAUGUGUGCACGAUAUCAAGCCGCUCCUAAAGAAUGUCAUCUUAAGGCCGUGAAAAGGACAAUGAGAUACUUAAUCCAUACACCAAAUUUUGGCAUUUGGUAUCCAAAGAGGGCCUCUUUUAAUCUUGUUGGCUACUCCGACUCGGACUACGCUGGUGACAAGGUUGAUAGAAAGUCUACUUCAUGUACUUGUCAAUUUCUUGGUAGAUCUCUUGUGUCUUGGUCCUCCAAGAAACAAAACCCGGUAUCCUUAUCCACCGACGAAGCAGAAUACAUUGCUGCUGGUUCAUGUUGUGCUCAAUUACUUUGGAUGACCCAAACUCUUAAAGAUUAUGGGAUAUAUGUGAAACAUGUUCCAUUGCUUUGUGACAAUGAAAGUGCUAUCAACAUUGCUCACAAUCCCGUGCAACACCUCUCGAACUAAGCAUAUUGAAGUUUGUCAUCAUUUCAUUCAAGAUCACGUUGCCAAAGGGGACAUUAAUCUUAAACAUGUUCGCACCGAUUAGCAAUUAGCGGAUAUAUUCACUAAACCACUUGAUGAGAAAGUGUUUUGCAGGUUAAGAGGUGAACUGAACAUCAUUGAUGCUUCAAACUUGGAGUAGGAACUCCAUUUGGAUACAUGCAAGGCAUGAGCCUAUGACUAAUCCUUGAUACUUCUCUCAUGAUGAUAAUCUUCUAUCUUGGAUAUAUUUGCACUCUGCAUGUUAUCUAACCCUUGUAGGUACUUGGAUGAAUCUAAAUCUAUGAGAUUGCAACUCACUCACAUCUUGAGCAAUCUCUACAUCACCAAGUCUCUACACAAUGGUGGUUGAAGACAAGGAAGCACGAAACCAUUCAAACAUAUCCUUUGACAAAUUCUAUGUUGAGUUUCAUGAUUGUCAUUUUGGAUACACAAGUGCUCUGCAUUGCAAAACUAACCCAUGUAGGUAGAUGAACUCAAAUUCCAAGUGGUGCUCCCAACUCUUGAUGAGCUACAUCAACCUUGAGCAACCCACACAAGUUCAACUACAUGAUCACGAUCAACACCACCACCCAAGGUAUGUUAUUAAAUCCUAGAGAAGCUUUACUCCAAGUCAUGAGUCAAAGCAACUCGACAAGAUGUGAAUACAUCAAGAUGCUUAAACAAAAAAUGGUAACCCAUUUUGAGCUUAAACAAUGAGUAUGACCUAUGAUCAAGUGAUCUCACUUGACUCCUAUGUCAAUAUACUCUAACAUAGGUGACUUUGCCGCCGACCAAUUCUAGAUGAAGUUAUCUUGUGUUAUUUUCUGUGCUCUUGCAUUUUAUUCUCAUGCAUAUUCAUUUCCCCUUUCAAAAAAAAAAACUUCAUCUAGAUUUCUUUUCUAUUCUGCAUUCCCUGCAUUCAAUUCUUUGCAAAUCUUUCAGUUAAUUCCUUGCAAAUCCUUAUGAGAUCUUACUUGUCUAAGUGAGCUGAGGUGACAAGUGUUUUCUCUGUGAUGAAUUCGGUCAUACCGGUCAAAUGCCUUCGGCUCAACUGACACCUUUCGGUGCAACCGAAACAUACAACUCGGUGCCACCGAUUUCACUACAGGAAAAACAGCUUGCCACUUAUUCCUGCUUUCCUUUUGAUCCAGCUCCACUCAAUGAUUCUUGUCCUCUACCAGCAUCACAUUCGACUUGCAGCUUUGUUCUAUGACUCAAGGACCAAACCCAUUCUAACAAGGGGGAGAGAGAGAUCACACUGUAACCCUUCUUGGAAAUUGAUGUCAAAGGGGGAGAGAGAGAUCACAUCAAAGCUUAGUCAUUUCUAUAGGGGGAGGAAUACUCAGGAAGAGAGAGAGACCCCAGAUGCUUGGUGUUCAAGAGGAUAGAAGUCACAUGUCUUUAAGAGGGGAAAGACAUGUUCAUAUUUGAUUGAUUGCAUUAGCUCUGUUUCUUUUCUUUGCUCUGAUUUUCUGUUCCCUAUCUUCUCCCAAUAUCCCAUGCUAGAUUCAGGGGGAGCAAGACAUCUAAGGGAAGAAAACCCUUGAAUUCAUUGCACAUCUUUACCUUUGGGGACAUGUCUAAAUCCAUUGUGGUACUUAGUACUCACUCUACUUGUCAUCCCAGUCUUGGUUCUCUUGUGGUUUCUUUUGUUUGCUCUGGCUAGUAGGUGUAUCUAUGUUAUCUAACCUUGUUUACGCAGGUUCAUUCCCUCCCAAGCCAACUCAAGACCACAAGGUAAGUAUAUGCAUCACAGUCAUGUGUAUGAGCAUUUCUUGCUGAUGUACAUACUGUUUGCAAGAAGGACUCAUGAGCAUGAAGGUACAUUUCCCAUAUUCACAUCAUUUGAUCUAAUGCAUAUAGCCAAGAUACAUGUAACACAUUGCUUACUCUGUCAUGCCUAUGCAUUCACAUGCUCCUAUAUUCCAUAUUUACAUGAUUGCAUACAUGUAGGGGGAGCUUAUGCAUGUUACAUGUCUUUCCAAAGCUUUGCUUGUUAUUCUCUAUAUCUUUAUCUAAAGCUUUGAUGUAUGUUGUCAUCAAUUACCAAAAAGGGGGAGAUUGAAAGCACAAGUGCUCCCUGGGUGAUUUUGGUAAUUUAUGUCAACAUAUCUCUUGUUGGACUAAUACCUUUACCUACUAUGUUUCAGAUAAGUUCAACAAUGGAGUGGCAUGGACUAUAGGAUGUGGAACCCCUUCAAGUUGCUAAGGACAAAAGGAUUGGCUCAAGCUCAAAGCACAAGACUCUACAUUUUCCAUUUUAGUGAUCCAAGACCACAUUGAGUCUAUAGGAAAAGCCAAUACUAUCAAGAGGGGAUGAGGUGUUGCUUAAUGGCUUGCUUGCUCGAAGUGCUUAGUGAUAUGCUCCAAAGCCCUCAACCACUUUCUCACAUCCACAUAUGUCCCAAACCAAAAGUCAAACUCGGCCAUCCGACACCACCGAGAUCUCAUGACAUAGCCACUGCCACAAACCCUAGUCUUUCCAUUCUCACCGAUAGGGAUCUCGGUCUCACUGAGAUGGUAUUGUAAUCUCCGUGUGUAUGUCUAUUACCAAAAUCGGUCUCACCGAAUUUGGGUAAUCGGUCCUACCGAGAUUACAAUGCAAACUCUCUAUUCCCCUUCGUAAUGUUUCGGUCCAACCGAGAUGAGCGGAUCGGUCCCACCGAGUUUGCCUGACCAACUCUCUGGUUAGCUUAUUACCAAAAUCGGGCUCACCGAGUUUGUGUAAUUGGUCUCACCGAGAUUACGUUAUGCCCUAACCCUAACCAUAUCGGUCCCACCGAGUUGACAUGUCGGUCCCACCAAAAAUCCUAACGGUCACAUUAUUUGCUAAAUUGGUCCGACUGAGUUUCAUGGUUCGGUCCCACCGAGAUUGGUAAGUUGUGUGUAAUGGUUAGAUUUUGUGUGGAGGCUAUAUAUACCCCUCCACCCACUCUUCAUUCAUGGAGAGAGCCAUCAGAACAUGCCUACACUUGCAACCUACAUUUUCUGAGAGAGAGCCCCCUACACUUGUGUUGAGGUUAAGAUAUUCCAUUCCUAUCAUAUGAAUCUUGAUCUCUAGCCUUCCCCAAGUUGCUUUCCACUCAAAUCCUCUUUCCACCAAAUCCAAAUCCUGUGAGAGAGAGUUGAGUGUUGGGGAGACUAUCAUUUGAAGCACAAGAGCAAGGAGUUCAUCAACAACACACCAUUUGUUACUUCUUGGAGAGUGGUGUCUCCUAGAUUGGCUAGGUGUUACUUGGGAGCCUCCGACAAGAUUGUGGAGUUGAACCAAGGAAUUUGUAAGGGCAAGGAGAUCGCCUACUUUGUGAAGAUCUACCCUAGUGAGGCAAGUCCUUCGUGGGCGACGGCCAUGGUGGGAUAGACAAGGUUGCUUCUUCGUGGACCCUUCGUGGGUGGAUCCCUCCGUGGAAUCGCGCAACCGUUACCCUUUGUGGGUUGGAGUCUCCAUCAACGUGGAUGUACGAUAGUACCACCUAUAGGAACCACGUCUCAAAAAUCUCCGUGUCUCCAAAUUGCGUUUGCACAUUCCAAUCCCAUCCCUUUACAUUCUUCCAAAUUGCAUGCUUUACUUUCUGCUGCUCAUAUACUCUUCGCAAGCUUGCUUGAUAUGUAUUGUGAAUGUUAAACUUGUGCCAAAACACCACUUCAACUUAAAGAAAUUAAAAACUGCAACUUUUCUCACUUAGUGUCUAAUCACCCUCCCCCUCUAGACACCUCUUCUCGAUCCUUUCAAAGGACUGCGGCGUGACUGCCGCCAAGGAGUACAUCGUUGAUGUCUCGCACUUUCGCAUACAUUGCCACAUGGCCCUCACCUUCCUCGAAAUCUCCCACUCAUUGUCAAACCAAGUAAGGAUCUCCUUCAACCUGGCUAACUUUGCCUGGUCUCCGCCGGUGAUCUGCCUGAUUCGCUGCUGCAUCCUCUCCAUAGAUGUCCUUCUGAGUGGUAUGGUGCUAGCUUUGUAAGAUGGGAGGAGAGACGGUGGUAUUGCAAUAGAGAAGAUGGAUAGGCAAGACGGUGGUUUCGGAAUGGAGAUGAUGGAGAGGAUAGGGGGUGGUUUCGCAAUGGAGAAGAGGGAGAGGUGAGACGGUGGUUUUGGAAUGGAGAUGAUGGAGAGGAGAGGAGGUGGUUUUGCAAUGGUGAAGAGGGAGAGGAGCGUGCGGCAGCGAUUUAGGAUUGGACGAGACGGCCGACGCGCUGUGACUAGAUCAAAAUGAAAAUCAGUUUACCCUUCAAUUAAGAAAGCGACCCCACAUUAACUAGUCUCCCUUUUAUUCUCGGUCAUAAUUGACCAUGAUUUUCACAAAUAAAAUAUAUGUUAUACGUUGCAAAAAUAAUAUAAUUUGAAAGUACAUUCAGAUACGAACCAAACGAUACAAUUUUUUGGUGACAUGCAUUCACAUUUUGCUUGUCAAAUACAAUACGUGGUCAAUCUUUGACCCAAAAUAUGCAAAACAAAAAAAAUACUUCCAAGACCAGCGCCGCUCCUCUCCUCUUAAACCACCUCCGCUCCUCUCCUCUUCCAUUUCAAAACCGCCGCCCCUCCUCUCUUGUUCCAAUCCAAAACUAGCAUCGCUCCUCUCCCGUUCUAAUCCAAAACCAGCACUGCUCCACUCCUCUUCCAUUCAAAAAACCACUACCGAUGAGUGAAGGUGCUGUGGAGAAGUAGAUCCAUGGAGGAGUACAACCGAUACGUGAGGAUCGCAGACGGCAACCCUGUGAAGCUAGCUAGGAUGUUGGAGUGAUAACCCACAAGUAUAGGAGAUCAAUUGUAGCCUCUUUCGAUAAGUAAGAGUGUCAAACCCAACGAGGAGCUAAAGGUAGAACAAAUAUUCCCUCAAGUUCUAUCAACCACCGAUACAACUCUACGGGCGCUUGACGUCUGCUUCACCUAGAACAAGUGUGAAACUAGAAGUACUUUGUAGGUGUUGUUGGAUAGCUUUGCAAGAUAAUAAAGAGCACGCAAAUAUAAACUAGGGGCUGUUUAGAUUAAGAAGCAAUAGUAUAGCGAGUGUGGAAAAGUGGUGGUAGGAGUUGUGAAAUUGUCCCUAAGCAAUUGACUACUUUACUAGACCGAUAGCAAGUUUUAUGUGGGAGAGGCAUAAGCUAACAUACUUUCUCUUCUUGGAUCAUAUGCACUUAUGAUUGGAACUCUAGCAAGCAUCCGCAACUACUAAAGAUCAUUAAGGUAAAACCCAACCAUAGCAUUAACAUAUCAAAUCCCUUUUAUCCCAUACGCCACAACCCCCUUACUCGGGUUUAUGCUUCUGUCACUCAAGCAACCCACUAUAAGAGAAUCAUGAACGUAUUGCAACACCCUACAGCAGGAAUCCCUCAAACUUGCGCGAAACGGAGGGCACAAUAGGAUAACAACAUAACCACAAGAAAAUUAAACAAAUCAUAGCAAUUCAUCAAUCACUGAUAGGACAACGAAAAUCUACUCAGACAUCAUAGGAUGGCAACACAUCAUUGGACAAUAAUAUGAAGCAUAAAGCACCAUGUUCAAGUAGAGGGUACAGCGGGUUGCGGGAGAGUGGACCGCUGAAUAUAGAUGGGUGAAGGUGAUGGAGAUGUUGGUGAAGAUGAUGGAGGUGUUGGUGUAGAUCACGAUGAUGAUGAUGGCCCCCGACAGUGUUUCAGCGCCACCAGAAGCAAGGGGGAGAGCGCCUCCCUUCUUCUUCUUCUUCCUUGACCUUCGCCCUAGAUGGGAGAAGGAUUACCCCUUUGUUCCAUGGACUCCAUGGCUUGGGAGGGGCGAGAGCCCCUCCAAGAUUGGAUAUGUCUCUUUGUCUCUCUCUAUUUUUGCGUUUUUUUAUUCUACCCUUUCACCGUUUCUUAUAUAUCCGGAGAUCCGAAACUCCGAUUGGAUUGAAAUGUUCGCCUAGAUUUUUCUCCGAAAAUUAGCUUUCUUGCGGCAAAAUAAGAGCAUCAACCGCCUUACGGGGUGCCCACAAGGGUCAGGGGCGCGCCCCCUGCCUCGUGGACCCCUCGGGCACCGUCUCGCGUUGAUUUUUCUUCCAGAAAAUCAUAAAUAUUCCAAAAAUAUUCUCUGUCUGUUUUUAUCCCGUUUGGACUCUGUUUGAUAUGGAGUUUCUGCAAAACAUAAAACAUGCAACAAACAGGAACUAGCACUGGGCACUGGAUCAAUAUGUUAGUCCCAAAAAUAGUAUAAAAAGUUGCCAAAAGUAUAUGGAAGUUGAAUAAUAUUGGCAUGGAACAAUCAAAAAUUAUAGAUAUAGCAUCCCCAAGCUUAAUUCCUGCUCGUCCUCGAGUAGGUAAAUGAUAAAAAGAUAAUUUUUGAUGUGGAAUGCUACCUAGCAUAAUCUUGAUCAUGUAAUCUAAUCAUGGCAUGAAUAUUAAGACACGAGUGAUUCAAGGAAAUAGUCUAUCAUUUGACAUAAAAACAAUAAUAACUUGGGCAUCCCAACAAGCAAUCAUGUCUUUCGAAAUAUCAAUGCUAAAGAAUGUUAUACUUACAAAAUCAUAUAGUCUUGUAUGCUCCCUUUUCUUAACACAAGAUACCCCUCAUGCUCAUCUCGGUGUCAGCCAAGAAAUUGGUUCAUACUUUUUAAUGUGCUUCAGCUUUUUCAACCCUCACGCAAUACAUGAGCACAAGCCAUGGAUAUAGCACUAUAGGUGGAAUAGAAUAUGAUGGUGGAGGUUUAUGUGGAGAAUACAAAAAGGGAGAAAGUCUCACAUCGACGCGUCUAGUCAACGGGCUAUGGAGAUGCCCAUCAAUUCAUGUCAAUGCGAGGAGUAGGGAUUGCCAUGCAACGGAUGCACUAAGAGCUAUAAGUGUAUUAAAGCUCAAACUGAAAACUAAGUGGGUGUGCAUCCAACUUGCUUGCUCAUGAAGACCUCAGGCAUUUGAGGAAGCCCAUCAUCGGAAUAUACAAGCCAAGUUCUAUAAUGAAAAUUCCCACUAGUAUACAAAAGAGAUGACUCAAGAGACUCUCUAUAUGAAGAACAUGGUGCUAUUUGAAGCACAAAUGUGGUAAGAGGAUAGUAACAUUGCCCCUUCUCCCUUUUUUUCUCAUUUUUUUAUUUUUUUAUUUUUUGGUGGGCUUCUUUUGCCUCCUUUUUUUAUUUGGGCUUCUUUGGCUUCUUUUAUUUUUCAUAAAGUCAGGAGACUCCUCCCGACUUGUGGGGGAAUCAUAGUCUCCAUCAUCCUUUCCUCACUGGGGCAAUGCUCUAAUAAUGAUGAUCAUCACACUUUCAUUUACUUAUAACUCAAUAUCACAACUUGAUACUAGAACAAAAAUAUGACUCUAUAUGAAUGCCUCCGGCGGUGUACCGGGAUGUGCAAUGAUCUAGCAUAGCAAAGAUAUCAAAAAAUGGACAAGCCAUGAAAUCAUCAUGCUAGCUAUCUUACGAUCAUGCAAAGCAAUAUGACAAUGAAUGCUCAAGUCAUGUAUAUGAUGAUGAUGGAAGUUGCAUGGCAAUAUAUAUCUGAAUGUCUUUGGAAAUGCCAUAAUAGGUACGUAUGGUGGCUGUUUUGAGGAAGAUAUAAGGAGGUUUAUGUGUGAUAGAGCGUAUCGUAUCACAGGGUUUGGAUGCACCGGCGAAGUUUGCACCAACUCUCGAGGUGAGAAAGGGCAAUGCACAGUACCAAAGAGGCUAGCAAUGAUGGAAGGGUGAGAGUGCGUAUAAUCCAUGGACUCACAUUAGUCAUAAAGAACUCAUAUACUUAUUGCAAAAGUUUAUUAGCCCUUGAUGCAAAGUACUACUAUGCAUGCUCCUAGGGGGGAGGUUGGUAGGAGUUAACCAUCGUGCGCCCCUGACCUUCACCAAAGAAUAACAAUCAAAAUACAAUGCGCGCCAAUUUGGUUACAUAGUUAGGAGACCAUACAUGCAUGCUUCGGGAAUCACAAACCUUAACACCAAUAUCCUUACUAAACACAACCAUCUACUAGAACCUCCCACAUAUUAUUAUCUCUAUAUCACAAAACUAUUGCAAGGAAUCAAACAUAUCAUAUUCAGUGAUCUACAAGUUUUAUGUAGGAUUUUAUGACUAACCAUGUGAAUUACCAAUUCCUGUCAUCUCUCUAAAUAGAUAUAAGUGAAGCAAGAGAGUUUAAUUGUUUCUACAAAAGAUAUGCCCACGCUCUAACAAAUAUAAGUUAAGCAAAAGAGCAUUCUACAAAUGGCGGUUUUUUAUGUGAAGAGAAACAGGCAACCCAAACUUCAAAUGAUAUAAGUGAAGCACAUGAAGCAUUCUAUAAAGCCAUACUCAAAAGAUUUAAGUGAAGUGCAAUGAGCAUUCUAUAAAUCAACCAUGGACUAUCUCAUACCAGCAUGGUGCAUAAAAGAAAAGUGAAAACUAAAUGCAAAAGACGCUCCAAGACUUGCACAUAUCGCAUGAACGAAACGAAUCCGAAAACAUACCGAUACUUGUUGAAGAAAGAGGGGAUGCCUUCUGGGGCAUCCCCAAGCUUAGACGCUGGAAUCUCCUUGAAUAUUUACUUGGGGUGCCUUGGGCAUCCCCAAGCUUGAGCUCUUGCAUCUCUUCCUUUUCCUCAGACUUUUUCUUUCCUUUCUGGCUUGACCAUGAGGCCAUGACUAUUCUAAUCUUACAAGAAGCAACCGCUGUACCCCGCCUUCUAGCUCUUAGACUAUCGAGACCUCCUCGAUCAAACACUUCAUCCACACAAAACAUCAACAGAAAACUUGGUAAGACCUAUUAGUAUAAGAAAGAAAAUCACUACUCUAAGUACUGUUUCAAACCAAUUCAUAUUUUGUUUUUGCAUUGUGUUUACUAUAAUAUAGCUUUUCCCUGGCUUAAUCCACUAAUAGAAAUUGAUAGUUUCAUCAAAACAAGUAAACUAUGCAUCAAAAACAGAAUCUGUCAAAAACAGAACAAUCUGUAGCAAUCUGAACAUUCACCAUACUUAUGGUACCACAAAAAUUCUACCAAAAUUUGGAAAAAUAAACAAUUUGUAUAGCAAGACAGUGCAAAAAUAAUCAGAACCGUUUGACGUUCCAGUAAAAAAAUGUAAAAUCGUGCACUAUGGCCAAAGUUUCUGUCCUGCACCGCACAAACCAACAAGCAUUGUAAACAUCCUAAAGGCAAACCUUGGCACAUUUUUUUUGUAAUACAAUGGAAUUGUACAAGGGGAUAAUUAUUUUUGAUGAAAAGUUUCUGUAAUUAAGAUUCACAAAGUUUCCGUGAGCAUGAACAAAGUUCAAGGAGCUCCCCCACUUCAACAAUGCUUGUCUCUGUCACUUUCACUUUCCUUUUUGAAAAGUUUUGGGUUCCCCUCUUUUUUUUUGUUUUUAAACUAAAUGAAAGCACUCAACAGAAAUAAAUGACUCUAUAAAACUUCCGGGUCAUCUCCCUGGCAGCGCUUUCUUUAAAGCCAUUAAGCUAGGCAUAUAGUGCUCAAGUAAUGAAUCCACCCGAUCCCAAGGUAUAUAAAAGCCAAUUUUAAUUAACAAUGAUUUGUAAUUUAGUAGUGAGCACAAAGUAACAUAUAUCAUGCAACAACAAAGUCUAACUCUCUUCCUAUGCAUCGGCAUGUCAUAAAAGAACAAUUCAUGCACACAUAGUAAAGGCCAAUGCAUAGUAUAAACAGUUUCUUGCAAUUUUAUCAUAUUGGAAACAUAGAGAGGUGGAGAUAUAGUUCCUCUCUCAUAAUAAUUGCAAGUUGUAGCAGCAAGCACAUGCAUAUUAUAUCUAUCAAAAUCAUCAUGUGCAACGGUAAAAUGCAACCCAUCAAUAUAAUCCUUAAUAAGAACAAACUUGUCCGAUAUAGUGUAGUUUGGAGAAUUCAAAAAGAUAAUAGGACUAUCAUGUGUGGGUGCAAUAGCAACAAUUUCAUGUUUAACAUAAGGAACUAUAGCAAGUUCAUCUCCAUAAGCAUAAUUCAUAUUGGCAUCAUGGCCACAAGCAUAGCAAGCAUCAUCAAAAAGGAGUAUUUCAAGAGAAUCAACGGGAUCAUAACAAUCAUCAUAAAAUUCAUCCUUCGGUAAGCACGAAGGCAAAUUAAACAAUGUAUGAGUUGAAGAGUUACUCUCAUUAGAAGGUGGGCACGGGUGAUCAAUCCACUCUUCCUCCUUUUGUUCUUCGCUCUCCUCCUCAUCUUUUUCAUCCAAUGAGCUCACAGUUUCAUCAAUUUAUUCUUCCAUAGAUUCCUGCAAAAUAUUAGUCUCUUCUUGGACAGCGGAGACUUUCUCAAUAAACGCAUCAAUAUUAGCAUUGUAUUCAUAAUUCUCAUUACAAUAUUUAAGUAUAGGAAAAAAAUUAGGUCUGUAAACAACAUCAUCAAGAUUUUCACACUCUUUAAACAGAGAUUCAAUUUCAUAAUCACCCAUAAAAGCAAUGAAUUCGUCUAUUUGUUCCACAUCAUAGUAAUCAUAUAUACCAUUAGCAUAAGAAGCUAAGGUUUCAUUAUCAUUAAAUUUGCAUGAAAAGGGAAGGUGUGGAGCCUUCAUCCUAGAGCAACAAGUAUAAUCAUAUCUCAAGCAUAGUUCUCGAGCAUACCAAUGCAACAUAUGAAUUUGAUCCCAUAAUAAUUUCCCUUUUUGAGUUAAGCGAUAAUUCCUAAAGUAUUCACGUUGAUCCAGCGUGUCUCCCAUUACAUAAUUGAAUGGGGUUUUCUCAGGAUUAUUAAAGUAGUACAUAAUAUUUUUCACAUAACCAGCAUCGAGGGUUUUAGGAGGUUCCCCAUCUCCAUGAGUAGCAAGUACACCUAAUUUUUUUGGGUAUUUCGUGUUCCAUAUCCAUAACUAAAGAUAGAGAACAACUUAGAACAACAAAUAAAAUCUACUUAGUGAUAAAGCAAACAAGCACACACGAGAAUAUUCACCCCACGCUAUGACUCCCCGGCAACGGCGCUAGAAAAAGGUCUUGAUAACCCACAAGUAUAGGGGAUCAAUUGUAGCCUCUUUCGAUAAGUAAGAGUGUCGAACCCAAUGAGGAUCUAAAGGUAGAACAAAUAUUCCCUCAAGUUCUAUCGACCACCGAUACAACUCUACGCGCGCUUGACGUUCGCUUCACCUAGAACAAGUAUGAAACUAGAAGUACUUUGUAGGUGUUGUUGGGUAGGUUCGCAAGAUAAUAAAGAGCAUGUAAAUAUAAAGUAGGGGCUGUUUAUAUAAAGAAGCAAUAAAGUAAGUAUAGAGAGUGUGGAAAAGUGGUGGUAGGAGUUGUGAAAUUGUCUAAGCAAUGGACUACUUUACUAGACCGAUAGCAAGUUUUAUGUGGGAGAGGCAUAAGCUAACAUAUUUUCUCUUCUUGGAUCAUAUGCACUUAUGAUUGGAACUCUAGCAAGCAUACGCAACUACUAAAGAUCAUUAAGGUAAACCCCAACCAUAGAAUUAACAUAUCAAGUCCCCUUUAUCCCAUACGCCACAACCCCCUUACUCAGGUUUAUGCUUCUGUCACUCAAACAACCCACUAUAAGAGAAUCAUGAACGUAUUGCAACACCCUACAACAGGAAUCCCUCAUGCUUGUGCGACAAGGAGGGCACAAUAGGACAUCAACAUAACCAUAAGAAAAGUAAACCAAUCAUAGCAAUUCAUCAAUCACCGAUAGGACAACAAAAAUCUACUCAAACAUCAUAGGAUGGCAACACAUCAUUGUACAAUAAUAUGAAGCAUAAAGCACCAUGCUCAAGUAGAGGGUGCAACAGGUUGCGGGAGAGUGGACCACUGAAUAUAGAUGGGGGAAGGUGAUGGAGAUGUUGGUGAAGAUGAUGGAGGUGUUGGUGUAGAUCACGGUGAUGAUGAUGGCCCCCGGCAGCGUUUCGGCGCCACUGGAAGCAAGGGGGAGAGAACCCCCUUCUUCUUCUUCUUCCUUGACCUUCUCCCUAGAUGGGAGAAGGGUUUCCCCUCUGGUCCAUGGCCUCCAUGGCUUGGGAGGGGCGAGAGCCCCUCCGAGAUUGGACCUGUCUCUCUGUCUCUCUCUAUUUCUGCGUUUUUUUAUUCUGCCCUUUCACCGUUUCUUAUAUAUCCGGAGAUCCGUAACUUUGAUUGGAUUUAAACCUUCGCCCAGAUUUUCUCCAAAAAAUAGCUUUCUUGCGGCAAAAGAAGAGCAUCAACCGCCUUAUGGGGUGCCCACGAGGGUCAGGGGCGCGCCUGCCCCCCUGGGGUGCGCCCCCUUCUUCGUGGUCCCACGGGCACCGUCUCACGUUGAUUUUUCUUCCAGAAAAUCAUAAAUAUUCCAAAAAUAUUCUGCGUCCGUUUUUAUCCCGUUUGGACUCUGUUUGAUAUGGGGUUUCUGUGAAACAUAAAAUAUGCAACAAAUAGGAACUGGCACUGGGCACUAGAUCAAUAUGCUAGUCCAAAAAAUAGUAUAAAAAGUUGCCAAAAGUAUAUGAAAGUUGAAUAAUAUUGGCAUGGAACAAUCAAAAAUUAUAAAUACGACGGAGACGGAUCAUGGAGAUACAGUCUUGGUUUGACAACAAGGACCAACUAGUGGCGAAGGCGACAUCCAUGGCCAAAUAUCUACAACAGAGCGAAAAGGCGGCGAUACUCCCGAAGGGAGUCGCGCGGGAGUACAUAGAGCUGCUCCUCUAGGCCAAGGAGCAAACAGAUUCACCGAAUCCGAUCGCGUGGGAGCGGUGGUGGGAGUAUCGAUCCUAGAUGGAGCAUCCACCAGAGAUUAAAGGAUCGAACAUCUACAGGGUACCGUUUGUGAGGGAGUCGUGCCAGAGCGAGCCGGCGGAGUCUUUGUCGACCGAACCCAACUUCAAGAGGAGAAAAGCAGUUGGCCCGAUGACGCUUCCCCGCCAUCCUCUCCCUCGUCGUUCACAUCAUCUCACGGGGCGGUUGUCUGCCGCCGAGGAAUAGGAGGGUACUACCCCCCAGCCCAAUAGUCAAGUAGGUUGUGAAUUGUCUGGAGGAGCUUAGGGUUGUCAGUAUUUGCAGGUUGUGAAUUGUGUUUUGUGUUGUGUAUUUUGAGAGUACUUUCAGAUAUGAAUGUCUUUUGAAUUUCAGAUUUGCAGUAUUGAGCAUAUGAAGUAUUUUAUAAAUUCUAGAGAUCUAUUUUUAGCACUUAAAAAUGUAGUUUCAUAGGAGUAUAAAAGUGCAGACAAUGUGAUUCUCAGAGAAGAAACUGCAAGUUUUAGUUUCAGAUAAGAAACUGCAAGUUCAGUUUCAGAUAAGAAAUUGCAACUUUCAGAGGCAGAGCAUUUAUAUUAACACAGCCUUUUCAAACAGGUUUAACAUCAUGUUGGACAUUUUAUUCAUUGUCGAAAAUUGAACUACCAGCCAGUUAACAUCAUGCUGAUCAACAUUCAUGCAUAGCACAUCUUCAUAUGAUGCACAGUCAAAAAGAUAUGCUAUUUUCAAAAUGUCCACACAAUGUCGAGUGUGCGAAAAAUAGAGAAAACGAGGGACGAAGUUUUGGAAAGUGUUGGAUCUGGUGUGCGUAGAUGACAAUGGGGACCCACAUGUCAAUAAUGGCAGAGGCAAAGAAUUUGGAGAUAUUUUCCCUGCAUCAGGUCGAAUCAAACCCGGGCGGAACAGCUGUCGGGCAGUGUCACUUGGCCACUGGGCUAGUUCAGUACUUUCGUUACAAAUAAGGCACUUCCUCAAGAGGUCGGAUCUCCUCCUACGCCUUUGUGCGCUCGCUGCGGCGCCACUGUCUGCCAUUGUGCACAUGCUGAACAAACGAGAGGAAUCUGCAGAGGACUAUACGUGGAGAGGCGGACAGUCGGGACCCACCAGGUCUAUGGCCGUAUGCAAGCAAGUGCCUCAUCGAAAAAAUACUUCCUCCUAAUGCUAUACUGACAUUGGGGCCCACGGGUUUGUCAACAUAGUUACAUUUUUUAGGUGCUUCAACAUAGUUACUAUAGGAGAUAAAUUCACAAUGAAGCCGGGGAGCUGGAAGGUAUCAUUUAUUAUCACUCGAGCAGCAAGUAUCAGCUGGGUUUUGGGCUGCCCCGUCUAGGCUUUCUUUUUUAACAUGCGCAGCCCACGACAUGCCGGUUUGUAUUUUCUUUAGGGCCGUUAUGUAUCGACCGGCCUAUGGACCUCCAUCCGAGGUUUUUUUCGUGAAACAUCGGUAGCCCAAUUUAUGUUUUUUUGAAGAAAACACAGAGGUCUAUUCUAUUAUUCUAUAUAAGAAUAGGAACGCCUGGUCUAACUUAUGUUUCCCUUCUAACUAUAUUAUAUAUAUUUAAAUUAUUUUAUAUGUUAUUAUAUGUUAUUGUUAUUGUCAUCAUAUAUUUAACAGAUACUUACAUAUGUAAGAAAAUAAUAUCCCACAUCUUAUUAACUUAUAAAAAUAAUUUCAUAACAACAAAAUCCUGGAUUUUUUUGGCAACGAAAAUCUUGGUGAUUGUGUACAAAAGCUUGGUAAGAGUUAAGGACCAAUGUAAUAAUAAAUCACUUAUUAUUUAAAUAUAUUUAUAACAAAAUGCUCAGGCCCUGUUUAUUUUUUGAUAACAUUGUUGCGCCCAACCCAACAUUAUAAUUAGAAUCAGACCAGCAAAAUCAUGUAUUUCGAGAAAGUGCAAAUGGCCUGUAAUUUUUUAGGAAAAAAAUAAAUGGGCCGCAUGGACGCUACAUUAUUUGUUCACCCAGCCCAGCUAAUGGACUGUAAUUCUAAAAAAAGAGAUCUAAUUGACUGUAAAUUCUAAAAAAAUUGGUUGAAUACGUGCCACAUUUUGGAGGCUGAAAUGUGGGCCAAUAGGUCGAAACCAGUGCAAGUCGUUGUCAACUUAGUCAACAAAUAAUUCUCACAAUGUUAGCCGUUGGAUUUACAUCCAACGACCGCCAUCCAUCUUCAAUCUCUCGUCUUCUUCCUCCAGCGACGCCGGGACCACCUGCUCCCGCCUACUACUGCUAGCAGCACUGCUUAGCACGCUUCCCUGUUAAGCACUACCCCACCGUUGGCCAGGCCAUCCCUCCACCCCUCCACACCUCCUGUUCUUCUCCACCGACUGCCGAACCACACCGUACCAGAACUAGUUAACCCUCGUACACCUCUCCGUCUAUGACUCUACUCCCGCAUCUUCCCAUCUCCGGCUCGUUGCUGUCCGAGACCUCGCCAUCGUCCACCAUGUUGGAUGCGCUCGGCGCGGAGUGGUCAACGUGGUCAACGAGCGACAUCCAUCGAAAGUAGAUUGUGCAUGGAGUGGCUGACAGCUGGGUCCACGGCCGCACACAAGGAAAUGCCUCCUUAUUAUGCGCAAAAUAAUGAUUCCUCCACCUAACAGCUGGGACCCACUGGAAUGGCCUCUGUAUUUCAUAAAAAAAAUGUUUCCCCUGUUGACAGGUCGGACCCACCAACUAUAUCUUUGCACGCAAGGAAGGGCCUCCUUAUUACGCACAAAAAAAUGAAUACCCCUGCUAGCUGGGACCCACCAUAGUGGGAGGCUGACUUGUGGGCCUACUAAGUUGAUGGGGACGGAGGGCUUUGUCAAGGUAGUCAAUAUGAACGAUUCUAGCUCUAGUGACUGUACGAUGUCCAUCCAAUGGCCAUAGUGCUUCUUCAACCUCUGGUCUUCUUGAUCCAGCCACCCAAACCAGCGUCGGUCGUGCCGCGUGCUCCUGCCUCCCGUGGCCAGCUAUGAUGUCGUGGAGGCCUCAUCGCCCCCUACUACUCCCACCGAUGGCCAGGCCAUUCCUCUACUCACCCACACCCCCUAUUAUUCUGCAACGACGGCAGCCUCACACCACAGUCAAACCAGUGAACCCUCGUACUCCUCUCCGCAUGGGCAUCCACUGUCGUGUCUUCCCCUUCCUAGGCCUCGCCGUCGUCCACAGCCCUGGUUCUCUCGGCACGAUGUGGUCAACAUGGUCAAGGAAUGACUUCCAUCGGAAGAGUACUGUACGUGGAGAGGCUGACAGCUGGGUCCACGGCCGCAGCAAGGAAGUGCCUCCUUAUUACGCAGAAAAUAAUGAUUCCUCCACCUGACAACGGGGACCCACCGGACGGGCCACCAUAUUUCGUGGAAAAAUGUUUCCCCCUAACUGCUAGGACCCAACAGCUACAUCUUCACACGCAAGGAAGUGCGUCCAUAUUAUGGGCAAAAAAAUGAUUCGCCCCCUGACUACUGGGACCCACCACUACAUCUUCGCACGCAAGGAAGUGCCUGACAGUUAGGACCCACCUAGUCGAAGCAUAGUGUUGUCAUUCUGGUCGCGAACGUGUACGUACAUACUGGUCGAUCGGUCUGUCUGCAGGCUGCAAUGAUGAACCGUGGCCGUGCAAGGAAGGGCACGUGUCAUAGUAGAGGCGCACACGUAGCAUGUACAUGUAUGUACAACAGCCAGGGUGCAAGAAAGUAAAUACGGCCACAUGCGUACAUACGGGCGGGGUCUCGAACGCCUACUCGCGCAUACGUACGGCCAGGGCUGGUGUACAUGGCUGGGUUGGAACGGAGAAACUGUGUCAUUGUCGUGUACAUGGGGAGCCAACCGGCUGGGUCAGAAUGGAAUGCAUCAUCGUGUUCAUCAGGAGCCAAACGGCUUGGACGGAACUGACGAUGGAAAUGAGGCCUAGCGUACCGCAGAACGAAGGAAACAGCCUUGUGUUCGACUGGCCACAGUUGAAACGGGUUCUUGUUCAUCGGGAGGGGUCUGGCAUAGCGCAAAACGGAGGAAACAGACUUUUGUUGGACCUCCUAUGGUCGAAACGGGUCUUGUUGAUCGGGAGGGGUGUGGCAUACCGCAAAACAAAGGAAACGGACUUGUGUUGGAGCGCUAUGGUCGAAACGGGGGUCCUGUUCAUCGGGAGGGGUGUGGCGUACCGCAAAACGGGACUCCACGGGAUACAGUUCAUCUCUACCAUCGACCUCCUCCGGCCUCCACGGGCUACUGUUCAUCCACCGUCGACCUCCUCCAGCCUCCACCUGCGACUGUUCAUCCACAGGCUCCUUUUCAUACAGCCUCCACUGCGCACUCCUCCACCGGCUAUUAUUCAACCGGCCCUCUCCACGGGGUCCUGUUCAACCACCCCUCCACAGGCUACUAUUCAUCCAGCCCUCCACCUGCUACUGCUCAACCAGCCCUCCACCGGCUACUGUGCAACCUUCCCUCCACGGGGUCCUGUUCAUCUAGCCCUCCACGGGGUCAUGUUCAUCCAUGCCCAAUCGGCUCGAUCGAUCGGGGUCCUAUUCAUCCAAUGACAACACCACGGGGUCCUAUUCAUCCAAUCCCCCACCAGGAACAGUUCAUCCAAACCCCCCAACAAUGCUCACUGUUCAUCCAGAGGCAGCAUCGAUCGACUUCAGUUAGCAGCAGCAGCAAAGGAAUCGCUCGAUCAGGUUUAGCUAACAGCCAUCGAUCGAUUGUUCGGGUUCAGUAAUGCGUAGCAUGUAGUGCAAUCGCUCGGGUUCAGUUAGGCGAACGCCUUGCUCGGGUUCAGUUAGAGCCCAAUGCCUCGCACCCACGUGCGUACGUGUACGAGAGAAACGCGCAUCGCUUGGCCCCCGACCACCCACCGUAACCAGGAACUCCCCGAUAUUUUCCUCGCCCUCGCUUCCACCAUGACUUUUUCCAUCAUGUACGGCCCAAAGAAUGUCAUGCAGCUGCGUCUCCGGCCCACCCAGGACAAAAAGCCCAUUUUUUGUCAUGAUUUUUUAUCAUAGAAAUAAAAGCCCACCACAUCUAUGGUGAUACCGGGUUUUGUCACAAUUAUCGUCAUAAAAGUGUCAUAAGUAUGACAGGAAAAAAAUUCAUUCGGCUUAUAAUGUCACGGAUGUGUCUUUUUUUGUAGUGAGUACUCCUCUGACCAAACCAGAUGCCUCAAGCUUAUUAAUCUCCUCGGCAAUGAGCUGCUGCCACUCAAAGGCCUGCUUCUGCACCUUUUGCUUGACGGGUCGGGCAUGUGGGCAGACAACAAGGUGGUGCUCAAUUACCUCCCUGGAAACACCGGGGAUAUCAGAUGGUUGCCAGGCAAACACAUCGAUAGUCGCCCACAGGAAGGCAAUGAGCGCGCUUUCCUAUUUUUCAUCAAGGGUGGCGCUGAUAGUAAAAGUACCAUCAACACCAUCCAGCCCUGCCGGGACCUUCUUCACAUGGGGUGCAGCAGCCUUGGCCCUCUUGCUGUUGGAACACUCCGGCACGUCAUCAACGGGUAUCGUGCACUCGGUAGGGGCACGCUUCCCGGAUUCCUUGCCAAAGUCCCUACAAUCCUUCUUCUUUCCUUUACUUUCCUUGGCGGGCACCGCUGCUUCAGGAGCCUCUAUCGCGAUAGCGUUCUGAUACAUCUUAUCCAUGCAUAUCAUCACAUCUUUCUUAUCUUAUGGAAUGGAAAUGACGCCCAUUGGGUCUGACAUCUUCAAGGUGUUGUAGGCAUAGUGGGAUGCCGCCAUGAACUUGUCCAGGGCAGGGCGCCCAAGAAUUCCAUUGUAUGGCAGGGGAAGGUCGACCACAUCAAACACAAUCUUCUCAGUCCGGUAGUUCAACUCACCCCCAAACGUCACCGACAAUGUGAUCUUUCCCUUAGGAUGGCUCCUGCCGGGAUUAACUCCUUGAAACGUGCCAGUGGCCUUAAGCUCUUCUUUUACUCUCUGAAGCUCGCUGAGAACAUGUGGGGAGAUCAGAUUCAACCCAGCCCCGCCAUCAACUAACAUCUUUGUGACCCUGAGGUUGCAGAUUGUUGGGGAGACCAACAACGGCAGGCACCCCACCGCAGUGGUGCGGUCAGGGUGAUCCUCCUCAUGAAAGAUGAUGGGCAUGUGUGACCAUUUGAGUGGUUUCCAUGAAGUUGCCGCUGGCUCCACGACAUUGACUUCACGCGCCCAUUGCUUAUGUUGGCGGUGAGAGGAGUGCAAAGAUGCACCCCCCCGUCAAUGCACAAGGCGUCGGUGGCCUUCUGGAAUUCCUGCUCACUAGUUUCCUCUUCAUCCCCUUCAUCACUUCCAGCAUCAUUAUCCUCCUUCUCUCUGUCCCUCACGGGUUUCCCUUGGUUCCAAGGAGCUUUGCUAGGGCAAUUUGCUUCACCGCCCCGGCCCUUACCGCCAGUAUUAUUCUGACCUCUCUCCGUAUCUCGCUUCUCAUACUCAGCCCUCUGCUUCUUGACGAGCUACCCAACUUGAUGACACUCCUGGAGAUUGUGUCCCUUGGUCCGAUGGAUCUUGCAGUAUGACCCAUCACUCUUUCUAGCUUUCUCGGCAGCCGCGGCCUCCCGGCAGUCAGCGCACGCGGCAACUUCCUUGCUGGGGGCUUCGGCUUUUGCCUUCUUUCUAGUACCAGGUGUGCCCAAUCCCUCAACGGUCAUCACUACCAUAUCCUUACACUUCUUGUUGUGCUUCUUAUUCUUCUUCUUCUGGCUAGUGGUCUUAUCGUCAUUUUCUGAGUCGUUGUCGAUGCAAUCCUCCUCUCCGGGAAGCUUCCUCCCUUCCUCCACCCGAGCACAUUUGUCCACCAAAGUGUACAGCUCCUUCACAGUCUUGGGAAGCUUGACGUUCAUCUUGGAAUGUAUCCUUUGGUUGCGCACAUUAGACUGAAAGGAGGCUAUCACAGCUGUCGGGUGGAUAUCUAGGAUAUUACUGUGAACUCUGUUCAACCUUUGCAAGUACUUCCACAGAGUUUCUCCUUCUUUCUGCUGGAGGAGCUGCAAAUCGCUGGGCCGCCCUGGUUCUUGAUGGCCCCCCGUGAAGGCACCAAUUAACUCAUGUCACAGGUUAGCCCAGAAUGAGAUGGAGUUCUCCGGCAAGUGCAUCAACCAAGACCUUACGUUAGACUUAAGUGCCAAAGGGAAAUAAUUGGCAAAUACCUUCUCAUCUCUUCCUCCGGUAGCCUGAACAGCGAAGGUGUAGAUGCUCAAGAACUCUGCUGGGUUCAAUCUUCCAUCAUACUUCUCAGGUAUCUCUGGCUUGAACGUGCGAGCGGACGGCCAACGGACUUGCCAUAGCUCAUGGGUGAAGGCAGGGCACCCGACCUCGGAAGGUAGGUACCCGCCAUCUCUGAGCAUGGGCUCAUUGACGUUGAGGCCAUCGUAACCGUUGGGUUGUAGGUAGACGUCACGACGCCGUACGGUGACUACGCGCGCGGCUUCUCUCCGCCUGUCCUCCGGGGCCCACCGUGGUUCUUGCCAUGCUUGAGGAUCAGAGGAAGCCAUCGAUACGUCGUCGGCCUCUUGGAUACGUGGCUCUCAUACAGCCUACCGAGGUGGGGACUACACCGUGGGAGCAGCCCCUUCUAUGCGGCUAGCUGCACAAGCCGUUGUCAUUGCCUGGGGAGGCCGAGGCGGGCUAGUCCGCUAAGAUCCUCCUGCCUCAGCGAAACAAUCAAGCUUUGGAUAGUGGACCGCCACUCGUCCAUCUGAUCAUCUACUGGUGGGAAUCUCAACAGCAACUGGGCCCACGCCAUGGCUUCGGAGGCAGUGCUUGGCAUGGGCGGAGAUGAUGAAGACCGCUGCAUCGCUCGGCUCCUGACGGCACCGGUGGUGACCGCGUCGCGUCCUCACUGCCGUGAGCUAGCCGCUUGGAUAGUGUGGUCACACAACAAAGGCGCUUGAGUGUCAGCGGCCCUGUCGGGCACAGUAGCUGGGCUAGCUUGUUCUGAAGGCGGCAGGUGCCUCGUGGUCAUACCCAUGGCAGGGGCGGCCGGAGGGUUGCGAUUCGCCUCAGAACGAGCGCCGCCACUACGGCUGUGCCCUUUGGCAAGGAGAGAGAGUGCAUGUAAAGUAAUUCCCCCACCCGUACGUCGAGAAGCAUGCCAUUGGGAUCUUGUUGAUGUUGUCCUUCCCUGGCGCUUCUUGCUUCGGUCACGGGGAUAGCGGUGACAACGCCUCCUGCAUCAAUUGCGCCUCCCUGACGUCAACGUCUUCACGUGCCCCCUCAUUUCCUGCGACGUUGGCAGUUGAUAACCCACAAGUAUAGGAGAUCGCAAUAGUUUUUGAGGGUAGAGUAUUCAACCCAAAUUUAUUGAUUCGACACAAGGGGAGCCAAAGAAUAUUCUCAAGUAUUAGCAGUUGAGUUGUCAAUUCAACCACACCUGGAUAACUUAGUAUCUGCAGCAAAGUAUUUAGUAGCAAAGUAGUAUGAAAGUAAUGGUAAUAGUGGCAAAGUAAAGAUAUCGGUUUUGUAGUAAUUGUAAUAGUAGCAAUGGAAAAGUAAAUAAGAAAAGCACAAUAUGUGAAAAGCUCGUAGGCAUUGGAUCAGUGAUGGAUAGUUAUGUCCGAUGUGAUUCCUCAUGUAAUAGUUAUAACAUAGGGUGACACAGAACUAGCUCCAAUUCAUCAAUGUAAUGUAGGCAUGUAUUCCGAAUAUAGUCAUAUGUGCUUAUGGAAAAGAACUUGCAUGACAUCUUUUGUCCUACCCUCCCGUGGCAGCGGGGUCCUAAUGGAAACUAAGGGAUAUUAAGGACUCCUUUUAAUAGAGAACCGGACCAAAGCAUUAGCACAUAGUGAAUAAAUGAACUCCUCAAACUACGGUCAUCACCAAGAAGUAUCCCGAUUAUUGUCACUUCGGGGUUGUCGGAUCAUAACACGUAAUAGGUGGCUAUAGACUUGCAAGAUAGGAUCAAGAACUCACGUAUAUUCAUAAAAAUAUAAUAGGUUCAGAUCUGAAAUCAUGGCACUCGGGCCCUAGUGACAAGCAUUAAGCAUAGCAAAGUCAUAGCAAUAUCAAUCUCAGAACAUAGUGGAUACUAGGGAUCAAACCCUAACAAAACUAACUUGAUUACAUGGUAAAUCUCAUCCAACCCAUCACCGUCAAGCAAGCCUACGAUGGAAUUACUCACGCAUGGCGGUGAGCAUCAUGAAAUUGGAGAUGGAGGAUGGUUGAUGAUGAAGACGCCGAUGAAUCCCCCUCUCCGGAGCCCUGAACGGACUCCAGAUCAGCCCUCACGAGAGAGAUUAGGGCUUGGCGGCGGCUCCGUAUCGUAAAACGCAAUGAAACUUUCUCUCUGAUUUUUCUAUGCGAAACAGAAUAUAUAGAGUUGGAGUUGAGGUCGGUGGAGCAUCAGGGGGCCCACGAGAUAGGGGGCGCGCCCCCCACCCUCGUGGACAGGGUGUGGGGCCCCUAGCCUUGAUUCUUUUGCCAGUAUUUUUUAUAUUUUCCAAAAGUUAUCUCUGUGGAUUUUCAGGUCAUUCCGAGAACUUUUAUUUUCUGCACAAUAAAUAACACCAUGGCAGUUCUGCUGAAAACAGCGUUAGCCCGGGUUAGUUUCAUUCAAAUCAUGCAAGUUAGAGUCCAAAACAAGGGCAAAAGUGUUUGGAAAAGUAGAUAUGUUGGAGACGUAUCAACUCCCCCAAGCUUAAACCUUUGCUUGUCCUCAAGCAAUUCAGUUGAUAAACUGAAAGUGAUAAAGAAAAACUUUUACAAACUCUAUUUGCUCUUGUUAUUAUAAAUAUGUAAAGCCAGCAUUCAAGUUUUCAGCAAAGAUUAUGAACUAACCAUAUUCACAAUAACACUUAGGUCUCAUGUUUACUCAUAUCAAUGGCAUAAUCAACUAACGAGCAAUAAUAAUAAAUCUCGGAUGACAACACUUUCUCAAAACAACCGUAAUAUGAUAUAACAAGAUGGUAUCUCGCUAGCCCUUUCUGAGACCGCAAAACAUAAAUGCAGAGCACCUUUAAAGAUCAAGGACUGACUAAACAUUGUAAUUCAUGGUAAAAGAGAUCUAGUGAAGUCAUACCCAAUAUAAACUAAUAGUAAUGCAUGCAAAUGACAAUGUGCUCUCCAGCGGGUGCUUUUUAAUAAGAGGGUGAUGACUCAACAUAAAAUUAAAUAGAUAGGCCCUUCGCAGAGGGAAGCAGGGAUUUGUAGAGGUGCCAGAGCUCGAUUUUGAAAUAGAGAUGAAUAACAUUUUGAGCGGUAUACUUUCACUGUCAACGCAACAACUAUGAGAUGUCGAUAUCUUCCAUGCUACAUACAUUAUAGGUGGUUCCCAAACAGAAUGGUAAAGUUUAUACUCCCCCACCACCAACAAGCAUCAAUCCAUGGCUUGCUCGAAACAACGAGUGCCUCCAACUAGCAACAGCCCUAGGGAAGUUUUGUUUAAUUAUUUUGAUUUGCUUUGAUCUUUUUGAUCAUGGGACUGGGCAUCCCGGUUACCAGCCAUUUUCUCGUGAAUGAGGAGCGGAGUCCACUCCUCUUGAGAAUAACCCACCUAGCAUGGAAGAUACAGACAACCCUAGUUGAAACAUGAGCUGCUCGAGCAUACAAAACAGAAUUUCAUUUGAGGGUUUGGAGUUUGGCACAUACAAAUUUACUUGGAACGGCAAGUAAAUACUGCAUAUAGGAAGGUAUAGUGGACUCAUAUGGAAUAACUUUAGGGUCUAUGGAGUUUGGAUGCAUAAGCAGUAUUCCCACUUAGUAAAGGUGAAGGCUAGUAAAAGACUGGGAAGCGACCAACUGAGAGAACGACAACAGUCAUGAACAUAAUCAACACCGAGUGCAAGCAUGAGUAGGAUAUAAUCCACCCUGAACAUAAAUAUCAUGAAGGCUAUGUUGAUUUUGUUUUCAACUACAUGCGUGAACAUGUGCCAACUCAAGUCACUCGAGUCAUUCAAAGGAGGAUACCACCCUAUCAUACCACAUCACAACCAUUUUAAUAGCAUGUUGGCGCGCAAGGUAAACCAUUAUAAGCUCCUAGCUAAUUAAGCAUGGCAUAAGCAACUAUAAUCUCUAAUUGUCAUUGCUGUCGGAUAUCGGGUUCCGGCAAAACCCUUAAGGUUCAAACUCUGGGGUCCGCACGAAGAUCUUCUCCCUACCGAUCCACGCCCCAAAGCUUCGCCGUGAAUCUAAGCUACACGAUGAACAACACAAGGGACACAAGGUUUAUACUAGUUCGGGCCACUGUUGUGGUAUAAUACCCUACUCUAGUGUGUGGUGGUGGAUUCCCUCUAGGGCUGAUGAUGAAAAGUACAGAGGAAGAACAGCCUCGUGAGGGGUGUUCUUGAGCUGGUGGGUUUGGAGAGGAAUGGCUCCGUCUUUGUUGGCUAUCGGUCCGAUCUCUCGAUCCCCUCUCUACUAUGGUGGCUAUCUCUAUUUAUAGAGGCCUUGGUCCUCAUCCCAAAUAUUGCGGGAAGGGAGCCAACAACGGCCAUUUUGAAGGUGGGCAACUAGUACAAUUUAUCCUGACUAAAGUUGGUCUUCGACUGCCAAAGGCACUGGCAAUUACGCCGUCUUGGGCUCCACGGUGACCUCCGUCCUGCCGCUCUGCUGGUCUUGGUCCCGUUGCACCGAUAUGGCAACCUUUGCUUGAUGCCUCGGUACUCCGCGCCUGCGCUUGCCCCCUUUGCACCAAAGAGGAAGCGAGGACACUGCGCUGGCUGGCGCCCGCCUGGUCUCGAUCGUCAUGGCCUGCGUCAUGAGCACUGUCGGUGUCAAAACCGGCGGAUCUCGGGUAGGGGGUCCCGAUCUGUGCGUCUUAGGCUGAUGGUAAUAGGAAGCGAGGGACACAAUGUUUACCCAGGUUCGGGCCCUCUCGAUGGAGGUAAAACCCUACUUCCUGCUUGAUUAAUAUUGAAGAUAUGUGGAAUACAAGAGUUGAUCUACCACGAGAUCGUAGAGGCUAAACCCUAAGAGCUAGACUAUGAUGGUAUGUUUGUAAUUGUGAUUGGCCUUCUAAGGACCAUGCUCUCCGGUUUAUAUAGACACCGGAGAGCUAGGGUUUACAUGGAGUCGGUUUACAAGGAAGGAAACAUAAUAUCUGGAUCGCCAAGCUUGUCUUCCACGCGAAGGAGAGUCCCUUACGGACACGAGCCAAAGUCUUGAGUCUUGUAUCUUCACGCUUCUAUAGUCCGGACGAUGUAUAUAGUCCGGCUGUCCGGAUACCCCCUUAUCCAGGACUCCCUCAGUAGCCCCCGAACCAGGCUUCAAUGACGAUGAGUCCGACGCGCAGUCUUGUUUUUGGCAUUGCAAGGCGGGUUCCUCCUCCGAAUACUCCAAGGUUAUUAUCGAACACGCAGGUCGUGUCCAGAUCUGCAAAAUGAUCUUCACAUACCACCGUAGGGAAAAUGAUACUUCAGCUGACAACUUUUUAGACGACGGGAUAUGUCAUUACGGUCAGGUUAUUAUUCGAACCGUUUUUCCCACAACCAACCAUAGCGUAUACUGCGAGGCGGUUUCCUGAGCACGUCUUGUCGAAGCGAAGAUCGUGUCCCCUUAUCACGAGAUUCUCAUCAAUACGGGUAUGGGUAAUCCAACCGUACCGCUAAUCGCAGCGAGCGGGAGGCGAGCGGGUUCCACCAGGCAAGUGGGGAGGCACGAAAAGCUCUUACCUUCUCUUAUAAAGAGAUAGGGCAUCUUCCUCUUUUACCCACGCCUUCUCCUUCUGCUAACUCACUUCCCUCUGCUCGAGCCCUAACGCCCGAGCGCCUUUCUUUUCCAUUGAAGAGAGGGUUUCCAAAGAUGUCCGGAUCUGGAGCAGGAGGCAAAUGGAUGGCCUCUACCGUCCGGGAGAAGUAUAUCAAGAAGCUCCGGGAAGCCGGGUAUUUGGCCAAGGAGAUUGGCCACCGUCUCCCACCGGCGGGACAGGUUGUCCCUACUCCGGAGCCCCACGAGAGAGUCGUGUUCCUUCCCCAUUUUGUCUGAGGGCUCGGGUUUCCCCUACACCCAUUUAUACGUGGAGUCAUGUAUUACUAUGGGGUUGAUUUUCAUGAUCUUUCCCCCCAACUCUUUUCUCAAUAUCUCGACGUUCAUCGUCGCAUGCGAGGCCUUCCUCCGGAUUCCGCCUCACUUCGGCCUGUGGUUGAAGAUUUUCAAUGUGAAGCCCAAGGUGGUGAGUGGCGAACACGCCGAGUGCGGCGGCGCCAUGGUGAGAAAGAUGCCCAAGGUCGUUUGGCCGAAGGGCACUUUUAACGACUCCGUCAAGGAAUGGCAGCAGUAGUGGUUUUAUAUCACUGAACCAUGCGGCGAAGAAUGGGCAGCAGCUCUUGAGUUCAGAUCCGGAGCUCCGCUGCGGCUUACGUCCUGGCCCAAGAAGGGCCCAAACUAGUGCUCGCCCAAUGAGCUGUCACUGCUCCUGACGCGUGCUCGGAAUAUGGUCGACAAGGACGUCAAGCUUGUUGACGUGGUCCAGGUGAUGCUAGUUUACCUGGUUCUCCCUUGCUAGCGUCGAGCCUGUACUUUAUGGGAAUUCGACCCAUCCGAGCACCAAACCCUCCGAGAGCUCUAUGAUUCCUCCCACAAGGAUAUCUCGAAGGUGCUCUUUAAGUCCAGCAAAUCAUGGCCGAACUCAUCUGAGGAUCGGGGGUAUCAAUUAUCCCAUUCUGCAAGCCCAGUUAGUUAUAGCCACGCCCCCUCCGUCCAGGCUUCAACCGGCAUAUCAUGAGGGGGGCAUUUUAAUCGUGCUUCAUUGUGGCUUUAGGGAUGGAUAAAAAGGGUGGAGCGGAUACAAUGUCCGGCCCCACUGCCGGAGGAACCGGCCGGACCUCUUCUGACAAAGAUGCUGGUCCCUUCACCUUACAAGGCGCCCAAGAAGGAGGCCCCCAAGUAGGUCAAGAAGACCAGGAGUGGCCUCCAUUGUCGCGAGGCUCCAGACACCAGGUCCGAAGGCUCUAGCAACGCUCCUUCUUCCGAAGACGAAGAGGAGGAGGCAGAGGAGGACGAGCCUCGCUCUGCCGACGGGAAGAAGCAUGCAACUGCCCCGUCCCUGGAGGCCGAGUUGCCCAAGAGAAGGUGAGGUUCCCCUCCAGAGGCAUCCACCCCGGCUGCCGAUAACAUCCCGGAGUGGGAUACCGAGGCCCAGCCCCUGAGAAAAUCGUAAGUAACCGAAAUCCAAAUACGCCUAUGUAUUCAGGGUUGUCCGGGUAUUGUAGUUUUAACUGUCGCCACAUCUCGCACAGCCCGGCAAGGUCUCCUGCCGGACAAUCCUCAUCGGAGGAUUCGUUGAGCUCGAAUGCUAUGGCGAGUGAGACGCCUCUGGGGAUUCCUUUUCCAAAGUCCAGGCGCGACACCGAGGUGUCAUCUCAAAGAGACUCGGGGCAGGAUAAAGUUCUGGAGGCCCCUAAGGCUCCAGGAUUGGGCCAGUAGCCAUCCUCCAUGGAGGGAGGUUUGCUUACUCCACUGGCCACCUCAGUAUACGCCGAGCUGUCAGGCGGUCUGUUGAUAGCGUUAAAGAACGCGUCCGUCGUUGAUGAACAUCGGACCCUUAUGGGUGCGGUGGUUGGAAAGAUCCAGGCUGCCGAAAGCGGGCUGAAUGAGUCCUGUCUUGGCCUUAUAAAGGCCUUUGAGGUAUAGUUUCUAAGGAACCUUUAAACAAUUAGUACGAUAUGAGGAGUACCCCUGAUACACUGUCCGGAAAAAGAAAGCCGGGCAGGGGAUCAAAUCCUCAGUUGUAAUGGGAACUUUUAAUGAUGUAUACCCAUCUUUUUGAAAACAGGCGUCUGUGGAGAGGACGGCCGCUCGUGAUGCGGAAGUGUCCGAACUGAAAGAGAGCCUGAGACGGGCCGAAGAAGAACUUGGCCGUGUGAAGAAGCAAUUGGAGGAGAGGCAAGGUAUGUUUGGACAUUGUCUUGCGUUGGGCACAAAUCAAUAAGUGUGCCUAUUUGAAAAGUAUUUAUGUUAUAUGCCCUAGGAGCGAGUGCCGAAUAUGAGGCGCUGAAGAAAGAGGCGGCUGAUGCCCAAGAGAAGGCUGCCGCCGAACAGGCUCUGCGUGAAAAACACGAGGCCAGGGUCGUCAUAGCUGAGCGGGAGCUUCAGGAUGCUAUGACGAAAAGCGAGAGCUUGGAGCAGAGUUUAGUACGGAAAGAAUCCGAACUCGCCCAAGCUCUCCAAGCUGCGGAAGAUGCUCGGGAAGAAGCCCGAGGUGUUGUACGGGACAUUCAGGAGGCCCGGAAAGUUGUGGCUGGUAAGGUCUGUUGUAUCUAUGGCCGUUAUGAUGUUAUAAUAUGGAGAACUCUAAGCGGCAAGCUGAAUUCUUGAUUUUGCAGGGGCGUUUGCGGAUCUGCCUCGUAGCAUAUCAGAUGCGGCCCAAUUUUAUCGGUCCGAGGAGAGGGAGUCUGCGGGGAGGAACUUCUGGUCGCAGUAUCUAGCGCUGAACUAUUCAGUGCCUUUUAUCGAUCACCUGAAGCAGCUGGUCAAACUGCACCAGGCGGCCGAACAGCCAUGAAGGACUUGGUCAUUCGGUUGUGGCCUGCAGAGCCAAUUCCCAGCAGUUUCUUCGGACUCAUUAAGCGGAUUGUGGGCGCAUGUCCUCGGCUUGAUAUUAUCAAGUGAUCAGUCUGUAUAGAAAGUGCGCGAAUGGUGCUUGCCCAUGCAAAAGUGCAUUGGGGGAAGCUUAACACAGAAAAACUGAUAACUAAGGGGCCACCAGAGGGUAAGGAGCAUCGCAAGCCCGAACUGUAUUAUGAAGGUGUAAUGAAGGGUGCCCGCCUGGCAGCGGAUAAGUGCACCAAAGACAUUAUAUUUCCCUGAGGGCAUUUUUGCCAUCGUUUGUAAUAUGGGAUAAUGGCACUUUUAUUAUAUGUUGCCUAUUUGGUUUGAACAUGUGUUCUUCCUUUACGGCUGUUUAUUGUAUAUAAAUUCUGAGAGUUGGCCAGUCAUCGGCUUCAGCCCCCACGAGAAAAGUACGGGGGUGUUCGGGGUAUUUCUGAACACUCUUUAUCCCAUUGUUGGGUCCUUAUAAGGAGGCGUUUCUCACCACGAACCAGGCAAUCGGACUAUAGGGCUUUACUACUCUCACUUAGCCAUAGGAAUUCGAGUAUGGUCGGCGCAGCCCCUUGUGUCCGGAAGGCCAGACUAGGGGCUCUAUUGGCGCCUGAUCGGUAGACCGAUCCGUUGCAAUCUACAUUUUAUAGUGGCGUUAUGCGGAAUAAAUCUUUAAGGAUUUUGCAACCUCUUGAACAGCUAGCCAGCUCUCGCCGCAUCAUGACAGUUGGUUUUCGGCUUUCUCUACUGAGGUGCUCGUCCGGCAGAUCCGGGACAUAAUCGCAGUAGUUAUCCCAGUGCUACCUUUGCCGACGGAACGGAACGUAAGGUACCAAAACAUGGGAGCCGGGCAAACCCAACCAAUGACCCAAGACAUGAUUCGGAGCUGAUGCAUAUAGUGCUAUAAGUUCGGGGUGCCGAGCGACCAAGAAGGUGGUCGGACUUUAUUGCCGUACUGUGGAGCGCCUAGCAUAACCGGGCGUAACACAAACCGUUGCUGCCACUUUUAUGGCAAAAAGGCGUCGAUGAUAAACGACGAACGGUCCAUGUUUAGUUAAGUCUACGCAUUGCAGUAAUAUGAUAUGUCCAUGCAUAUGAAUGCGAUUUAUGAUUAUGAAAAAGAGAUGGUUUUCUGGCAGAACCUGUGGUGGCCAGACUGGAGGGGGCUGUGAAUGGAUGAAAGUGAAUCCGAACUGUCGUCUACCUGCAUGGUCCUGUCCUUGUGUGUCCGGGCCGACUUCACGCCGCCAAACCUGUUCUGCAUAAGAGUUAGUUUGUGAAGGUAAGUGAGCGGAGGGCGCCGAACGUCCUCCUAUGGUUGGUCCAAAGGUUCCUAAUCGGACCCUGGUGACCCCAGCCGCUAUUCGAGAAGCAGCCCGGACUCCUAAGUUAGUGUCCGGAUAGUUGGCUGUCAUAUCAAAAAUAUUGACAGGCAUGCGCGACUUGCUACUCUGGCAGCUGUAUGAUCUCCGCUUCUGAGGGCGGGGUUUGGCUCUGCAUGCAGGCGUGAGUGUAUUACCGGUGUUGGCCUGAUGAUUUACCACGUGGAAUCUAGACAACGUGGUGCAUCCUGUUAGCAUACGGUGUGAUACCGUAUAGGGGGAAUGCGCCGAUGGCGCGGCUUUAUUUGGUUAUCUGAAAACAACCGUUAGGGCGGCAGGCCAAUGGUCCUGGCCUUUGUGCCUGGCACCUUGUAGAAGAUGUUAUUUGUACGCCCGCUUGGGCUUUUAUUGUUUGAGGAGCCCCUGGACUGUUAGGUCUUGGGGUAUGCAAUUGAAUUGUUGUGGUUUGUAUGGUAGGGGGCGAUCGGCCGUACUGUUGUGCUGGGGGGGGGGGGGCUUUUGACUAAGCGCCUCCCCUCAAUGUUUCCGGCACAUGCCUGGUUGCUUUAUUUUGGAGAUCUGGCAUUCUCUAUUAGUAUGUUUUGCCGUUCUUUUGGGAGUACCGUGAAUUUCGCACGGCUGAUCGAGUUCGUGGCUUGGGCCGAAUAGGCUUGAGCUGUUCCUUAUCCGUUGACUGGACUAGGAUUUGCUGAACUUGAUACCGGCUUCCCUGAUUUGUCGUUUAUGACCAUUGCACCAGGGCUUGAGGCUGCUUCUUCGUGUAUCCUUCUUGUUGGUUUGGACCGUAGUGGUGUGCGGACGUCGGGUUGUGUGCCUUUGAUUUUCCUGCUUAGGUUGAGGUAGCCGCGUGUGCCCUUUGUUAGGUGGUCGAGUCCGUACUUCUCGGUGGCCAGGAUCUUGGUCCACCAUUCUAUUAGCAAAUCCUGUUCGGACUUAAGCUGCUCUUGCUUCCUUUGCAGACUCUUUGCAGUGGCUAUGAGUCGUCGCCUAAAGCGAACUUGUUCCACUGGGUCUUCAGGCAUGCCAAAUUCGUCAUUGUUGAGGCUUACCUCGUCUUCGGAGGGGGGUGUAUAGUUGUUUCUCUCCAAGUAUCCCGCUGUGGCCUGUACGGCCUGCUUGAUGGUUGGCUGAUCAGGACUGUAUUCCCCUUCGGUACUAUCCGGAUCAUCUCCGGGACCGGUAUUGAUGUGGCGGGGCUUGGAGUGGCGUCGGAGACGCCCAUAUUUUGCUUUUCCUCCCGAGGGGUUGUCCUCCACUGCCUCGUCGCCGUUGGUUUCUUUCGGAGUGUCCACCAUGUAUAUAUCGUUUGAAGAGGUGGUUGUCCACCGCCCUAUGAGCAGUGGCUCCUGUAUGUCUCCUGCAUUGUCGUCCAUACCGUUGAUGUCUUCGAAGUCAAAGUCGAGCACGUUGGUUAAAUCAUCGAUUGUGGCGACGAAGUGGGUGGUGGGUGGGCAGUGAAUUCCUUCAUCGCCUACUUCCCACUCAAGCCGGACAUAAUUCGGCUCAGAGCCUCCUGACAGAGAGAGAGACUUUAAUGAAUUCAGCAUGUCACCAAAAGGCGAGUGCUGAAAGAUGUCCGCAGCGAUAAACUCCAUUACAGGAGCCCAGCCUGGCUCGGCUGGCUCGAGAGUGAGCGGACCAGGACCAACAACCGGAUAUGAGUCCGGGGCCCCAGGGUUACAGGCCUCCAGAGAGGUGAGACCCGUGUUCGGCUCCACCGCCGAUAAGUGUGCGGCCUGCGGGGCGGGGUCCAGCCCUCCGCCCGUAGGCAACGCAACCUGCCCUGGAUUUAGAUCCGGGGCUGCCUCGGGGAUGAUGUCCUGGGCAUUGUCCGACAACAGGUCUAGGCCGUGCUCGUCGUGGUUGUCCGGCGCUCCCGGCGUAGGCUUGAAUCCGUCGAAGAUCAAGUCUCCGCGGACAUCUGCCGUGUAGUUCAAGUUUCCGAACCAGAUCUGGCGGCCAGGGGCAAAGCUGUCGAUCUGCUCCAACUGGCCAAGCGAAUUGGCCCGUAGUGUGAAGCCGCCGAACAAAAAGAUCUGUCUGGGGAGAAAAGUCUCACCCUGGACCAUGUUGUUGACGGUUGAAGACGCCAUCAAGCCUCGAGGCGGCGACACAGAGGAACUCUCAAUGAAAGCACCAAUGUCGGUGUCAAAACCGACGGAUCUCGGGUAGGGGGUCCCGAUCUGUGCGUCUUAGGCUGAUGGUAACAGGAAGCGAGGGACACAAUGUUUACCCAGGUUCGGGCCCUCUCGAUGGAUGUAAAACCCUACUUCCUGCUUGAUUAAUAUUGAAGAUAUGUGGAAUACAAGAGUUGAUCUACCAUGAGAUCGUAGAGGCUAAACCCUAAGAGCUAUCCUAUGAUGGUAUGAUUGUAAUUGUGAUUGGCCUUCUAAGGACCAUGCUCUCCGGUUUAUAUAGACACCGGAGAGCUAGGGUUUACAUGGAGUCGGUUUACAAGGAAGGAAACAUAAUAUCCGGAUCGCCAAGCUUGUAUUCCACGCAAAGGAGAGUCCCUUCCGGACACGAGCCGAAGUCUUGAGUCCUUUAUCUUGAUGCUUCUAUAGUCCGGACGAUGUAUAUAGUCCGGCUGUCCGAAUACCCCCUUGUCCAGGACUCCCUCAAGCACCUCGCGAGGUACUCCCUGCCUUGAUCUCUCUGCCUCCUCACGAGCCUGCCCGGUGAGGCCACCCCUGAGGGGGCCUUGGAUCGUCCGCCCCGCAAGGCUUGGUCCCUCACGAGGGUUUUGAGCUUGGGCUGGUGUAGACGGGUCGUACUGGGCCACUGCUUGAGCCACGCCGCAGGCCACAGGCAGGCAAGUCUGGGGACCCCCGUUCCCAGAACGCCGACAGUAGCCCCCGGGCCCAAGGCGCUCCCGGACUUGGCUUAGUAGUGAUGCCAAAGGGCAAGUGCGGAGCGCCGCAGGCCCCAACAGCCUGCAGCCUUGGUCGCUGCAUGGCGGUUGAUUGAACGUGAGCGUCUCCGCUUCCCCAUGCUGCCUCGAUAACUGCCCGAUUUGAUGAGUCCCUGCUACAUGCAAAAUGAGUCAUGAUUACCUGCGAUCGUGGAGGCCGACGGUUGGCCUCCCUCAGGCUAUAAAUGUGGAGGGGCGCAGGCCCAUCCCCCUGCUGCACAUCUUCCUUCCCUCGCCUGAUUCUUCUUCCUCCUUGCUCCAGCUGCUUGCCGCAUCCCCAUGGCGCCCACGAAUUGGUUCUCGGCCGCGGAGAAGGGGAAAACUCACCAGGAAGGGCCUGGCUCCCCUCCGCCCAAGCGCGGCCGAGGUCGUCCUCACAAGCACCCCGCUACUCCUACAGCGGCUCCUCGUGGUCGCGGUGGUGGUCCUUCGCGCUGUGAUGGCUGACCGGUUGGCGCUGGAAGACGCGUCGUGGCUGUGCGGCCUCCCCGGCCACCCUUUCAUUCGGCAGAGGUACUGCCAGAGUUUGUCGUGUGGUCGGCAGAUCUGGCCGGCAACUGGCUCCAGCUCCCCCGCUUCUUUGUGGGCGAACUACCGGCUGAUGGCCCUAGUGGACUUUGGCUGCAGGCAGAUGGUUGUUGCAGCAGGGCCUCCUGGGUCGCGGUGGAGAUCUCCGUCGCCUGGAACGUGGCCCUAGCCCACGGCUGGCAGACGUUUGCCCACGCGCGUGGCCUGGGCCGGCGGUGCACCCUACACUUCAAGUUCGACGGCGACGCGACCCUCUACGUGAGGGUGUUCGAGGAAGAUGGCCGCCGUGCUGGCUGCUCCCCCGAAGACGACGGCGACGAGGUGUUUGGCCUUGGUGACAGCUGUGACGUGGGCGAAGGCGAACCCGCUCCUAGCGGCGUCCGCAGCUCGCCGAGCUUCAGCGGCUCCUCCUCUGGUGACAGCUCCUCUAGCGGUGGCCGCGAUCAGCCACCACGUCGCAGCGCCCGCUUCGAGGGUGGUAGCAGGUCAUCCCGCCGCUGUGCCCCGGUGAAGCGUGAGGCGGAGUCCGAUUGAGCUCGGGAGGGUGAUGCGGAUCCUUCCUCGCGAGCCGUUGCGGGCCGCGCCGCUUUCAUUUUGUUUUUCUCCUGUUCCUCUAUUGAGAGAGAGAGAAGUAUGGACCCCCGUGGGGGGCGUGCAAGACCAUCAUCCUUAGUUAUCAUGCUACUUUUAUCGUUCUCGUGUUGUGUCAUGGUGUUGCGGCUAUGCGCUUGCGCAUAGGAACAACUUAGCUCGGGAGGUUCACUACAGUUUCCGCUUCGCGAGGUACUUUCCUGAGGCCUCGCCAGGUAUCUUUAGGUCUGCAAAGAUCAGUCGGGAGGAUAGCUUUCGAACCUUUGUCGCGAGGGUGACCAGCUUAGGUCCGGCGUUUUGCAUCGCGAUGCCCGUGGGGCAUGGACCAGGAGGGGUGCUCCGCAGUGGACUUGAGUGAGGGAGCUUCACAAAAUCAGGCGAGAAAGGGCUCACGAGGGCGCCUGCGCAGCCCCCUCACGAGGCUUGCGAGUGAGAGAACGAGCCCGGCGAAAACCAAAGACAGAGAACAUGGGCAGGGGAUAGCAAAUAACACUAGAAGCAACUCCGAUAAAGAUUCAAACAAGGGGGAACAAGCCAACUGCAGAAAAGCAAAUGAAAAGCCACGUUCGGCACCUAGUCUAGUAUUCGACGUCUUCUCACCAGCGCGGAGCUAAGUGCUGCCACUGGGCGUGGGCAGGAGCCCCCGAGGCCCAAGGGCGGCACUCCGGAGACUCCGGGGCAUGUACAGCCCCAACUCAUUAUUACGUGAGAGUGUCACGAGCAGUGAGCUUCACAGGCACUAGGCCUUCUUCACAGGCACCGGGCCUUUCUUGGGGCGGCGAGAGCUUCACAGGCACCAGGCCUUCUUUGUAGGCAAUGGGCCCUUCUUCACCGGCACCGGGCCUUCUUUACAGGCACGGGCCCCUUCUUCACAGGCACCGGGCCUUCUUUACAGGCACGGGGCCCUUCUUCACAGGCACCGGGCCUUCUUUACAGGCACUAGGCCUUACUUCAAGGGUAGAACCUCCGGAGGUGCUGAAUGUUCCACGCAUUCGGGAUGGGCACCCCUUCCUGGGUCACCAAGUGCGCGGCGCCAGGUCUGGAAACAUGAACAACCUUGAACGGACCCUCCCACAUGGGAGAGAGCUUGUGCAGCCCUUCCCUGGAGAGCACCAGCCAGAGCACGAGGUCACCUACCUCGAGAGUCCUUGGGCGGAUGUGGCGGCAAUGGUACCGCCGCAGCGUCUGCUGGUAUCUUGCGGCUCGUAGUGCGGCCUCCCGUCGGCCUUCCUCCCCCAGGAUGAGGUCCAUCCCCCGCACGGUGUCCUACUGCGCUUCAUCAAACGCUAGGACCCGCGCGGAGCGACGCCUGACCUCGUGAGGGAGGACUGGCUCCGCUCCGUGGACAAGGAAGAAUGGGGUCUCGCCAGUCAACUUGGUGGCAGUAGUGCGGAUGGACCAUAGCAUGGACUGGAGCUCAUUGUACCAGCCCCUGCCGCAGGCCUCCAACUUCUUGAAGGUCCUGGUUUUGAGGCCCUUCAGGACCUCUGCGUAGGCGUGUUCGUCCUGGCCGUUACUCCAGGGAUGUGCCACCGAAGCGUAGCAUAUCUGUGUUCCAAGGUUAGCACAAUAUGUUUUGAAGAGAUUGCUGGUGAACUGCGAACUGUUGUCGGUGAUGAUGCGGUUAGGGACCCCAAAUCGGCUCACGAGGCCCUUGAUGAAUUUGACUGCAGAACUGGCCGAGAUGGUGCGGACGGCUUCCACCUCCGCCCACUUGGUGAACUUGUCGAUGGUGACGUACAAGUAGCGGUAGUCCCCAGACGCUCGAGGAAACGGGCCCAGGAUAUCCAGCCCCCAGACCACGAACGGCCACGAGAGUAGGAUGGUCUACAGGCUCUGAGCCAGCUGAUGAAUCUGCUUGGCAUGGAACUGGCAGGCUUCGCAAGCCUUCACCAGCUCGAUCGCAUCGUUGAGUGUUGUAGGCCAGUAAAACCCGUUGCAGAACGCCUUGCCCACGAGGGUUCGUGAUGACGAGUGGUGCCCACAAUCUCCUCCUUGAAUGUCUGCCAGUAAUUCCUUCCCCUGAUCCCUGGAGAUGCAACGCAGGGAAACAUCGUUUGGCCGCUUCUGGUAGAGCUCUCCGUCUUGGAUGCAGUAGGCCGUGGCCUGCCGGGCCACGCGUUCCGCGUCCUCCUCCUUCUCUGGUAGAGUCCCUUACAUCAGGUAGUCCUUGAAUUUCACAGUCCAGCAUCCCUCCUGAGGCUCCAGCCUGGAGCAUGUGUGCUCCCGAGGUCGGGCCACAGGCCGGGGCUCUUGAGGCAGGUGGUUGAGGGAGUUCCUUCCGAGGUUGUGUUGUGCUUGAUAGUGAUGUUGUUGCUGAGGGCUUGAAGAGUCGUUCCUCAAAAAUGCCAGGCUACUGAGGCAGACGCCUGGACGCCCUCCUGGUGAUGUCAUCAGCCUCUUGGUUGGUACCUCGGGGCACAUGCUGCAACUCCAACCCCCAAAACUGCUUUUCCAUCUUGCGUACCUCUGCAAGAUACGCCUCCAUGUGCUCAUCCUUUAGCUCAUACACCUUGUUGGAGAAGUUGACGAGGAGCUGUGAGUCUCCCUUGAUGACGAGGCGCUUCACCCCUAGUGCUGAUGCAGCCUUUAAGCCCGCUAUGAGGCCUUCGUACUCCGCUAUGUUGUUGGAGACCUUCUCGCCGUGCUGGAAACAAAGAAGUACAGCGUAAUAGAGCUUGUCCUGAGUGGGGGAUAUAAGCACUGUGCCAGCCCCCACGCCAUGUCGCGAGAAUGCUCCAUCGAAGUACAUGACCCAGCCAUCUGGUGCCUCACUUGCUAGGGAGAGUGAUCGAUCUUCGCAUGCUUCAAGCCCCGGCACCUCUGUCCAUUCCGCCACAAAAUAUGCAAGUGUCGCUCCCUUGACGAUCCUAGUUGUGCUGAAUUCCAACUGAAAUGCUUGCGGCUCAAUGUUCCAUUCGGCGACCCUUCUAGAAGAGUUGGGGCUCCUGAGUACCCUUUCCAAGGGGUAGGCCGAUACGACCUUGAUGGGGUGGCCUUGAAAGUAAUGCCUCAACUUGCGCGAGGCCACCAAUAGCGUGAGCAAGAGCUUCUGAGGCAUGGGGUAUCGUGCCCGAGCAUCUCGCAGCACUGUGCUGACGAAGUACACCGGAUGCUCGACGAGGGUGGGCAUGCUGAUGAGGGUCGUAUCCUUCGGAGAGCUAGGCACCUCCUGAUGCGUUGGGGCUUCCAGCACCUGGCUGCCCGGUGAGGCCACUUCAGCCCUGGGGGCGUCUUUCUGUUGAGGCUGGCCUUCAUCUGCCGAGGCCAUGACCUUCGUGAGGCUUUCUUGGUCUGGCGCUGCUGCGGUUGGGGUCACAUUCGACCGUGAUGCGGCCUUGGCUUGGCGCUCUUCCCGGACCGCCACCAGAGCUGCGCUGGCGGAGUAGGGCGUGGUGGCGAGGUAGAGCACCAGGGACUCCCGAGGGCGUGGCGCCACCAUCAUCGGAGGGCUGGUCAGGUACUUCUUGAGAUCUUGAAAUGCUUCGUCGGCCUCUUGUGUCCAUUCAAACGGGGCCUUCUUCUUCAUCAGCUUGAAGAAGGGCAGGGCGCGCUCCCCCAUCUUGGAGAUGAAGCGCCCUAACAUAGUCACGCGUCCGGCGAGCUUCUGCAUUUCCUUGAGGGUUUGCGGCGGACUCAUGUCUUCGAUCGCCUUGACCUUCUCUGGGUUGGCCUCGAUCCCCCUGUGGGACACGAGGAAGCCCAGAAGCUUGCCAGAGGGAACACCAAACACGCACUUCUCCGGGUUGAGCCGCAGGUCCACUUCAUGUAGGCUCGCGAAGGUUUCUUCCAAGUCGUGUAUCAAGGUCUUCGCUUCUCGAGACUUCACCACAAUGUCAUCGACGUAGGCCUCGGUGUUUCUCCCGAGCUAUCAGCCCAGGGCAAUGUGCAUUAGUCGCUGAAAAGUUGUGCUCGCGUUGCGCAACCCGAACGGCAUGCAGGUGUAGCAUUACACCCCGCACGGGGUCAGGAAGGCAGUCUUCUCCACGUCUUCUACCGCCAUCUUGAUUUGAUGAUAGCCUGAAAAGGCAUCCAGGAAGCACAGCAGGUCGCACUCAGUGGUGGAAUCGACAAUUUGGUCGAUGCGAGGGAGUGGGAAUGGAUCUUGAGGGCGGGCCUUAUUGAGGUUGGUGAAAUCGACGCACAUGUGCUCCUUUCCUCCCUUCUUUGGCACAACCAUAGGGUUUGCCAGCCAUUCGGGGUAGCGGACCUCGCGAAUGACACCUAUAGCUUCCAGCUGCGGGUUUCUUGGAUGAUGAAGGCUUGCUCCUCGGUGGACUGUCGCCUUGCUUUCUGCUUUGCGGGGCGUACAUUAGGGCACACGUUUAGGUGAUGCUCAAUCAUCUGUCUUGGGACUCCGGCUAGCUGCUUGGGUUCCCACGCGAACACCUCCUUGUUUGUGCGAAGGAACUUCACCAGUGCCUCCUCCUGGCUGGGGUCGAGAUUGGCACCUAUGGUGAAGGUGGCACCGGAGGACCCAUCCUCAUCAACUGGUACCUGCUUGGUUUCUGCCUUGUCUUGGGUGAACAAAUGCUUCUUCUUGGUUUGUGCAGCACCCAUGGCCUUGGAGGCGUCAGUGCUGGCGAGCUGUGCUGCCACAACUGUCUUGAGGGCGAGCUUGAGCGCCUGUAGAGCAUCUUUGGCAUCCCCAGCCACAGUGAGGGUGCCGCUGCUCCCGGGCAUAUUCAUGAGCUUGCAGGCCGGAUGGGUCGCUGCCAUAAAUUGGGCCAAGGCUAGGUAGCCGAGGAUGGCGUUGUACGGGAGGCCGAUGCGGGUGAUGUCGAAGUUGACCAGCUCCGUGCGGAAGUUGUCGUGCGUGUCGAAGGUUACCGGAAGGCGGAUCUGCCCGAGGGAGCCGGAGGAACCACCCCCGACGCCUAAGAAGGCCCUGCUGGGUUGUAGCCGUUCCAGUGGUACAUAGAGGAGGCUGAAGGCCUCCACUGAGAGCAUGUUGAGGCUGGCACCGCCGUCGAUGAGGGUCUUGGUGACGGCCACCUGGCAGAUGGUGGGCGUGCAAAGCAUUGGGAGCGCACCCAAGCAAGUAGUGUUGUCGGGGUGAUCGUCGGAGCUGAAGGUCAGGUCAGCCUCGGGCGCCGCCCGACCCGGGGGAGCUCCAUGGCGCGUGAGGGCGGCGCCAAUCUGGCGGACAAACAGCUUGACGUGGCGGCCCGAGGGUGGCGCCUGCGAGCCGCCCAAGAGAGCUGCGAUGACCGGGGGCGCCGGCAGUGUAUUGGGUGAGGAAGAGGUUGUGCAGCUCCUCCUAGGAGGCCACAGAAGCCGCUGGCAGGUGAAGCAGCCACAUGCGCGGGAUGUCGGGGAGGGUCGUGGGGAGCCAGUUGGCCAUAACCUUGUUGUCGCCCCCGACCUUGAGGACGGCCCGCCGGCAGGAAAACCAGCGGGUCUGCCGCAUCAUUGUAGAGCGGCGGCAUCUCUGGCUUCAACUUGUGCGGCCACUGCACAUGUCGCAAGGCGGGGCCAAGGCUCAGAGCCCCCUGGCCCCAGCGCUGGCGUCGACCACCGGAGCGGGCGGCGCGUUGUCCGCCAUGAGGGCGAAGCGCGGUGUUGAUGGAGAGCGGGUCGGCAGAAGAGGAAGCUCCGGCGCACCCCUACCUGGCGCGCCAAAUGUCGGAUAUCGGGUUCCGGCAAAACCCUUAAGGUUCGAACUCUAGGGUCCGCACGAAGAUCUUCUCCCUACCGAUCCACGCCCCAAAGCUUCACCGCGAAUCUAAGCUACAUGAUGAACAACACAAGGUUUAUACUAGUUCAGGCCACCGUUGUGGUGUUAUACCCUACUCUAGUGUGUGGUGGUGGAUUGCCUCUGGGGCUGAUGAUGAAAAGUACAGAGGAAGAACAGCCUCGCGAGGGGAGUUCUUGAGCUGGUGGGUUUGGAGAGGAAUGGAUCCGUCUCUGUUGGCUAUCGGUCUGAUCUCUUGAUCCCCUCUCUACUGUGGUGGCUAUCUCUAUUUAUAGAGGCCUUGGUCCUCAUCCCAAAUAUUGAGCAGGAAGAGAGCCAACAACGGUCAUUUUGAAGGGGGGCAGCUAGUACAAGUUAUCCUGACUAAAGUUGGUCUUCGACUGCCAAAGGCACUGGCGAUGACGCCAUCUUGGGCUCCAUGGUGACCUCUGUCCUGCCGCUCUACUGGUCUUGGUCCCGUUGCACCGAUAUGGCAACCUUUGCUUGAUGCCUCGGUACUCCAUGCCUACGCUUGCCCCCUUUGCACCAAAGAGGAAGCGAGGACACUGCGCUGGCUGGCGCCUGCCUGGUCUCGGUCGUCAUGGCUUGCGUCAUGAGCACCUUGCGAGGUACUCCCUUCCUUGAUCUUUCCGCCUCCUCACGAGCCUGCCUGGCGAGGCCGCCCCUAAGGAGGCCUUGCAUUGUCCUCCCCGCGAGGCUUGGUCCCUCGCGAGGGUCUUGAGCUUGGGCUGGUGUAGACGGGCCGUACUGGGCCACUGCUUGAGCCACGCCGCAGGCCGCAGGCAUGCAAGUCUGGGGACCCCAUUCCCAGAACGCCAACAAUUGCAAACAUGUUUAUUCAUAAUAGGCUGAAUCAGGAACGAUGAACUCAUCAUAUUUACAAAAACAAGAGAGGUCGAGUUCAUACCAGCUUCUCUCAUCUCAAUCAGUCCAUCAUAUAUCAUCAUUAUUGCCUUUCACUUGCAUGACCGAACGGUGUGUAUAAUAAUAAUAGUGCAUGUGCUUUGGACUAAGCUGGAAUCUGCAAGCAUUCAAUUCAAGAGAGAAGACAAGGUAAUAUGGGCUCUUGGUUAAAUCAACAGGCAUGCAUAUUAGAGCCACUAAGCAUUUUCAUUAUGGUCUUCUCCUCUCGACCCCCAAAGGAAAGAAAAAGAAAUAAAACUAUUUACACGGGAAAGCUCCCAACAAGCAAAACAAGAAUGAGAAAUCUUUUUGGGUUUUCUUUUUAAUUACUACUACAGGCAUGGAAAUUAAACUAAAUAAUUUUUUUGGUUUUUUUAAGGUUUAUUAAACACACAAAAAGAAAGCUAGAAAAAGAAUUUAAACUAGCAUGGAUAAUACAAUGAAAAAGUAUGAGCACCGACAACUAGAAUGAAUGUGUGAACAUGAAUGUAACGUCGGUGAGAAAUACGUACUCCCCCAAGCUUAGGCUUUUGGCCUAAGUUGGUCUAAUGCCAAAGAUAGCCUAGCUGAUAUCCGAAGUUAUAACUGGGGUCAUACUGAGAAGCAGCAGCCAAUGCCUCCUGAGCUGCGGCAUGUUGGUGAGCUGCCUCCGCUCUCCUCUCGUGUUCGGUUGCCUCCUCCAUGGUUACAACAUAUCUUAUUUUUGCCUGGUAAUCAAAAAGGGAAGGAGCAGGGAGAGUAAUAUGGACAACGCGACGUCUGUCGAAGAUUAGUCGAUACUGGAGGAAUUGUUCAUUCCUCACAAGAAAACGAUGACUUACCAUAGCUUCAUAAUCUAAAUAAGCAGGAGGUAACUCCCUAUCAUCCUCACGUGGAGGUAUACCAAGAUAAUUAUCAAUGCGGGUUGCAUAAAUCCCUCCAAACAAAUCUCCAGAUAUACCAUUAUUAUGCAACCUACAUGCAACUAUUGCCCCCAAGUUGUAAUCUUUAUUACCUAAUACAACACUCUUGAGGACACAAAGGUCAGGGACACACAUGUGACAUGCUUCAUCUUUACCAUUAAUGCAUGUACCAAUGAAGAGAGAAAAAUAAUGUAUAGCAGGAAAAUGAAUGCUCCCUAUGGUAGCUUGUGCUAUGUCCCUAGAUUAUCCCACAGUGAUACUAGCUAGAAAAUCUUUAUAUUCAGAUUUACGGGGUUCAAUAACAUUACCCCACUGUGGGAGUCUGCAAGCAGUGGUGAAAUCUUCUAAGUCCAUGGUAUAAGAUUGAUCAUAAAUAUCAAACAGGACAUUCUAAGAAUUACGUGAAGAUGUAAAUUUAAACCUUCUCACGAAUGAAUCAGUUAAAUCACAGUACUGAGGACACUUAUCUUGCAUGAAGUCCUCAAGAUCGGCAUUACGCACAUAUGCGUCAAAUUCAUCCUUGAUGCCUGCAUCGACCAUAAACUCUUCUGACAGCCAUUCAUAAGGCCGCAGAUCAGCUUCCCUUGGUAGUUCAUCAUCUUGCUCACGCAUAGCACGUCUGGGUCCUCUCUUUGUUGAGGAACCACUUUGGUACAUUUUCCUGGACAUAUUUCUUCCUCUGAAAAAUUUCUGAAAUUUUUAGUAACUUCAAAAUAAAAGUGAAUCAAACUCAACAAAAUUGAUAGCAACUACUCCCACAAGUGCCUAGAGCCUACAUCAUGCAUUAGAAUUACUUGGGACCUCAUAAAUUUUACAUGCAAGCUCAAGAACAGGGUCACCUAUGCGGCAAAAAUUUGCAAUGAAUAAAGCACUAGAUCAAAAACUAAUUGGACAAUUGGAGGAGUCACAUACCAAGCAACAAUCUCCCAAAGCAGUUUUGUGAAAGGAGCUUUGAGCAAGGAGAUCGAAAAUCGCAGCAAAAUGAGCUAGAACUCUUGCUUGAGCUGGAUGGGGAUUUUUUUGGGGGGAGGAAGAUGGAGUGUGUGGGUGCAGGAAUAAGUGGAGAGGGCCACCAUGGGCCCACGACGCAGGGGGCGCGCCCAGUAAGAGUGGGCGCGCCUUGGACCCUCGUGGCCAGGUGCUUGCCCUCCUGCUGUGUUCUCAGUGCCUAAAAUCCUCAAAUAUUCCAUAAAAAUCAUACUAAAUUUGCAGGGAAUUUGGAGAACUUUUAUUUUGGGAUAUUUUUUAUUGCAUGGAUAAUUCAGAAAACAGACAGAUAAUACUAUUUUUGCUUUAUUUAUUCUAAAUAACAGAAAGUAAAAAGAGGGUACAGAAGGUUGUGCCUUCUAGUUUCAUCCAUCUCAUGAUCAUCAAAAGGAAUCCACUAACAAGGUUGAUCAAGUCUUGUUAACAAACUCAUUCCAAAUAACAUGGAACCGGAGAAAUUUUGAAUAACACUAGGUUACCUCAAUGGGGAUAUGAACAUCCCCAAUAAUAAGAAUAUCAUACUUUUUCUUGAUAGUGGGAAGAGGGAAUUCAAAACCUCCAUAAUGAUAGUUGGAACUUUUCCAAUAGAAUUGAUGUUGUGAACUUGAGGUUGUUUCCUCGGAAAGUGUACCGUAUGCUCAUUGCCAUUAACAUGAAAAGUGACAUUGCCUUUGUUGCAAUCAAUAACAGCCCCUGCAGUAUUCAAAAAGGGUCUACCAAGGAUAAUCGACAUACUAUCGUCCUCAGGAAUAUCAAGAAUAACAAAGUCCGUUAAGAUAGUGACAUUUUCAACUACGACAGGCACAUCCUCACAAAUACCAACAGGUAUAGCAGUUGAUUUAUCAGUCAUUUGCAAAGAUAUUUCAGUAGGUGUCAACUUAUUCAAUUCAAGUCUACGAUAUAAAGAGAGAGGCAUAACACUAACACCGGCUCCAAGAUCACAUAAAGCAGUUUUAACAUAGUUUCUUUUAAUGGAGCAUGGUAUAGUUGGUACUCCUGGAUCUCCAAGUUUCUUUGGUAAUCCACCCUUAAAAGUGUAAUUAGCAAGCAUGGUGGAAAUUUCAGCCUCCGGUAUCUUUCUUUUAUUUGUAAUGAUAUCCUUCAUAUAUUUAGCAUAAGGAUUUACUUUAAGCAUAUCGGUUGCGCGCAUACGUAAGAAGAUAGGUCUAAUCAUUUCAGCAAAGCACUCAAAAUACUCAUCAUCCUUUUUCUUGGAUGGUUUAGGAGGAAAAGGUGGGUUUCUGAACCCAUGGUUCUCUUUCUUUACUGUGCUUCCUAGCAACAAAGUCCCUCUUAUCAUAACGUUGAUUCUUUGAUUGUGGGUUAUCAAGAUCAACAGCAGGUUUAGUCUCUACUUCAUCAUUAUUGCUAGGUUGAGCAUCAACAUGAACAUUAUCAUUAACAUUAUCACUAGGUUCAUGUUCAUCACCUGAUUGUGUUUCAGCAUCAGAAAUAGAAAUAUCAUUGGGAUUCUCAGGUGUGUCUACAACAGGUUCACUAGAAGCAUGCAAAUUCCUAUCAUUUUUCUUUUUCUUCUUUUUAGAAGGACUAGGUGCAUCUAUAUUAUUUCUCUGAGAAUCUUGCUCGAUUCUCUUAGGGUGGCCUUCAGGAUACAAAGGUUCCUGAGUCAUUCUACCAGUUCUAGUAGCCACUCUAACAGCAAAAUCAUGUUUAUUAUUUAAUUCAUCGAGCAAAUCACUUUGAGCUUGAAGUACUUGUUCUGCCCGAGUGGUAACCAUAGAAGCAUAUUUGCUAAUGAGUUUAAGUUCACCUUUAACUCUAGCCAUAUAAUCACUCAAGCGUCCUACCAUGAAAGCAUUACUCUUUAACUCUCUACCAACAUAAGCUUUAAAACUUUCUUGCCUAGCCAUAAAGAUAUCAAAUUCAUCUAAGCAUUGGCUAGGAAAUUUAGUAGAGGGGAUUUCAACUUUAUCAUAUCUAUAGAGAGAAUUUACCUCUACUACCUGUGUUGGUUUAUCAAGACAAUGUGUUUCUUCAACAGGCGGUAUAUUAAGACCAUGUAUUUCUUCAAUAGGAGGUAAAUUCUUAACAUAUUCAGCUUUAAUACCUUUUUCUUUCAUUGAUUUCUUUGCCUCUUGCAUAUCUUCAGGACUGAGAAAUAGGACACCCCUCUUCUUCGGAGUUGGUUUAGGAAUAGGCUCAGGAGUUGGCUCAAUUGGCUCAGGAAUUGGCUCAGAAAGAGUCCAAUUAGUUUCAUUCGUCAACAUAUUAUUCAAUAACAAUUCAGCUUGGUCGACUGUUCUUUCCCUGAAAACACAACCAGCACAACUAUCCAAGUGGUCCUUGGAAGCAUCAGUUAGUCAAUUAUAAAAGAUAUCAAGUAUUUCAUUUUUCUUAAGAGGAUGAUCAGGCAAAGCAUUAAAUAAUCUUAAGAUCAUAUCUAUCAUUGCAAGCAAGAAUAGCUCUAGCAGCUUCUUCAUCCAUAACAUAACCCUCAGGAACAACAGGCAAUUCAUACUUAGGGGGAGAACCUUCAUCAUCACUAUCAUCAAUAAUUUCAUCUUCAAUAAUAUCAUUCUCUCUAACCCUAGCAAGUUGCUCAUCUAGAAAUUCACCUAAUGGCAAAGUAGUAUCAAGCAGAGAAGUAGUUUCAUCAUAAGUACCAUGCAUAGCAGAAGUGGCAUCAUCAAUAACAUGCGACAUAUCAGAAUUCAUAGCAAUAGCAGGUUUAGGUGUCGCAAGCUUACUCAAAACAGAAGGAGAAUCUAGUGCAGAGCUAGAUGGAAGUUCCUUACCUCCCCUCGUAGUUGAGGGGAAAAUCUUAGUUCUUUCGUCUUUCAAGUUAUUCAUAGUGAUCAGCAAAUAUAAAUCCCAAGUGACUCAAAGAAUAGAGCUAUGCUCCUCGGCAAUGGCGCGAGAAAAUAGUCUUUAUAACCCACAAGUAUAGGAAAUCGCAACAGUUUUCGAGGGUAGAGUAUUCAACCCAAAUUUAUUGAUUCGACACAAGGGGAGCCAAAGAAUAUUCUCAAGUAUUAGCAGUUGAACUGUCAAUUCGACCACACCUGGAUAACUUAGUAUCUGCAGCAAAGUAUUUAUUAGCAAAGUAGUAUGAUAGUAAUGGUAACAGUGGCAAAAGUAACGAUAGCAGUUUUGUAGUAAUUGUAACAGUAGCAAAGGAAAAGUAAAUAAGCAAAGCACAAUAUGUGAAAAGCUCAUAGGCAUUGGAUAAGUGAUGGAUAGUUAUGUCGGAUGUGAUUCCUCAUGUAAUAGUUAUAACAUAGGGUGACACAGAACUAGCUCCAAUUCAUCAAUGUAAUGUAGGCAUGUAUUCCGAAUAUAGUCAUACAUGCUUAUGGAAAAGAACUUGCAUGAAAUCUUUUGUCCUACCCUCCCGUGGCAGCGGGGUCCUAAUUGAAACUAAGGGAUAUUAAGGCCUCCUUUUAAUAGAGAACCGGACCAAAGCAUUAGCACUUAGUGAAUACAUGAACUCCUCAAACUACGGUCAUCACCGAGAAGUAUCCCGGUUAUUGUCACUUCGGGGUUGUCGGAUCAUAACACAUAAUAGGUAGCUAUAGACUUGCAAGAUAGGAUCAAGAACUCACAUAUAUUCAUAAAACAUAAUAGGUUCAGAUCUGAAAUCAUGCCACUCGGGCCCUAGUGACAAGCAUUAAGCAUAGCAAAGUCAUAGCAACAUCAAUCUCAGAACAUAGUGGAUACUAGGGAUCAAACCCUAACAAAACUAACUUGAUUACAUGGUAAAUCUCAUCCAACCCAUCACCGUCCAUCAAGCCUACGAUGGAAUUACUCACACAUGGCGGUGAGCAUCAUGAAAUUGGUGAUGGAGGAUGGUUGAUGAUGACGACGGCGACGAAUCCCCCUCUCCGGAGCCCCGAACGGACUCCAGAUCAGCCCUCCUGAGAGAGAUUAGGGCUUGGCGGCGGCUCCAUAUCGCAAAACGUGAUGAAACUUCCUCUCUGAUUUUUUUUUCUCCGCGAAACGGAAUAUAUAGAGUUGCAGUUGAGUUCGGUGGAGCAUCCGGGGGGCGCGCCCAGGGGAAGGGGCGCGCCCCCCACCCUCGUGGACAGGGUGUGGGGCCCCUAGCCUUGAUUCUUUUGCCAGUAUAUUUUUUAUUUUCCAAAUGUUAUCUCCGUGGAUUUUCAGGUCAUUCCGAGAACUUUUAUUUUCUGCACAAUAAAUAACACCAUGGCAGUUCUGUUGAAAACAGCAUCAGUGCAGGUUAGUUUCAUUCAAAUCAUGCAAGUUAGAGUCCAAAACAAGGGCAAAAGUGUUUCGAAAAGUAGAUACGUUGGAGACGUAUCAGCGGUCGCGGGCGGCGGAGCCUUUGAGGUGGACGGGUGAUUUCCAGCUCCGGGCUUCUUAGGCGCCAUAGUCAAUGGCAUCGCCGAUGAUGAAAAUGGCGAUGAGGAUCACGUGCUGCUCAAGCUUUCAGGUUUGUGCAAGUGAUCCCCCUACUUGGCGCGCCAAAGAUGUUGUGGGGAACCACGACCACCUAUGGGGCAACGAACCCCUUUCUGGUUCGGCGGGGGGAUGGCACGUUGCACAAAGAGCAGAGGAGUGUGAGACAUCACGACAGAGAUCACACGGGUGGUUUUUACCCUAGUUUGGGCCGCCGCGAGGCGUAAAACCCUACUCAUGCUUUGGUGGAUUGAUGGUGGAUGGUGGUGGAAAAAUUGUAGCGUUCUUGCCCGGCAGGGUUGCCUUGGGACAAGAAUGGCUACGCGUGUACGAGUGUACAAGGGUCCGAAAUCUUUUGUAUGGUUGCCAUGGGCCUCCUUUUAUAGAUAAAGGGGUCACCACAGUGGCAAAUCAGUCAUUACACAUUGAUUAGAUAGGAAAAUGUGAUAUCCUACCUAACUCUGCAGGCUGACAGAGCGCAUUAAAUGUGGCACUCAAUGUCACAUCAUAGCUUGCCCGAUAGGCUCUUCCGGGCCGUUUCGCCAGCUUGGCGCCUACUUGCUUGACACGUCGCAGGACGGGUGUCGCUUGUAGGUAUUUUCUAUAGGAGGUAGCUGCAAUGUGGCAUUUAGCAGCCACUUAGUCACCUUGGAGCUUGACACCAAACUAAUCGACGACGUGCGUCAUGGAGAUGUGGUGCAGUGAAGUGGUUUUGUCUUUGCGGUCCCGGUAGGCCUGUCGGGAUGAUUCGGCAGAGGCUUGCUUCCAGGGAAAACCUUGUCUCCGCCAGGCUCGCCUGCCCGGCAGGGGAGGUUUUUCCCUUAGCGGUAUCUUGCACCUCUGGCUAGUCUUAUCCUUCUUGAUCUCUUGCUUGGAUCCUUCAAGGGGAUCGACCCAUCUUGCUUGAGUUGAUCAUGGUGUUGUAAACUUGUCCUCGUGCAUGUGCACAGUCCGGGCAACGGACCCAGGGUUUGUUGCACCGACAGAAGCCCCCGGGCCUGGCGUGAUCGUGCCGCUGGGCGUCGACGGGGUAGUCCCUAAUAAGUGCACAUGCAAGAGUGUUGAAGUGGCUUCGUCCCUUGAGAUUUUCCUUGCUUGUUCAUUAUCUUCAGGCUGGGCCAGUUUCCGGUUUUUCCGCACAUCGCGUAACACCAAUUGUGGUGGGACCAUUCUUGUAAUGGCUCAUGAAUGACUUUAACGCAGGGGCGGGUAACCGCCAAUUCACUUCCCACCAUGCCCUUAUCCUUUGCCACGUAUGUCGCAUGCAUCAAGUGGGGUAGGUAACGGAGGCGCGUGGUGCGGAGGGGCAUCAAGGUAGGGGCCCUGGUCUUCUAGGAUUGGUGGAGGAGGACGGUGGUUACUCAUCGGGAAAUCAGCCACCCAGCCCCCAGCUCACCUAUAAAAGGAGGAGCGUGGGAGGAGUGGAGGCAUUCAUCCAUAUCCCUCUCCUCCUCCAUUUUGCUUUGUCUUGAGUAUGCUGGAAGGGAGAGCCCGGGGCCCGAGCUGAUGACGCCAAGCAAUGGUGCUGGCGCUCAGGGAGUGGGUCUGGUCCAAGUCCAAGGCGAAGGGCUUGGGAUCGUUAGAAAUCCCACUACUACCCCUUUCCUUGGAACCGGGGUUGAUGUUGACGAGGAGGGUGCCUUCCUGCCUGCCAAGGUGAGGUGCGGCGUGCCUCGGGCGUCCUGGUUACUCCCGCUGCUAAUCGUCUCUCCGGGUAAGGCGAUGGCUUGUGGGUCCGGCGUCUUCCUGAAGUGGUGGUGAAGGAGGGAAAGCGAGGGACGGUGAGGAAGGCGGGUGAUGGGACGUCAGGUCGGAGUACGAUGGCGUCGACGCCUUCGUAGCGUAUUGCCGACCGCCCCAUCUUCCUGCUUCCCCCUUCCCUCCCCGGCACCAUCAUCACCAGUCUCUUUGGGUGAUAGCCAGGGAGGGAUGUUCCCUUGGUGCCUUCAUCCCCCUCUAGUGGUCUUCCAGCCGACCGUUGGUGGUUGAUUCCUCCAUCGCUCGAGCUGGAGCUCCUUGCUGGUCCUGGAGGUGAUAAUCAGGCGCACCGCCGAGCUGCCCUCCAGGUCCCUCCUUCGCAGACUCGCCACUCCCGACCUUGCCAGGCUGUGCCUGGCAGGCCGUGACGAGAUCGGGGUGGGCUCCUGCUUGGAGCGCUCCCCUAGUCCUCUUCCAUUCCCACCGAAGUACCUGAUGGAGGGAAAACGUAAAGAGCAGUCUUCAGGGGACACUUAUAUUUUUUCAAUCUUAAAUCUGUAGGCACUUGCCAAAUUUUAGUUCAAAUAAUGUAAUCCCUUGAAUCCAUGUUUGUGUACUGUAAGUUUUGUACUUGUUUGAAGCAUAUAAAUGAAAAACAUAAACCUUGUCUGGGACUCGUGCAUGUAUAUGGCCAUGCAGAGGUGGAAUGCCUCUAUAUUUAAAUAAACGAGUUUUCCCAGUAGGCUAUCCUGUCGGUACCCUCUAUUUGGCUGUCGGGGAGCUAUGCUUGUCGGGCACAAAUUGUAAUGAAAGGACUUCAAACAAUGGACAUCCAGCCCUCAGACUUGCCGAGAGUGAAAAAAAUCAUUUUCCAAGUUGCUCAAAGCAAAGAUAUAAUACCAUAAAUGGAUCGGGUCAUUCAUAAGAAUCCAACGAGCUCAAGAACGUCAAAUUCUGAGUUUGUAUAAAGAAAUGGUGGACAAUGUCCUGAAGAGGUCCAGAGAAAAUGACGAUGUAUCAUACGACCAUAGCUCGUCGUACGCGCGGUCGUUUGGAAGGAAAUCGAUCUCAAAAGUUUCCUCUCCAGAUUUGAUUCUUCACCGAUUUCGUCCGUAUUUGUUCCUACGACUUCCUUGGCCUUCAAGGGAUGUUUUGGGAGAGGAUGAGGCUCACGUAGAGCCCUUGGAUCAAAGGGGAGAUGCUAUAUGAAUGGAGGAGGCUACCGGAGAGCCAUUAUAUAAACACCUUCAACCCUAGCCAACGUGUCCAUCUCAUAUCAUUUGUCAUUCAUCAUUCAUCUCCAUGUCCAGCCACUGUCCACAUCAAGAAAACCAUAGUUGCAACCAAGAGGGAGACCAAAGGGAGCCAUCGCCACCGCGCCAUCACCACCAUCAUCUACUGUCGCUUCAUCAUUGUCACCAUCACCACCCCUUCUUCCUGCUCCAUAACAGUCUCUGUGAUGGGUUGUAACAACUCUUGAACCCCUUAUAUGUGAUGUUAUUUGAGUAAUUAUUAGCUAUGGGUCGGUCGAUUAGUAAGUGGUUGUUUGAUAUGUUUUGUCUAUUUAUGUGUAUUUAUUUGUGUUGCUUACUUACCUCUGCGGUAAUUUAUUGAUUGGAGACGUUCAAUCCAUUGGCGUAGUUGGAGAUGUUCAAAUAUUAGGCCACACAUGAAGUUGAUAGAAUGUUGUGAAAACCGGUAGACCUGUGAUGUGACAAGUGCAGACAUCUUAAGGGGAACAAAAUUAUUCUAGGAGCAUGAUUGUCCAUAGAACUUAUUGCCUUCGUCCGGUCCUCAUGACCUUAAUAUCUUUGUGUUUCCCUCCACAGGUAUGGGACAAGAAGUAGGACGAAUGAGUUACCUCAAUACAGCCCAUCUUGAGGGAUAAUAUUAUGCAAGGGAUCGCCCACCAUCAGUACAUUGACGUAUCCUAUAAUGCAGGUACUGACUUAGCCACCACAUGGCAUAGUCAUAAAUCUUAACACCAUUUUGUGCCCGUACCGAAUUAGACCAUACCUAGAUGCCAACAAUCUCAUCUAAAACAUCACAUAGUUCUCUUAGUUUAUUUUCCUUCGUAUAUAUUAUUUAUGUUAUGUUCUCUCUAGUACUUAGUUCUCCCUUUUACCGUUCCCUAGCAACCUACUCGAGUGAACUAUUUCCAAACUACGGUUUGGGUGUGAGCGUAGUUGUGUUAAGUGGCAAAGGGGAUUGUGGUGCCAUCCUAUUCGCUCCCUAUGGGAUCGAGAAACCUUACUUAUCAUGAAAUUUCUACAUAGCCAUGUGAACUUGCAGGCCAUCAAAAACCUAAUUUUUAUUGGUCUAGGUGAAAGCUUACUUCAUAAGGUCUGGUCUGCAAAAAGUUUCACUCAAUUUGGACCUACUCAUAAAACUUAUAAGGGUUAAAGUUCCAGGGGGUUUCUGUAAAACUACCAAGUGUUUUUAAUUUAAAUCACAAAAUAUUGUGGAUAAGGCUAAGACACGUGGAUAGAUCCUACUGGUCUAUACCGAUUCGGUUAUGUGAGUGCGCAUGGGGUCAUGCGCUCGGUUGUGAUCAGGUACGUGGGCAAGCGACGUGGGCGGCAGUUAAUGGACAAAGAUGAAGUUAACAGGUGGGGUCAACUUGUCAGUGAGAGAGAGAGGGCGUGCAGCUGGCUAGCUAUAUCGUUGUGUUAGAUGAGACUCUAGGUUUAGGUUGUUCUUUCUUUUUGGUUCCCUUUAUAAAUUCAAAACUAUUUAGAAAUGGAAUUUUCUUCCAAAAGUUAACUAGCCUAAAUUCCAAAUGGAUACUCCUGAUGUGGUGAUCAUUUUAUUUGCCCCCUUUGGCCAAAUAACUUCUACCACCUUACAUUUUUCUUUUUCUAUUUUCAGUUCCUUUUUGAACUUCAAUCUGGUAUGAAACCAAAUAUACUCUAAAUCUAACUUGGAAUAUUAAUAGAAAGUCAAGUAUUUUAUUUGGACUUAUGGUAAUUAUUUUUCUUGCCAAAUAAUGCAAGACCCUUUUAAAUAAUUUUCCCUUUUGAUUUUUGAAUUCAAUCCAACAUAAAUUCAUUUCUACUAUUUGGGAAAUUUAUCAGGGUUAUGAGUAUCAUUUUGAACUUAUUAAGAAUACCUUUAUGCCCAAAUAAAUAUUUCAAUUUGUCACCCUAUUUUAGGAUUCAAAAUUAUUCCCUAAAACCUUUUAGGGUUCACUUUGUUUUACCAAUUUCAAUCUCGGGUUCAAAUGUUGGCAUAGGGCCUUUGGCCCUCUAAGUUAAUCAAUUAAAUCAAUCACAAGCAAAUCCUAGGGGAUGUUAGAUAAUUAGAGAGCAAGCAAAGUUUUUUCUACAAAAAUAUCAAUUCUCUGUGAAAUUUUAAACAUACCAGAUUUAGGGAAAAUCUGGGAUGCGACAAAGACGCAGUUUUAUUCUUGUCAUUGACUACACAAUAAAUAUCCCAGAACUGGGUGCCUAGAGGUGAGUUUACAAACCAAAUAUCUUCAUGAAACAACACUAUUUGCCAUUACCUAAAAACCACUUAUAUCCAAAUGUAACAGCUUUCAUAGCCCACAUAACCCCUUUCCAAAAUUGAGAAGGAUGUGGAUCAUGGCAGCAAAUAGUAUUAAGGUUCUUAGUAUUAUACUUAGCAUCUAUAACUCUACUCCAUAGAGUCCCUUCUCCUAAGAUAUAUGUUUUAACCCAGGAGACGGUAAGGCAAAUAUUCAUAUCAUGUAUAUUAUGAACUUCCAUCCACCAUAUUCCCUUUUAAUGCAUAUGGAGGGCCAAUUGGCAAGGUGCAUCUUUUUUCCACCUUUACUGUCACUUCAGAAAUAAUUAUAAAACCAUGAAUUAACCAAAGGCACAUACCAUUUCAGGAACUUAUAGGAAGAUAACAUGUAAAUAGAAAUACUACACAGAUAAAUCCUAACAAAGGUGACUCUCCCUAAUAAGGACUAGGGGCUUACCCUCCAUCUAGCCAGCAUGGACAACAUGGCAUCAACUAGAGAUUGGAGGUCCUCUCUCUUGAUCUUAUCAAAUUGCAAAGGAACUCUAAGUACUUAAUAGGCAAGCCCCCUUGACUAAAUUAAAAAUAUCCAAGAAAGGUUUAUCCUCUCCAGGUUCUAAAUUUAUAGGCACCAAUUCACUUUUGUGAUAAUUAAUAGACAUCCCUGAAACCAACUCAAAGCAAGUCAAGAUGCACUUAAGAUUUAAAGCUACUGGACGGUCAUUAUCUAUGAACAACAAAGUAUCAUUUGCAUAAUGCAGACACACUACACCACCAGGGCAAAAAUUAGGGAAGAUCCCUCUAACUAGCCCAACUCGUCAUCCUUUCACUAAUAUCCUAGCAAACACAUCCACCACCAAAUUUAAAAUUAAUGGGGAUAAAGGGUCUCCCUGUCUCAAAUCCCUACUAGUGAUGAAGAAGUAAGUUUACUCACCAUUAAUCUUCACAUCCACUGAUCCUGAUGGGCGAGUCUCCUAAUCCAACCAAUCCAUUUAGCACCAAAACCCCUAAGUUCAAGAACCCCAUACAAAAAAUAUAUCUAAACUAACCCUGUCAUAAGCCUUUUCAUAAUCAAUCUUAAAUACAAGGCCUUUCUAGCCAAAAGAGUGUACCGAGUGAGCAACCUCAUGGGUAGUCACCACAAUCUCCAAAAUAAACCUACCUCUAACAAAAGCAGAUUGAUGCUCAGAGAUUAGUCUGUCAAUAAUCAGAGCUAGUCUAUUGGUAGACUUUAGUAAAGAUCUUAAAACAACAAUUGAAGAGAUUUAUAUGCCUAAAUUUCUUUAUGUUUCUCGCAUCGACUUUUUUAGGAAUAAGAGUGAUGGAAAAUCAAGUCUAAAGAUGUCUUGGUUUAGAUCAAACCAGACUUCAAAUGACUAUCAAAUAUACUUUAAUAAUGUCAUAGAACACUUGGUAAAAUAUAUAAGGCAAUCCAUCGGGCCUAGGGACACCAUCACAAUAGGAGUCAAAACAGCUUCCUAAUCUCCUCGUUAAACCUAGUAUUUUCUCUAUAGAAAUUUUCUCGUCCUCUCUAAAGAAAUCACUCUUAAGAGAGAUAUCAGGUCUACGUUCAUAUCUAAAUAACUCCUUAUUAGAGCCCUCGGGUCCCCCAGGUCCAUCUAGAACACUAUUUUUUUUUGAAAGAAAGGGGUCCCCCCUGCCCCAUUAUAUUGAAGCAGCAAAGAAAACCAGAUUCGGAAUACAAGCUUAACAGCUGGAUCCCCACACAGCCCACACCAGGCAACACCAUACAGACUGGAAACAAAACUAACUAGAAGGUGUAAACAGCCUCACAAACCAGCAAUCAUUUUAGCCUACAUGUAGUUCUUUUAUUACAAAACCCGAAGGCGAGGGCCAAAAGUGAAAGCUAAUUGUCUACUGACGACGACCGGAGAUCAGGUCCAGGCGAUACGCAGGAGCUCCCCCUGGUGUUUGUCGAGUAACAGAAUACAUGUUCACAGCAGCUCCGCUUGGGUGUCAUAGCAGAGUACCCCCCAGUGCAGAAGCACAUUUUUCAACUUGACAAGGACGCAAUUCAAGCCUCUCCAUGAGCGGCCCUGAAAACAGAAAUCAUUCCUUAGCCUCCAAAUGCUCCACAAGGAUGCAGCCAUGACCAGAUUGAGCAUAGGUUUACAUUUGUAAGAACACCACACAACACAUAUGUCUUCCCAACAAGUAAAAGGUUGCACAUUAAAAAGCUCACAGACCAUAGAACAAACACAUUUGGCCACAACACAAUCAAAAAAUAGAUGUUGAGUGGACUCAUUUUCUCUACAAAACAGGCAGGAGAGGUCUUCCACCUGUCUACUUUUGUUCAAAUUAUCUCUGGUCAGAAAUUUAUUGUACACACAAAGCCACAUGAAAACAUGAAUAUUUUGAGGACACAAAACUUUCCAAAGAGAUUUUCCAAUUGGAGAAACAAUUCCUCCAAAGUUUAUAACUUCAUAGAAAGAUUUAACUGAGUACAGCCCCUUAGGUUAAAGAGACUAGAUAGGCAAAUCUGGCGAGGUAGACAGAGGGAAAUCCCUAAUGUGGUCUUGUAAUUGAUUCCACCUAAGAAUCCCCCUCAGAUCGACACAUCGCCUAAAUGUAAGUUUCAGAGUAGUCCCAUCCCACACUUGAUCCACUGAACAAUCAGGCUGGUUGCAAAUUUCAAACAGGUCCCAAAACAUAGUUCUUAGGGAACAAUCCCCAGCCCACGUAUCAUGCCAAAAACUUAUUUUAUCACCUCUCCCCACCUUCCAAACAUAGAAAGUUUUUGAAGCAUUUAAAGCCCGGGUCACACUUUUCCAGAAGGGGGACCCAAUUUUUUGUUUGGCCCACUGAAUAUUCGGCGAGUGAGUGUUAUAUUUAAAAGCCAAAAUCUUUUUCCAAUCACUGUCAUUAAAGUCAAAGAAACGUUUUCCCCAUGAGGCCAAAAGGGCCAUGUUGAAUUCUUUCAAGUUGGGGAUACCAAGUCCCCGAAAUUCCUUUUUUCUAGUAACCAGACCCUAGUUGGCCAGAUGGUAUUUAUGUUGAUCAUCUAUAUUAGCCCAGAAAUAUGAGCCAUUUGAGAAUGAAUGGCAUUAAUUGUCUAUUUAGGGAAUUUAAUCAUGGCCAUAAGGUAGGCAGGAAUACUAACAAUACAGGCACACAAUAAGAUCAACUUCCCCCUAUAGGUCAAGUAUCUACCCAGCCAACCAGAAAUAUUCUUGAUAAUUCUAUCAAUAAUUGGUUGUAGAUCUUCUCUCCUCAAUUUGUCAUAGUGCACAUGCACUCCCAAGUAUUUGAUAGGAAAAGACCCCAACUUACAACAAAAAAUUUGAGCAAAGGUUUUAGACUGCUCCUCCACAUUUAUGGUGAGUAAAUCACCCUUGUGGAAAUUAAUUUUCAUACCAGAUAGGUUUUCAAAACAGGAUAAAAUCCACUUAAAAUCCCUGGCUUUGUCAUAUGAAUUCUCUAGAAAGAGAAGUGUAUCAUCAGCAUAUUGCAAGCUGAUCACUCCCCCGGGGAUAAUGUUGGUCAGAAGACCGGAUAUCAGGCCAUGUUUUGAAGCCUUGAUUAGCAUUUUGGAGAAAACAUCAGCAACUAAAUUAAAAAGCAAGGGGGAGAAGGGAUCUCCUUGUUUGAGACCCCCCCCCCCCAUAAAGUAAGGCCCAGUAGCAUCAUUGAUCCUCACACUAAAUGUACUCUGCAAAAGAGUUGUUUUAAUCCCAAAAAAUCCAUUUUUGCCCAAAACCUCUGGAACUAAGCAUUUCAAAAAGAAAGUCCCAACUUACUCUAUCAUAUGAUUUUUCAUAGUCUAGUUUGAGCACAAGCCCUUGUGAACCAAAUUUCUUAACUUCAUGAAUAACCUCACGUGCCAGGACUACACUUUCAAGUAUAUAUCUUCCGUUGAUAAAUGAAGUUUGAUUGGGAGAAAUCAUUCUAUGACUGAUAGGGGAAAAUCUAUUAGUCAUAGCUUUUGUAAAAAUCUUAAUAGCACAAUUGCUAAGACUGAUAGGUCUGAAGUUCUUCAUGUCUUUAGCAUUCACCUCCUUUGGGAUCAACACCAUCAGAGCAAAAUUAAGUUUAUGAAUAUCUAAUUUGCCCUCCUCAAAAUCUCUAACCAUGGCCAUAAAGUCUUUUUUAAUUACCUCCAUGAAGGUUUUAUAAAAGAGGAAAGGCAAGCCAUCAGGGUCAGGCGCUCCAUGUGCAUAAGAGCCAAAAAUGGCUUCCUUAAUCUCCUCUUCAGAAAAUUUUCUUUGUAGCAUUUAAUUUUCUUCUAUCGUAACCAGCUCAUCUUCCUCCCAGAAGGAAGGGCCAAGAUGAAUAUCAUGUUCUGCUUCAUACCCAAAAAGAAUUUUAUAAAAAGUAGUAGCUACAUAUAGCAUUUCGUUAGUAGUAAAAACAGGGCCAGAAUCCCAUUUAGCUCAGUCAAAUGAUUUUUUUUCUAUGCCUGUGAUUGGCAAGCGCAUGAAAAUAGGCAUUAUUUUUCUCUCCAUCUUUAAUUCUACGAUCCCUCGAACGUUGCCACAAGGCAACCUCCUCCUUACGCAAGAUAUCAUCAAGCUCUUUUUUAAUAUCCCGCAUCCGAAGCCUAUCCGCAUCCGAUACACGAUUUGACUCGGCAAAAACAUCUAGGAUAUCAAAUUCGUGCAUAAGGUCUCUCUUCUUUUUCUUAAGAGCAGCUUCAAUAUUAAUACUCUGGCCUUUAGCCUUUUUCCAAACAAUUUAGCUUUUUAUAACCAAACAUCAAUAGCAGUCCUCCCCACCACUAGGGUAUUCCACACCUCUAUAAACAUAGUUUUAAAUUCUGGGUAGUCAAGCCACCAUUUUUCAAACCGAACUGUUUUGGGGGGAGGUAACCCUCCUAGCUCAUGUGUCUAAAAUCAGGGGGUAUGAUCACUACCAAUUCUGAGUAAAGCAAUUAAACCGGAUAAAGGAAACUGAGCAUCCCAAGAAGGGGACACAAAGACUCUAUCAAUAGCAGCAAAAACAGGAUCAUCCUGAUUAUUACUCCAAGUAAAACUUCGAUUAGCAAUGCUAAUUUCCAUAAGACCCCACCUAUUAAUCCAAUCAUUGGAAAGGAAGGCAAGUUGAUUAUUAAUGAUGCCAUUGCUCUUAUCUGUAGCACAUCUCACCAAAUUAAAGUCUCCACCCAAAAUCAUAGGAUAUGUGAGAUUUGUCAUUACAUCAUGUAGUUCAGCAAUAAAUUCCAUUUUCAGAUCAUUGUAAGCAGUACCAUACACAGCAACAAAGUGCCAAACAAAACCAUCUUUUUUGUUCUUAACAGUAGUCACAACACUGUAUGUUUUAUUAAUAAAGCCAAUUAUCUCAAACAGAUCAUUAUUAAUCCCCACAAGGAUCCCACCAGCAGUGUUAAUAGCAGGGAAUUGUUGCCAAGAAAAAUCAUUUCUACCAGCAAUUCUCCUAAUGGUAAUAUCAUCAAUUUUUUCCCUCUUGGUUUCAAAGAAACCAACAAAAUCAGUGUGAUUGUUAUUAGUAAAAUCCCCUAGGCAUUGAAUUUUACCUGGUUGUCCUAGACCAUGAAUAUUCCAAAAGGAACCUAUCAUUGGAUUUUAAAAGGGUGAGAUAGGCCACAAGGCACAUUCUUACAAAGAACAAUUGGAUUGUUUACACCCAGAUCAACAGUGCCCCCUGAUCUAGAGUUGAAAACAUGACCAGAAGGGGUAUAGGCCCUCUCAGCAGCAUAUGUGGAAAUAUCUAAAUCAUGCGGUAAAACAAUUUCUGGAUUCUGGUCAGCAAAUUGCAGGCAUCUUAAUUUCUCCCUAUCCACAAUGUCCAUUAUAAUUCUCUUUUGAUCUAAGCUACUUUUUCCAACACACAAGUCAAUCUUAUUAAUUUGUUCGGCAAGAGUUUGGGUAUCAGUGGUAGCAAAAGAUUUACCUUUGAAGGAGAUAGGAAUUUCCAAAUUCUUCUUCUGUAGAUAUGCAGUAGCUUUCUCCAUAAUCUUGACAUUACCAUGGUUCCUAGUGAUUGGUCUAUUAGAGAGCACAGGCCCCCACCCCCACAUUAUUGUCCACAUCACACUUCAUCUUCUUGUCUGAUUCAGCUUUCUCUAGUGUUUCCGGGAGUGAUCUCUUAACAGAUCCAAGGGCCACCGCCAGAUCAUCAGGUAAACAUUGCAUAUCAGUUAAGCAGUGCUCCUCUUCCUCAUCAGAGUCUUCCAUUUCAAACUUACUUAACUGGGCAGAGCAACAGUCCAUAUGGACAGACAAAGGUUCAGAGCCAAAUGUGGAAGGAGAACCAACAAGAGCCGGACAGGGACUAGAAGGGCUAGAAUUCACAGGGCUUUUGUCUCUGAUUUCUUCAAUGAACUGUUCAUGGAAGCAAUCAACAAGUUUUGGAGGAUGAAACUCAGCUGCAGAAACAACUACCAUCAUGUUCUUACUUUUAGCAGCAGAGAUGUUCUUAUGAGGGAAAUUUGCUCUGUCAAGUUGAUCAAUAGGCUCAUCACCAUCCUCUUCCAUCUUGUCCUUCUCAAAUUGCUCAUUACCAUUAUCUUCCUUUUUCUCUACAGCAUUAUCAAUAUAAGGAUCACUGUCGUUAGCAUCAGAGUUGUCUCGCGCCUGUUCAAAUCCUUCCACGGUGAAAAAUAUCAUAUAUAGCUUUUUCUUCAUCUCCACCAAUCUCUCAAAAGGAAUUUUGGCAGGAUCCCUACAAGCAACUUUAAUUAUGAUAAUCUCAUAGAAACUUCUGAAAAUCCCAUUCCAGUCCACAUCCACAAGGAUGCCAAAACACGAAGCAACCUGUGUAAACACUUUCCAUGCACACCACUUGGGAGGAAUCCCCUCAACUUGUACCCAAGCUUCAGACAACUGACCAAACGCCUCCAUCAUUCCCUCACAUUCACAUAUCUUAAUAGAAACUCCAUCAAUCGGGAGGUCAAAUGCAGGGAACUCAAUCAGGUCUUCUACUUUUUUCCAAGGUGGGAAUCUAAGUAGGUAUUUCUUCUCCUCAAGCUCUCUAAUUUGCCAUGGCCAGUCUUUGUUCUUACAGAAAAUACCAUUUAGCUGGACCAAUAAGCUAGAACACUAAUCAUUUUUUCCUUCACCUCUGAUUAGCGACAACAUGGAAGUAAGCAGUGUUUGUGCCAUCCUCCAUACUAUCCUUAUCCCUAGACCUUUCACCGGCGUAGUCUCCUAUUUACUCCAAAUGUCUCCUAACUCUAGCAGAAUUUCAUCCUUCCUGCCCUUAUACCAACCUCAAAGAGGGUAUUAGACUCAGUCUAAACGCCAGAGGAUACUGUUUUGGGGACUAACAAUAUCGCUGGGUGCUACUUUGGCACCUAUGGUACAGUCGUACAGUUGCUUUUGGUAAAUACACCGCAGAGAUGAACUAUGUAGGAAAGUUUGCAAAGAACCCUGCGAACGUGGAAUGCAACACCUCUGUUUCUUUAUUUAUUCCUAAUUUUCCUCUGUUUCAGAGGGUGUUUGUUUCCAUGGACUUAUUGGUUUAGGGACUUAAAAAAGUCCCUAUAAGUCACAUCUAAACUAAACAGGAGGGACUUAUAGAGACUUAAAGUGGGCAUUUGGGACUUAUGAAAUAAGACUCUCAAGGAGAGUCUUACAGGAACUUAUAGUUGUAAUGUGGUCUUAUAGGGACUUAUAAGUCCCAGGAACCAAACAGGUAAGGACUUUUUAGAGACUUGAGACUUAUAAGUUGGGAUUAAAAAAAGUCCUAAGACUUAUGAACCAAACAGGGCCUCAGGCUCAGGAAUGCGUGCUCCUGUUAAUAUAUUCUGUAUUAUAACGUUUUCAGAGCCAACACCUGUUCUGUUCGACUGGUACUCACUGCAUUAUUUUUAGAUGAAUCUCGUGACCCUAUCUUGCGCUGAGCAGUGCAGACUUUACUAGUUUUCGUGCUUCCUUCAACUGAUGCAAUUUUUUUUUUGCGGGUUGUUUAAAUAUGCAAGCAAUGUUCUAGUAAAAGACUUGGUAGGUGAUGAAUCAAAUGCCCUUGCUCAUUCUGCCUUAAAUUACAGAGCUCAGACUAUAUAUUACAUGGUACAUACGCUGGAGAAAGAAAGAGUACUUGAUUCCCCAUUCGAUUUACACACACCACCCCAAAGAAGACACGGACACAGAUACAUUGCUGCUGCUUCUUCGACCUCCAGCCGAUCCCAUGCAAUCCGUGCGUCCGAUCUGAUGCAAUGCAACAACCCCUCUCCCACCACGCGCGCAAGCCAAAAAUCGUCUUAUAGGCCGAGCGCGCCGAGUGGCGUCUUGCCCUGUCCGGCCUCGAAGUAGAAGAUGAGCAUGGCAAGCAUGGCGAGGCGCGAGUGCUUGAUCUCGGC